RNAcentral lists this long non-coding RNA (120977 nucleotides) under Lotus japonicus. RNAcentral's name for it is "long non-coding RNA (LJAP_LNC001540)". Lineage: Eukaryota; Viridiplantae; Streptophyta; Magnoliopsida; Fabales; Fabaceae. The record is from RNAcentral.
GGAAUUUGGCCUUGGAUGUAAGGCCCAAUUCCCCAAAUUCCAUAGGGUUAUGGAUCCACCCUCUAUAAAAGGGGUUUCUCCAUUGUAUUCACUAGCUUUUUACUCAUUAAUUAUAUAGUGCACUUUUAUUUCAUCAUCUUUCCUUAUUUGUGCUUUGCUAGAGUUUGCUAGAAUAUUCCUUUAGAUCUAGUAGGACCUUAAUUAGCACGAGAUAUUUUUACAAGCUAGUUUGAAAUGCUUGAUAGCAAAGGUUUGGUUUUUAUAACUUUUGACUAAGUUUUGAGUGAGAAAAAUCCUAUCUUCGAUGUUUGAAGUUUCUGCCACGUGAUGUUCUUGGGGUUGAGAUUUUUCCAACUCUGUUCUAAGUGUUAUUAAGUGUUUUUUUUUUUUUUUUGAAAACAGAACAAGUAAUCUAUUAAAAGAGAGAAAAGAACAUGGGAACAAGACUCUCCCAAGUAAGUCAACUGAUAAAACAAAAAAGAAAACAGAUAAAAACCAUGGAGAUGAGCCAAACCUAAAACAAACCAAAAAGAGCCCUAACGCUAAAACAUCAAGAACACAAAUCAGGGGAAAAAGCAUAGGAGCCAAAAGCUAAAAAUCUCCGGGACUGUACAACACAAAAACACAACUCGAGAGGCCAACAAAUGGAGCAAAAAAAACACAGAAGCAUGGAGCAUCAAAACCCCUUAGAAUUGAAAGAAAGCUCCAGGGACAAAAAUCACGCCACCUGCAUGUUGUUUAAUAGCUUCGAAUUUUUACAUGUUAAAAAUAGCUUCGAAAGUGGUUUUAGGAAAAUGGUAAAAUUGGUUGUGUUUUGUGGAGUAUGGCCGAGACUAUGACUAGGGUAUAAGGUCAAGUUUUGUUGUUUAAUUUGGAACUUGCUAAGUGGUGAUGCAUGAGUUCUAGGACUAAGACUAUGUGCUACAAAAGUUUGGGCUGAAAAUGCAAGCUUUGAUAAGUUUGGUGACCAAUAUUUAGUUUAUAAAAACCGAAGGAUUUUUUUGUAAAUAUUUAUGUGUUGAGGACUAAAAAUUAAUUACUUAAAAGUUCAGGGAUCUUUUAAUGAUCAUGUGAUUUCUCCAAGGACUUGUUCGUAAAUCUUAGAACUUGUAUUCAACUCCAACGUUAGUCCCUUUUUAGUGAUGCAUGUGCAUAUAGUCUAGAGAGUUAGAAGAACUAGCUAAGUUUGACUUGAAACAUAAAUCUUAGAAACUAAGGUUAGAAUAGAAUAUAUGUAUGUACAUGUUAAGGUUCAGAGCACACUUCGGACUAAGAAGCUGACACUAGGAAAGAUAGCUCAUAAGGUAAGGGCACUUCUAGUUUCUGAACUUUAGUGUGCAACUUGUUUAUUAGCUAUAGGAAUCUUGGGUUGGUUUAAUGAUGUUGAGGAUGGGAUUAACAUGUGAACUCAUAUUUGAGAUUAUAUUAUUGUUCCUUUAGUUGAUUGUCUACAUUUUAGCUAAGUAUGUUUGUGUGCCAAGAUGUCGGACAAGUUGUUGUAACAUCGUGCUAUGAGAUGUGUCCAUGGGAAACGUUCUGUAACUUGGCUGAUCAGUUGUGAAGCUUUAAGUUGAUUACUUUGUGAUCAAGUUAGGUUAUUGUGGGAAGCUUCUGUGCGCCGUCAAGGAAUAUUCUAUGUGUAAUCAAACCCGGUUCAAGGGGGUUUGAUUUUGGAAGUUGAAAUCUGCACUUUUAUUGAUUACCCGAAGAUCAAGUGCAGAAUUGUUGCCUGUUUGUUUCUAAUAACAACUUCCUGAUUGUGUGUGUGGACUCUGUGAUCUUUCAAGCCCAACGAAGACAAGGCCUGGAAGACUAUUACUUAUGAAGACCCAAGACCUAGUUUGCUAGGGAUCGAGAGAGACUAUUGUAUUAUGGUUUUAUUGAGUUCAUACUGUUCUUGUUCUCUUAGCAGAUUUAUGUAAUUGUUGUGAGCUAAGAGUUGUGUGUUUACUAUGUGAUCUUGAGAUCUGUCUUUGUAACUCGUGUUUGAGUUCAAUCACUGUGGCAAUGAUUGUGUAAGAGAGAGUGAGAGGGAGGUCUCAUACUUAGGGGGAGACCUAAGUAAUAUUCCACGGGUAGAGUUAGGUAGAAAAGGUAGUUGAACUGGGGCAGUUCUUGUGAGACCUUUUGUGUAUAAUUUCUCUAUAAUAGUGGAUUAUCUCUCUUGGGUGAAAACCCUCCAGACGUAGGUGAUAUUGCACCGAACUGGGUUAACAAUCUCUUGUGUGGUUUUAGUUUUUCUGUCAUUUAUCUUGCUGCAAUAUUUACUGUGUUUUGAGUAAUGUUAUACAAGAUGUCUUAGACAUCUGGUAGAACAUCUGUCCUACAAUUGCCAGAAUUUCAGAAAUGAUAUAUGAGAUUGUGGUACAUUAAUAUGUAAGGUCAACAUGCUCAACAAGUUGAAGCCCACAAAGCAUCAUCUGAAGACUCCAUAAUUCAACAAGCAAAGCUCAGCGUCCAAAAAGAAGAAGCGUCAAAGAGAAGAACUAAAGAAAGCAAGAAACAGUCUUGUCCAUCCAAAGAAUGCUACAAGACUUGCAUCAAUAUGAAAGCAACAAUUCAACUCAAUCAGACAUCGUCACUCAAAGCAUCAAAUAUCCACUCCAUCUAGAAGAACAAAGAUUGCUGAUGAGAGAGAUGAAUGAUGCAAAAGGAAAUACUAUGAGACUAUGUCAUUCCAACAAGCACUAAAAUUCAACUGUGUAUAUACAUUCAUAGUCUGAUAAGUUGAAGUGCUCAAAGCCAAGACAAUGUGCAAAGGUCUUGCACAAGUUUCUACUAACGUCUGAUCUCCCAAGUCCAGUAAGACAAAGCUUAAAGCUCAGAUCGUCCAAAACUCAGUCUUACUAAUUCAUAAUACAUUACUACGAUUUCUGUGCAAAGAAAAUGUAUUCAAAGGAGAAGAAUAGUCAUGAUGACUAAAGCAUCCAGAAGAGGAACAAGUCUCCUAAGGAAGUAAUGGGAAUCAAGCAUCGCUUCUAAGCAAGCAACUAGAACUAAGUAACCAAAGUCAAAUAUUGUGCUUGUUCACACGUGACUAGUUGAGCCUAACACACAGUACUAAUCAAGGCACAUAGUUGUCACUUCCACAAAAUCUAUGAGGAACGCAUAUGAGCCGAAAGAAAAUAUGUCUUAUCAAGCACAAGCUUCAAUGACCUAUCGGCUACAUAGAUUCAAACUACACUCUGACAUGAUGCGUUGAGACAACCAAGCAUAUCUUAUAGCUAUCAUAGACGCUGAAGACUUGUGCACAAGCGUACUUCAACAUCGUCAAAAGUAUUCAUCCUUCUGAAACAGAGCAGAGAAGCUGUCAACAUGACCUGUGAACAAAACGACUAUUUUCUACUCUCCAAUGUCCAUUGCAUAAACUCAGUAAGUUACACUAUAACGAUCAUAUUUCCAAGACUUGGUAUAAAUAGUAAAUGUAGUUGAAAGGGUAAAGGUUUUCGUUGUAGAUCGAACUAAUGGAGAGAUUAGUGAAUUGCUUAGAAGCAAUCAAACACAUCUUAGAUGAGAAUAUGAGCUUAAGAGUCAAUACUGAGAGAAAAGAAGAGAUGAAAAGAAAGAAGAGAAAAAUAUGAACUAAAGUGUCAUAUCUAAACAUGCUUUUGAGAGAUAGAGCUUCAAAGUCAUAUGCAUCUUGUUGACAAGAUGAAGAUGAAGAAGGGGAAGAAGAAGAGAUAGAAUGCACUGAUUGAGGGGAAACAUUUCCAAUCUAUUGAGUAGUGAAUCUUCUACAUGAAUUCUCACAUGCAAAAUUGAUUGAUUCAUUCAAUCAAAAAGCUAUGUAGCAAGAAGAAAAAGAAGAUCGUUGAUGUUGAUGUUCUAGUUCUACACUCCUACUUUCAGAAGACCACAAAUACAAGAGAAACAACACGAUGAAGAAUAACAAGGCUGAGCUAAUUCAAGGAUAACAUCCAUGCCUAUGCUAGACAGAAGAAUGAUCUUGAUCAAGAGUGCCCAGUGUCAACUAAACAAGGAGAUCAUGUCAAUUCCAUAAAGUACUGAGACCACUUCAUUGUAUAUUAGCUCUAUCCUAUACAACUAGAGAUAAAUUGAUUGUAUUGCGUACUUGUAUACAUCUCAUAAGUCUGUAUGAACAACACUCUCGAUUGUAAUUACUUCAUAUAUGCCUGAAGACGCAUGGAAAAGAAUAUGUGUAAUGCCUAAAGAGGUAGGAGAAAGAAUACUCAACAAUGCGUGGAGAGGCGUGAUAAAGAAUAUUUGUUUACCUGGAGAGGCAAUGUAUAAAAGAAUACUCGUUUUCCUAGAGACGCAGUGUAUAAAAGAAUACUCCUUUGCCUAGAGAGGCAGUAUAUAAAAGAAUAUUCAUUUUCCAGAAGAGGUAGUGCGGAAAAGAAUACUCUUUGAACCUGAAGAGGCUCGUACAAGAAUACUCAACAAUGCUUGGAGAGGUAGUGGCUAAAGAAUACUCAAUGUUCCUGAAGAGGCAUGUACAAUAAUGUAAGGAGAAGUCUCCGAUACUUGAUAGUGAAAAUCUUGGUUGUUGUCAAGGACUGGACGUAGCCCAUCGAUAUAGGGUGAAUCAAACACUACUUGAUAUGGACGAUGACGAACGCACUGUCGCGGGUGCGUGUCAAAGUAUUCUGCUUUGAAUGCAGUACAAGGUGUUGAACACCAGGAUCGAUCUCACAAGGACUCAGUGAAGUAUUAAUUGAUAUUAGAGUAAAACAAAAGAAAAUUAAAAAGGGGGUUUGGUUGAAUUGAUUGAAAAGUAAGCAAACAAAAAUUAAAAGAGAUUUAAAUCAAAUAAAAGAAAGUGUUAGUCAUCGGAUUAUAACAUUCAAGUGCAACAAACCUUCAUCGGUGACAAAAGAUUAAUUCUUCCUUAUUUUUUCCCUAAUUCGUGAGAGUUGAUUAACUAAGCGAAAAUCAAUUCACAGUUUCCUAAACUAAGCGAUUAAGAAACAGUUACGAACUAACAUGAACUAAGCGAACAUGCAUCAACUCUUAUUUCUAAAACUACGGAAUUAAGCAAACCCUAGAUCAGAAAUAGAGAUGAAGAGAAUUAAUAAAGAAGAAAUUUGCAUUAAGAACAGAACCUCAAGUUUGUAAACACAAGAAUAUUAAAAAUCCUAAGACUAACUAGGGAGUUUAGCAACUCAUACUAGAAAAGAUGGAGAGAGAUAUUAGGAGAAGGUGGAGGAGGUGAUGGUGAGAUGUGGUGAGGUGGUGAGGUCUAAAAAAAGCCUAAACUCACUUAUUUAUACUAAUAAAUAAACUUGUUCAUCAAGUAACAAUCUUUGUUAUCUAAAUCUUUUCUAAAUCUUCACAAAAUCGGGCCCACAUAAAGGAGUAAGCUGCUGAACAAUCAGGCAUUCGCGGGUCUCACAACAAGUUUGAAUCUUCAAUCGAGGUAAACAUGAGAGUUAUAGCUCUUUAAGUCAGCUUCGCGGGCCUUCAAUCGGAUCCUAAUUCGGAGUUCAGUAGCCCAAGAUAUGAUCAUUUUAGUGCAGACUGUUCCAGACUCGCAGGAUUAGCGACAGCAACUUUGCAAGGCCAUUUUGACCAUGUUAGAGGCUUGUUCUGCAAUUGUGCUGAACAUGAAAGUUGUAGGGCUUCGAGCUAGCUUUCCAAUGACAUAUUAUGGGCCUUAUUUAGAUAUUGCUAGCUCCAUAUUCAAUCUGUUCUAGCAAAACAAUCAUAGAAACUAAAAGUGUAGAAUUAAGCUCUUUUCCAAGAAUAAUCCAAAUAAACACUAAUGGUCAAAACAUGGCUAAGUCAUAACAAUUAAGCACAAAAAUGUAUAUAAUGAAGCUUAGAAAGACACACGUAAAGUGCAUCAAUUAUGCGCUUAUCAGACGACGACAAGGCUUGGGAGAUCAACCACGUGACUGGUGGUUCAUGUAUGGUUCGACAAGAGCAGAUGAUGUGGAAUGAUGUGUUGCGAGACAUGGAGGAGGCCUUGGGGAAACGUGAACUAUGAGUCGGUUUUGGGGUGUGAUAAUUGAUAAUUAAGUCUGUUCUUGGGGGUGAGCUAAGUUUGUUUGUAGGGUUCAAACCUAAACUAGAGGUCUUCUUGUUGUGUUGGUUUGGGAGCGGUCGAACACUAGUUUAAUAAUUAUGUUUUAAUUUCAAAGAAUCAUUGUACGCUUCUAAUGCUUUAUUAUUAAUAAAUGAGUUUAUUAUGUUAUUCCUUUUAAUGUUAGGUUUCUGUUUAAUAAAGUUUUAAUUUUCGGCAAAAAAUCACCCACGUUUUUGGAAAGAUUACUAAAGUGACAUUCGAGAAAUCAAGGCGUUACAAGUACAAAGAAUGCAAAGCCCCAAAAAAAACAAAAGAGGCCAUCAUACCUACCAAGACCAGCACAAAACCCCCGAAACCGACCCAAAAAAACAACUAAAGAAGACACCCAUCAUACAAGAUCGGGAAGAUUUUCUUUAAGUGAGCUUUUAACCCCUUGAUCAUCACCUCCUCAUGGCCUUUAUACGAGAGAGACAAUUCCUUCCCUAAGUUCUAUGUCCUUUAAGCUCUUGCCCUCACCCGAGCGAUCCUUCCCUUGAUUCAUAUGACACCACAAGAGGCAGAGAUUUCUUGUUGCAACUACCUUUCGGUAUGCCCCUCCCUUGUUUUACACCUUAAUCGGACUAGAACCACCGACAUUGACCAACUAAUUUUAGGAAAUUUAUUUUGCUUUCAAAUUUUAUUUAAAUUUAGCCGUAUUUUUAAUUAAAUACGACAUAAGGAGGUUUCUAAGAAUAGUAUGGAAUAGAGAAAAAGUCAAGAAAGGAAUUUCGGCGGGGGUGAUGUGUGUUAGGACUUGUCCAUUUUUUUCUUUUAAAGUAGUUUUUUAGUAUAAGAUUUGUCAGAAUAACUAUUACUCAUAAGUCUUUCCAAAUCAUAUAUAUAUAUAUAGUAUUAAAAUUAUGGGUCUAAUACAUUCUUAUUCUUGUGUAUCCAAAUAAUCAUUACUCAUAAGUUAAAUAUAUAAUAAAAAAGUACAAAUUAUUAAAAAUAUUUAAGUAAUAGUGUCACUGCAGGUGUACUUCGAAAGGUGUAACCACAUAUAAAUUUAUGAAAGUUUAUCUUCGUGCUCUAAAUAAUAUAUAUAACUUUGCCUAUAAUAAGACAACAUCUAUAAUAAGACAACAUCUAUAAUGGCACAAUGGUUUUUUUAUAAGCCAUGAAGAAUAUAGUGGCACAGUGGUAGCAGCAACUUUUUGCUUCCUUCACGUCCUGGUUUCGAACCUACUUGGCUACCUUUUUUAAUUUUUUUUUACAAUAACUACAAACUGGCCGGUACUAAGUCGGUCUGAUUCUGGCCGAUUUUCCCAGUUCUUAACCGGUUUAGCAGCUCUUUCUCCGGUUCUGUGAGUGUCCGAUUUAAUAUGUCAACUGAACCAGCCAUACUUCCGGCUCUCGAUUAAACGGUCGGACCGUCUGGUCCGAUCUGAUUUUCUGAACACUGAAAAAUAGUAUAUAGAAUAUGAUUUUCCCCAAAAAAAAAAUAGAUAAUAUCCUUAUCAUAAAACAUUCCUAAUAUCAUGAGUAUAUAUAUCAUACUUAUUUUACAAACAAUGUCUUUUUUUUUUGUUGCAAUGAGGGGAGAGAACCCCAAGAAAACACAAAGAAACUAGCUAAGGCCUACAGGGGGGCCAAGGACAGGGAACAUAUCCUGCUGCAAAAUGCUAUGGCACUCCCCAGAAGGGGAAUCAAAGUAAUGGUAACCAUAUGGAAGAUCGAGGCCUAUGCGAGCCAGAUAAUCAGCUAGGGAGUUAGCUGAUCUCGAAGUGUGCUGGAACAGAAGGGAGCUGUGGGCACUCUGUAAGUGAAGGAUAUGAAGAAUAAUCUGCUCAAACCGAUGGGAGCCAACCGCUGAACUAAGCACACUAAUAGCAUCCAUGGAGUCUGUUUCUAUAAUCACAUGAGAAAGAUCAAAACCCAUAGCAAGCUCGACCCCUGUUUUAACUGCUACAAAUUCAGUAAGGAAAACAUUGGCUGAUGAAAAAACACCCAAGUUCCUGCUAAUUUUUUAAAAAUAAAAAUUUAAACUUAGGUAUGAUUUAAAAAAUAACUCUUUUUAGUGUUAAAAAUAUGGGAAAAUAUAAUUGAAAAAGAGUUUAAUGAUUUUUACACUCAUAUUCAAUUACAAUAUGUCAUGUAUGAGAAAUAGUUACAUUCGUUUUAAUUUUACUUUUAUUAAAAAAAAUUAAUUUUAUCUAAAAUUAAUUGGAUGUUUGUAUAAACAAAACUGACAAGUGACAACCGUCAAUGAAAUUCUAUUGUUAGAAAAAUGUGUAGAAGGUACUCAUGCAUGUCACAUGAAAAUGUAAUUUUUACAGGUCCAAUCAUUUAGAAAUUCAAGUCUUAACCUUCUUUUGUUAACCUUUGUAAUUACUCCAACGUGACGAUUUAUAUUGAUUGGUUAUUGGCAGAUACAAUUUAUAGCUCACAUCUUGAAGUGAUGUUUAUUUUUUUUCUGUGUUGGAGGCAAGCUAAGUACAAAAUUAAUGUAUAAGAAGACAUUUAAAAUGCAAGGUUGACAGUUGACACAUUUGAUAAUCAUGCUAUACAUUGUUGCUAUAUGUGACUGGACUCACUAUGGGACCAUUGGCUAUGCCAUGUCAAUAGCAAUAGUAUGGCAAAUAUAAUGAUAAUUUUGACAUGUGCGAAUUCUUUUAUUAUUUUAAAAUUAUGGGCGAUUUAAAUGGUGAAUAUUUUUCUUUAAUUAAAUAAACCCCUCAUACUAAGGAUGUGUUUCGUUUGAGAGAAGGAAAGAGAAAUGAAUGGAAAAUAAAAAAUUCGAGAAAUGAAUUUAGACUACACCUUAAUCUAAAAUCAUUCCUCGGUUUCUGUGUUUUCUUUCCUUCCUCCUUUCCCUCCAUCCAAACAAAUAUAUUGUAAGAGAAAAUGUGAGAUGUGAUAGAUGAUAAGAAGGGAGAGAUAGAAACAAAAAUAGGUGAAAAUGAAGUGUUUAAAAAAUGAGGUUUGUAUAUAUCAUCAUUGGAAUGAAUGUGUUUGACAUGUAAUUAUUUCCAAUAGGUUUAUUUUACUGGAUUAAAUCAUAUUUAACUAGUUUAAAGUUAAGGCUCUUUAAUUUUAUUUUUUGUUAAAUUGACUUAUUUCAGUAGCUGAAUUGUUUUUUAAUAAACUAACUCGGUUAGCUUAUAGUGUAAAUCUAUUUAUUCUCAUUUUAAUCAUUAAUAUUUUAUUAAAAUUCCAUCCUUGCCUUUUUUAUAUUUAUAAAACCACUAAAUCCUAAUUAAUUUUAUUUUGAAAUAAUUACUAUUCAAAUUUUGAUAUAAAUACUUAAAUUAUUUUCUUAAUUUAGACAAAUAUAAGCUAAUUUUAUUAAAUUAAAAUAUUAAUUUAUUUGUUUUACUCUAUUUAAUUUAAUAUAAAUAUGAACAUAAAAAUAAAUUUAAAACUAAUAUUAUAUUUUAGAGAUGAUAAAUAUUUUGAACUAAAUUAAAAUAUUUAUAGUUGUAGUUAUUUUAAUAUAUAUGUAUAUAAAAAAAUUAAUAUAAAAAAUAAAAAGAACUAUUCAAGUAUGUUAUAAUUUUACGAUUUCAGCUUGUUUAACAGAUAUUUUUGUCAAACACAUUUUUAAUCAUGUAGCUUUUCAACUUCCAACUAUCAACUUUUCGCUCUCUUAUAAUUUUUCCAGCUAUACACUAGCUUAUAAACAUUCAACUAAUUUUUCAACUGUCAGCUAACAUAUCAUUUAGGCGUGUCAAACAUUACAUAGGUGAGUGAUGUACUAUAAUUUUUAAUUAUAAAAUAACUAAUUUUUUAAAAUUAAAAAUACCUAUAAUUUUUUCUUGAAAAAAAACUAUUUUAAAUGUUAAAGAUAUGCGAAAAAUAUAAUAGAAAAAGAAUUUAAUGGAUAUAUAAUCACAAUAUGUCAUUUAGGAUGAGAAUUUAAUGGAUAUAUAAUCACAAUAUGUCAUUUAGGAUGAAUACUUACAUUUGUUCUAAUUUUACUUAAAAUAAAAAUUUAAUUUUAAAGUUGCAGGAAAUCAAUUAAAUGUUUGUUUAAACAAAAUUAAAACAAACAAUCGUCAACGAAAUCCAUUUUAUUCAUUGUUAAGCUUCAUUUAUUAACUUUCAAAAAAAAAAGGUUCAUUUAUUAAAUUAGACUAAGACCUGCUCAAUGCAAUUUUGCAAAACAAUUAUUAGCGCCUUAUAUGCGCCCACUAGCAUGGUCCAAACUCCAAUCUGCAACAAUAUUUUAAGCCCCAACGCAGAGACACAUUUAAUGUGAAGCAGCAGCUUGAAACCUAUCCCUUUCAUUUCUUAUCACGAAUAUUUUGCUUUUGUUUCGUAGCGAGCUAGUACAAACAGUCCUGACUAUGCCAUGUGAAUUAAUUGAUCAUCAUCAUACACAGUCUCUUGAAAUAAUUGAAGAAAGAAGGAUAAGUGCUUGGCUUGAAGCUAGCCUCGUUGUGAAUUGAACGUGUGGUCCAAUCUCACAGCACGUACUUAACGGAGAGACAAAGAGACCCACAUUAUAUACAAAGAGACCCAACAUAUGGUCCAAAUAUGUGGAGCUUGGUGCAACUUCAUUCCUUAUAAUCACGACACUCAAGGUUGGAGGAGACCAUUAUGUGGAGCAUGGUGCAACUGCCAAUCUUGUUGCUACAUAUCACGGACCGCCUAUGGGGACCCCUGACAAUCUGAUCGACCUGGAAUUUUCACAUGUGCUAGUUCUUUUAUUAUGAUAUCAAGCAGCACCCACCCACAUACGUACACAAAACAGCUAGUAUCGGAUCUCUUUUGAUUAUCUUUUCUGAUUCAUGAUUGUGUGGUGACAUUGUUGCUACAUGUGACGGACUCACUAUGGGACCCCUGACAAAUGACAAUUUUGACAUGUGCGAGUUCUUUUAUUAUUUCGAGAAUAUGUGCGAUGGUGAAUAUUUUUCUUUAAUUAAAUAGGCCCCUCAUAUUAUACAAAUUUGAUAUAGGGGGUAAUAAAUAGGUCACUCACACCAAGUGAGAUAUAUGGAUAGAUAUAAGAGAAAUGAGAGAUAUAAUAGAUUCUUUGAUAAAAAGAUCUAAUAUAAAAAAUAAGUGAGUGAAUUAAAAUGGAAAAAAAUAGAGUAUGAAUGAGUAAUUAACAAUUCUCAAAAGAGUGCGAAAUGAGUCAAAUGACACAUUCCACUAGGGAUGUAAGCGAGUAUAUAUGGUCCGAUCCGAACACAUUACAGUGUGUUGGAUUGAAUCAUUGGUUUGGUUCAGAUUUGUUUUACUAAAUCCGAUCACCAUCGGUUCGGGUAUCGGAUUUGAGGAUUGAAAAACCAAUCAAUCUGAACCAACUCAAUGAAUUGAGAAUGUUCUUACAUUAAACUCAAACAUUUUCAGCCCAUUACAUUACAUAUUUAUAUUUGUAUUAUAGAUGUUAGUUUUAUUUGGAUUAUAUGAAUUAUGUAAUUAUUGAAUGUUAUGUUCUUUUAAAAUGUUGGAUUUUUCUAUUUUUUUUUUAAUUUUUCAAGUUUUAAGAAAAAAAUUCGUUCAUAUUUUCAAGUAAUAUUUUUUUUAUUUCAAACCCGACCAUGAACCGAACCAAUCCGAUUGAGAUCGGGUUGGUUUGGUUCGGUUUUAAAAGUAAAAAUCAUGAAAUCCGAACCAACCCAAACCGAACAUGUUUAAUUGAUUCAGACAUUUAAACACCCUAAAUCCGAACCAAUCCGAUCCGAUUACACCCGUACAUUCCACAAUUUAGUUUAAUUUCUCUUAGCGGUACAUUUCUUACAUACUUAAUGCAUAAUUUUGCCUGAGUGUGAAAAAAUUAGGAAAAUUAUACCCACUAAUUCUUAUUUUCGUAACACCUGCAUAAAAUGUAGUAUUAACUCUAUUCCUAAUUAAUGGUAAGAAAUACAAAUAUUAAAAAGUGCAAUUAAUUUUAUUAAUUUUUAUAAAAUUAUAAUUCUUUCCUAUAUUACUUUAUAUAAUGCAUUUUAUCUUUUCUAAUUUAUUGUUCUCACUUCUCACAGUGAUAUUAUUUAGAAAUAUAUCAUUUAAUGAUAUUUUAAAAUGCUAAUGAACAAAUAUAUAGAAAUAUUGUUUUUCUUUCUAAAUAGAACUGUAGGAGAUAGUAAAUAAUAAAAAUUUGUUAAAAAAUAUAUUAAAAGCCACGCUGUUGGCAUUUUUUAAAGAAAAAUGUUGGGUAAGCCACUCAAUAAUUGUAGACAAUUUUUUUUUUUUGAAAUCAUUGUAGACAAUCAUAUGAAUAUGAUAUAUACAUUCAAGUCUUGAUCCUCUUUUCUUUAUUUUUUAAAUAGUCCCACGCUACAAAUGCAAAUCUUGAAUAUAUUUGAAAUAGGUAAUUGUUAUUUUCACUCUCUUAAAAUGGCGAAGAGACAAAGUUUCUAUUAAUAAAAAAGCAAAACUACAAAAAUGUCAUUAGUGAAAAAAAAAACAUUACAACUCUUCACCCCAUCCUCACAUCCUCUCUCCUCUUUCUCUUUCUUCCCUCACCAACACCACUCAUCUUCAUCUCAUCCUCAUUCAUACUCAUCUCCAAACACAAUCUUCAUUUUCUUUUCUUUCAUUUUUUUGUCGUCGCUGUUGCCUAUUCCCAUUUGUCCAUCGUCGCCGUCGCCCCCAUCAUUGGUCGUCGUUGUUAGAGUCAUCAUUUUCAUAUUUUUUUCUGCAACUAAAAACACUUUAAAGUGCGUAACCUACGAACUUUAAAGUGCGUGACUCUCAUGCAAUUUAAAGUGUGUUUAGCUGUAAAUUUAAAGAGCGUUUAGCUGCAAAUUUUAACAUAACUAAUAUCAGAUGAUUUUAAAAAUUAUGAGACCACCACAAUAAAUCAAGAUAGGAUAUUUGGAGAUUUAUGGUGAAAUAAUUUUUUUCGAAAUUCAAAAUAAAAUAUCAGAUGUAGGAAUUUGGAUAAAUUCCACAAACCUUAGGACUGCAUGUGCUAAUGGACCAAUUACGUUAUUUUUCUCUUCAACUUUGUAGUUCACUCCGUCUUGAUCCAAGACUGAAAAAAAUUCAGUUUUUGGGACUGAAACGCUGAAAUUUGCAAUUUUCAUACUUUAAAGUGUGACCCUAUCACCCUAUAAAAGGAAUACCAUACAAAUGGAGAAAAUAAGAACUUGGUCCAUCAUCUAAGCUUUGAAGCCAGAAACUAAAAGAAAGUUCUUCACAACAUAUCAUAGCACUUUGAGCGCCAUGUUCUCUCUGAAAUACUCUGAAAAAGCCUAGUAAAAUCAAAUAAAAGCAGUCGUGAAAGAGUAACCUAAGCUUACAAAAUAUUUACAUCACUCUUAAGCAAGAGAACCAAAGUAGAACAUUAAUCUUGUUGGGUUUAGGAGAAGUCUUGUAGAAUAAUUGUUGGGAGAAGUCAUGUCGAAUACUUGUAGGGAGAAGUCCUGUCGAAUACUGGGAGAAAACAUGUUUAAUACUUAGUGAAAAUCUUGGUCAAAGCCAAGUUCAGAACGUAGCCCGCCGAUAUUGGGUGAUCCAGGAUAAAAAUCUAUGUGUUCCCUCCUUGUUUACUGUUUUCAUUCCUUAGUCAAAACCGUUCAACACUAUUCGCAGCACAAAACUCUUUCAAAAAGAUUUCUAAACCAGAAAUUUCACAAGCAUAAAUCUUUGAAAAGCUCGUAUUCUCUAACACAAAAUUCAAACUCCCCUUUCUUAUGUGAUUUUUAUUAUUAUCAAGAUGUUGAUGGUUGGUAAAGAGUUGGGUCGCGUUUGGGAGGACGCUUAUGAGGAGGCCACUGAGGAAUGUGUGCAACAUCUCAAACGUACCCACCCCAAUAAGUAUGGGGCCUCUUGAGGCAAAAAUUUUUAGUGGUUUAAGUUAUUUUUCCUUUCGUUGUUUGUUCCGUUGUUGCUUUUAGGGUUGCACUUUUUUGUUUAUUUUGGUAGAUUUGAUUUGCAUCGUUCACCCAUAUGAGAGGGUUGGUCUCAUAGCUGUUAUUUUCAUGAAAUAAAGUUGUACUUUUAAAAAAUAAAUUUUAAUAAAGGUUUUAUUUUGAUAUAUUGGUCAUAAUUGAGAAAAAGUGAAGGUAUAAAGUACGGGAAAUAAUUGUUAUACUACAUAAAAUAUUGAUAAUAUAGAUAUAACUAGUUUUUGCACUAUCCAGGACUUAAAGGGUUUUGAACACAUUAAUUAUUUUCCUAUUGUAGAUUUUUUAAGGCUAAGUUUAAUUGAGAUCUCAACAUUGCAUAAUAUUUAUUGUUUGUAGUCGUUGUUUGUAAUUGUUGUUUGCGUCGUUGUAAUUUUUCAUAAUCGAGAGGAUUUGAAUCUCAACUUUUUUUUAAUAAAAUUUUUGCUUUAAAAAAUUAGUGUGACUGAAUAUUUGAAGGAUCACCUACUUCGGAACGACCAUGUAUAGUUUGGAAUUUGGGACUUUAAUAGGCCAAGGUAAGAGCACUAGGUCUAGAGGUCUUGACCUCUUUUCGCAUGCCUUAUGAUUAUUGUUGAUUGUGAUUGACAACAUAAAUAAUUUUUAUAUUGUUGAUAUGGUUUAUUGUAUGCUUUGAUUGCUAACAUGCUAUAUUUGUUGUUGUAAUUAUUGUUGAGAUCUUGAUAUUUUGAUACAUUGAAAAUAUUGAGCUAUUUUAAGAAGCUUACUUGGACUUCGGAAUAUUAAAAAUUUGACUAACUUUAUGGCAGUUUCAUCUUGAUUGGUUAAGGGGAUGAACCUUAAUCAUAUUUAAUUUGAUCGUCUAGGGAGUUGGCCCUAUUCGUGUGCGGGUUCAAUCAAAAGAUUGAUUCCCCUUUUGUUGUUGCCUUUACAGCUACCCGAAUCAUUUGCUUUUUGAAGGAGACAAACCUUAAUUGUGCACUCAUACCUAGACUAACUCUAGGCGAUACUUGACUAGAGCUUUUGACUAGGAUUGUAUAAUGAACUAUGUUCCCUUACCUAUUUGUUAUGACAUGCUCUGUUUAAGUCUUAUUUGCUGGAGUUGACCUUACUUGCUUGUACAACUUGUUGUUUGGGAGCUGAACACGUUUCUGUUUGGUAAUUGUUCUUGGGCGCUUAACGCAAUUUUUAGAUGCUGGAGAACUAGUUGGUGAGAUUUGAGAACAAGGAGUCCAACGCGUGGACCUUUGAUGUGGUGACGCGGAGAACUACAUAUUGAAGUAUGGCUAGGCGUAGAGAAGCUUGAAGCGGCGAUGAUGAGGGUAUAUUUUUGCACGCGUUGUUAUUUUUCUUAAUUUCUAGAUAUAUUAUAUAACUAUUGGGUAUUAUUUAAAUAUUAUGAUAUAGAUAAGAGUUUGAAAAUCUUAAAUUCAAUUGGAAAUAUUUUACAAAGCGAGAGUUUAAAGAUAUACUCAUUUGAAUUUAAAUAACACUCUUAGGUUGUCUUAUCUAUGAAAAAUGAUUUUUAAUCAAGCAUUGUGUUGUACCUUACUUUCUUGAAAACUUCUCAGAUUGUUGCUUGGAUGAUGGUGGGCUUGUUUUAAAAAAUAACAUCACCUUUUUGAAGAAAAAAAUUCGAGCUAGUCCCUAGACUUGUUGGGUUACUAAUGUGAUCCAUGGUUGAUAAAUUGGAGCGCUACAUCACCUGCUCCUCUGGAUAAUGUGUCAUUCCAUCCUGAAGCAAGUGUUCAGAAGUGGAAAUUAUGUUUGUCAGGAAAAUAUUGCAUGUGAGAAAGAGUGUUGCCAAGAAGCUAUGGAGUGCAAGGAUAUCAUGGACUUUCUUGCUGAUGUUGGGUUGUCAUAACUCUAUGACUAUUUGUUAUGUGCACUUUGACUGCCUACAAUUAGGGGUGAGAAUAGGUCAGACCGUUCGUAGGGGCCUAUGGCCUAGCCUACCAUAGGCCCAGGCCAGGCCGGGCCAAAUUGUUGAAUAGGCAAGGCUUAGGCUUUUUGAAAAGCCUAUUUAAAAAGGUCAGGCUCAGGUCAUUCAACAAGCCUUGUAAGCCUUACAGGCUAGCCUAUUUAAGUAAAUAUGAUUAGUAUUUUUUUGGUAAAUUGUAAAUAUGAUAAGUAUAAAUAUAUUUUACUCUUGAUGAUGUCUAUAUAUUAGAAAUUUAAAAUAAUAUCUUGAUAUUAUAUACUUAUUGAGAUUCUUAUAUAUUUAAGCAAAUUGACUUAUAUAACGAUUCAAAGAUAUAAGUCUUUUUAAAAAUAAAUAUAUGACGUAUUUAAAUAUCUUAAUAUGACGUGUGAUUUUAAAUUGGCUCUCCAACUCUAAGAAACCAACAUAAUCUCCUUUAGUUUCAUCACUACCUAUUAGCUAAUAAUAUUAUAAGUUUGAUUGUUGAAAAAAUUAUUUUAGUAUAAUUUAAUCCGUUAGCCUAUAAGUUUGAUAGCUUCUUUACAGAUAAAUUUGUUAACAAACGUAAAACUUUUGUUGUGAAACGGGUCUUUAAACAGGCUACCAGGCCAAGCCAGGCUUUCGGAAGGCUCAAGCCAGACUCGAAAAAAAGCCCUUGAUAGGUCAUAGGCCAGGCUUAUGCCUUAAAAUUUUUAAACAGGCCAGGCCUAUUUAAGCAAAGUCUACCUAGGCCCAGCCUAUUCCCACCCCUACCUACAAUGGACAUCUUUGGUAAGCAUUUGUGGAUUUAGUCUCAACAUGUUUCCUGGUUUCAUCUAGCUACCUUUGCCAAAUUGUGCUAAUAAGGGGCAGUAAUAGUAUGUGUAGUUUCUGCUGCUGUGUUUGUGGUUUUGGUAGCAUCUUGCUACUGUGAAGAGGUUAGCUGGUUAGUUGUGGUUGUUUUCGAGCAGCAUCUUGCUGCUUAUGAUGUGUUAAGUGUGUGAUAUGUUGUGCUGAACUCUGAUCUAGUUGUUACUGCAUUUGGAUGAGUAUCUGCAGUAUGGUUGAGAGAUUGGUUUUGUACAUAGCUGCUGAAAAUAGCUAUGUUAAACGUGUUCGUUUGUGUAAGCUACCUUGAUAAAUUUUAUUUGCUCUGAUCUGAUAUUUCAAGCUGCAAGUUUUUCUGAAGAGCUUUAUGGUAAUGGAUUGUAUUAGCUAAAAUUUGACAAAGGGGGAGAUUGUUGUUGCUUUGUUAUGAUUGUCUACAUUUUAGCUAAUGUAUGCUGUGUGCCAACAUGUCGGACAUGAUGUAGAGGAUUGCAUUAGCUAAAAUUUGACAAAGGGGGAGAUUGUUGUUCCUUUGUUAUGAUUGUCUACAUUUUAGCUAAUGUAUGUUGUGUGCCAACAUGUCGGACACGAUGUUGUAACAUCUUGACUAUGACAUGUGUCCCUGCGGAUCUUAUAUGAGUUGGCUAAGUUAUCUGUGAAGCUUUGUUUUGAUUACAUGGUAAUCAAGUUAGGGUUUUGUUGGAAGCUUAUGUGCGCCGUUCAAGGAAUAUAUCAAGUGUGAUCAAAUCAGUUUUAGGGAUUUGACAUGAGAUAUUUAUGGAAGUUUUCAUCUGCAACUGAAACGCAUCUUUGAAGAUUUUCUGCAGAUUUGUUUCAUUAAUAACUUCAUGUUUUGUGUGAACUCUUUGCUGGCCCAAACUCAUCAAAGACAAGGCUUAGACAACUGCUACUUAAGAAGACCUAGACCUAGUUGCUAGGCGGUGCUUCUUGUUGAGAAAAUUAGGGUUUACUCUUGUUUUGUUCAAACUUGGUGUUCUCUCAGCAGCUCUAUGUUUUUACUGUAAGCUGAGAGUUGUUGUGUUAGUUGUUUGAUCUUGAGAUCGUCUUUACUCUUGUUGUAAGAGAUUAAUCACUGUGGCAGUGAUUGUGAGAGAGGGUUCUCAUACUUAGGGGGAGACCUAAGUAAUAAACCACAUGUAGGAAUGAUGACCCGGGUUUAUAUGAUGUUUUUAUGGUUUUUCCUUGUAGGUUUUGAGUCUUUUUCUUGUGUCUCAUGUAGUGUUUCAUGCAUUCUCAUGCAUUUUUACUUUUAUUUGUGCAUUUGCAUUAGUUUAGUAAUUAUGUAGUUUUAUAAGGACUUUAGUUGCAUUUUAGUAUAGUUUUGAGUCUUUUGUUAAUUGUCAUUAGUUUUUGAGUCCCUUGUGCAAUUAAAUGGUUGGUAUUCUUGAUGUUUUUCCUUGAGCUUUGAUGAGAGUAAUCAGGUCCGAAACUGAAGAAGAAGGAAGGUCAAGAAGCUUGGUGAAUUGAAGGGAAGCUUAAAGAGGCAUAAAGAGGAGUUAAAAUGAAGAUCAAGGGACUUUCCAGCGAGUCUGAGCGCCUAGGCAUGCUCCAUUGGCGCCUAGGCGCCAAUUGCCCUGUUCCAGAAAUUGGAAUUGGCGCCUAGGCACUCUGAAUUGGCGCUCAGGCGCUUUGAAUUGGCGCCUGAGCGCCCGGAACAGCCCAAACUCGUGAUUUUUGCCUAUAAAUAGGAUUUUAGUCAUUUUCUUUUGGGGAGUUGGAUAUCUUUUCAUACUUUGUAAAAUUCAGAGGUAGAGGAUCAUCUAGGAUAGUGAGAGAAGGCUUCCAAGCUUGUGUUCAAGGUUCUUAGCCAAGCAUGGCUCUUGCCAUGCUUCGCUAAUCUCUCUUCUUUUACUUUGGUUUUCUUGUAAGACUUUUCCUUUUAAGUUAUAAUCUUAAGUUCUUUCCCACAUGUUCUUCUUCUUUCCUUGAAUCCCAUAUCCAUGCUUUAUGUUUCAAGUUAGAACAUGUGCUAGCUUUAUGCUUUUGUAUAAUAGAACGGAAGUUUGUUAUAGAUUAGGGACUUGUUAUGGGAUUACCUCUUCUAUACUUGCUACUAGGAAUAGAGGAAGGGUUGGGGUUUGUUGGCCUGAACUUUAUAAUCUUUAUGCUUCAAACAAAUGUUUAAGUACACAAGGAAUUGGGCUUAUCUUUUGGUUUGAAUGAAUUAUCUAUGCGAGGCAUCGAUAGGUAGUUGCUUAGGCUAUAACAUCAAGGAGAGAUUCAUGAGAACAUGUGCUUAGAAUGAUGUGCUUGAAUUGAUUAGUUAAGCAAGAACCCAAAGUAAAUCACUCUUUCUUUUCAUUCUCUAUUUCAUUUCUGAAUUUAUAUUUUCUUUUUCCUUAUUACUACUUCGUCAUAUGUUUGCCUCAAUAAAACAAACCUUCAAACUCAAAGCUUGAACCGAAUCUAUUCACUCACAAUCCCUGUGGUUCGAUAUUUAAAACCGGGUGAACUUUAUAAUCUUUAUGCUUCAAACAAAUGUUUAAGUACACAAGGAAUUGGGCUUAUCUUUUGGUUUGAAUGAAUUAUCUAUGCGAGACAUCGAUAGGUAGUUGCUUAGGCUAUAACAUCAAGGAGAGAUUCAUGAGAACAUGUGCUUAGAAUGAUGUGCUUGAAUUGAUUAGUUGAGAAAGAACCCAAAGUAAAUCACUCUUUCUUUUCAUUCUCUGUUUCAUUUCUGAAUUUAUAUUUUCUUUUUCCUUAUUACUACUCCGUCAUAUGUUUGCCUCAAUAAAACAAACCUUCAAACUCAAAGCUUGAACCGAAUCUAUUCACUCACAAUCCCUGUGGUUCGAUAUUUAAAACCGGGUGGAUUCGUACACUUGCGGAUUUACCAACAAGGAAUAAGUAGGAAAGGCUGUGAACAGGGGCUGUUCAAUUUAGACCUUUUGUGUACUUGAUUCUCUAUAAUAAUGAAUUAUCUUUCUUGGGCUGAAGCCCUCCAGAUGUAGGUGAUGUUGCACCAAACUGGGUUAACAAUUCUCUGUGUUCUUUAUUGUUUUUUGUUGAUCUAAUACUAUGUUUCACUUCUGUUGUUAUCUGCUGUACGUUGUGCCAUAUGUCCUAGACAUUUGGUUCGACAUCUUUCCUGUGUGUGAACCAGAAUUUCAACCUAGUUUAUUAUAUUAAUUAAAUAAUAUUAAGUAAUAUUUUAUGUGAAUCAUGUGUGAUAUAUGGUGCAGUUAUUACCAGAGAUGCCUUAGCACGGUAAAUUGUUUGACAUAGGUGACAUUAGACACUAGUAAUAUCUGAACAAGAUGUACACCAUAUUACGACUGCUUUGACUGUAAUACUGAUAAUAUAAUAUUACAGUGACUUUUAGGGCAUAAAAUGUCUCAACUGUGUCGAUGAGUUAGUAGGUUCCGACGAUGUGGAAGAUUUUGUGGACCACACCAUGUGCCAUGAGUGGGGUGUGAAAAUAGAGGAUAUUCCAUGGGGAAUAUCCCAUUUUUCCUUUGGGAGAAUUUAUUUGAAUAAAAUGGAUAUUAUUUAAAUGGUAAAAGUUAUUUAAUUAUUUUUAUUCAAAGUUCUAUUACAUAAAUGUAUUGAAAAAAUAUUUUUGGGUAUUGAUGAAAGCCUUGGUCCAAUGUUUUGGGGGGAAAGGAAGAAAAAUUCUCAAAUUUAAAUUUAAAUAUUAAUUCUUGCAUUAAGUGUUAAUUAGGAGGCGAUUCGAGGGAAUGUUCAUUGACUUUCAUUAUGAAGGGUGCCACAAUUUGAAUGUGAAGAUUUUUCAAGGACCUUUUUGAAAGGAAAAUAAUUUUCUUUAAGUCACGAGGGCUGAUUUAAAGUCUUAAGGAGUUAAGGUUUUAAUUGGAUUUUUAAAAUAGAAUUAAAACACAAAGUCAAACCAAGUUUUGGGACCAAAUCAAGAGAAGGACUUUUUUGUGAAAACCCUAGGUUGAGCUUGGUGUAGUCGCGUUGCUUGUCGUUGAUUUCAAUCUUGGCGUUCUACGUUGUCCUUUAUCAGGGGGACUUGUUCUUGACACCUUGUUCAUUCAAUAAAUCUUUUGCUUUCGAAAAAAAUGCAGCAUGUACAAUUCAUACUUUAUUAUUCGCUCCACUAUUUUUUUUUGUCUUUGAUGAAUGUCUCCACCCAUUCGAGAAACUAUAGUUGUAUAUUCCCCCUUCCUUAUAUAGAGUUUUGGUAUUUGAUUGUGCAAGUCUUAUCGCACAAUGUGAAUUUUAUCACCAAAACAUUGGACACGUAUUUGGCUUAAUAGCAUUUUUUGUCCCUCACAUAUCACGAUUUGACAGUUUUAGUCAAUUAAGGUAUAUUAUAGUAAUUAUUUUAUCUCUUAGUAUUUUAAAUAAAUAUUCUAAAUAUUAUUUUAAUCAGAAUUACCAAAAUUAUAGUUCAGAAACUCUAAGGGGACUAAAAUGUAAAAAAAAUCUUUGAGGACUUAACUAUAAAACCUUCACUAUUCACGUUCACAUCAUCAUUAUAAUACUCUACGAAUUCAGGAGGUGGUGCUAUGCUUGCAUGAAUUUUUGAAGUAGAAAAUCAUACACUAAAAAUACACGUUUUUUAAUAACACUUUUGGUCUCUCAUUUAUCACGAUUUGACAGUUUUGGUCCCUUAUAAAAUUUAUUAGCCUACAACAUCCCUCACAUUUACUAAAUGUUACAGUUUUCAUUUUUCGUCAACUUUCAUCCAAUAUAUAAUGUUUUUUAAUUUAAAAAUCAAUUAAAAACAAGGCUUGAAGAACACUUUAAUCUUCUAUGUCUUCUAUGAUUAACAAUUUUAUGGUUUAUGGUUUUUUUAAGUGAUUUUUUGAUGAAAAACCGUUAAAUAUUGAAUGGAAGUUGGCAGAAAAUCAAAACUGCAAUAAUUAGUAAACGUGAGAGGAACGUUGUAGACUAAAAAAUUUAUGAGGAACAAAAACUCUCAAAUCGUUAUAAGUGAGGACAAAAAAUGCUAUUAAAGAAACGUAUUUUUAGUGUAUGAUUUUCUACUGGAAAACUUCAUGCAAGCACAGCACCACCUCCUGAAUUCUUAGAGGAAUAUUAUAAUGAUGAUGUGAACGUGAAUAGUGAAGGUUUUGAAGGCUUUAUGUUUAAGUCCUCAAAGAUUCUUUUCAAUUUUAGUCCCUUAGAGUUUCUGAACUAUAAUUUUGGUAAUUCUGAUUAAAAUAAUAUUUAUAAUAUUUAUUUAAAAUACUAAGAGAUAAUUUGAUUUUGUAAAUAAUUACUAUAAUAUAUCUUAAACUGAUACAUGUAUAUACACAUACCCAUAUAUAUAAUCUAUUUACAUUACAUUAAGCUAACAGGUUGUCAGUGGGAUGUUACAAAAUCGAUAUUGGUUCACUAUGAUUGUUAUGUUUUGUUGCUCCCAAAGUUAUUAUGUUUAAUUCUAGGGGUUGUCUAAAUGACUCAUGUGUGUUACUAAUUUAACAAUCAAUAGACCAAUAUGAUUUUUUAUAACUAAAUUAAUAAAUAAAAUAUAGAAAUUUCAACUCAUUUAUCUUCAAUGUAAUUGGGUGAUGAGUUAUUUAACCCAAACUUUCUCAUGGGUCAUUUAGACAACCCCUUAAUUCUAUCUACUAUUUGAUCAGCAUUGUGGUUUAUGUUCACCCAGACAGGAUUCUCCAGGUAGCUUCUGAGGAACAUUGUUUCCCCCCUCAUUCAGUUGGUUUCGAACUAGCCCUAAUGGCACUUGAUUCAUUUGGUUCAAUUGGGGCUGAUCUUUUUGGGGUACCACACUUAUCCUUAAUUUGGUUAGCAUUGUUUUGAAACUCAUUGUUGUAAAGGUUACCCACAUGGUCAUUUGUAACAUUUAAUGCAUUAGCAAUUAUACCCAUCUGCGGACUUGCCUAGUCAGUUACUAAAAAGUAUUAUUUGUGUUCUGAAGCAAUGGGUUAAACACAGUGCCAAUAUGUUGGGCUAACAUAUUGACCAUCUCAUGAUUGCUAACAUCCAUUUGUUGCCUUAAGACCCGUACAAUAACAUUUGUUAAAGAAUUCACUGGAAUAGACAUACCACCCCAGUCACCCCUGGGGGAUAAGAGCCGUUUCGACCCAUGUCGAAGCCAAAACCUGAAACGGAUUCCUAGGGGAACCUAUUAAAACCAAAUUAGCCGAGUAAAUGGAUUAAGGACGUGGGCAUGCCAUAUGGAGGGUCCCUUAUAUGAAUGGUUAACUUAGGUUGAAUGACACUCAUAACUGCUUGUGAGACUACCAGUGUGGUAGCCUGGUAGGACUAGGCAUAGUAACCACGACUGAAACCGAAAUUUCGGCUACACCGAUUGUAGUACCCGCUAGCUCCAUGUUAGCAUUAACCACAUUGCCAUUGUUAUUAACUGCAUUCUCACAAUUAUCGUCAAUUGUCCCUGAUUAACCACAUUUUGGUUAUUGCUCGGGCCAAGAUGGCAUGCGGACAAAUUAUUGUUUCUUGAUUUAGUAUUUUCCAUACAUAUUAACUUCCCACUUCUCAAACGCAUAAAACGUAAUAGAGAAGAACAUAAUUGACAAACUUAUAAAAAUAUUUUCACAAAAGAGUCUCAUGGGUGUGCCAAUUCUCUUACGCUGAUUUUUGGUAAAUAAAUAAGAGAAUCCAAAGAUCAAUCUGGGGACUGAAUUCAAAUCUUCUUGAUAUCUUUGGUAAAAAUAGUAUAAGGGUCAAUUAUAAAUAUAAGAAUAAAAAGUGAUUUAAAAUUGCAAAUAGUGACAAAUUAAGUAAUUUAAAAACAAAUGAAUCAAAAGAUAAAGAAAAUAUUUGGAUAAUCUUCAAAUAAGCAAUAUAAUACAUAAGAGUUUCAAAAGAUUUAUACUUUUUUCCUCCUUAAACUUUUGUUGCCUUCAUUUUCGACUUAAGUAUUUUAGAGUUAAUUAUAGCAAAAUAAUUUGUGAACCCUAAAUAUAACUUGAAAACACCUAAUUAUAGGCUAAAAUCCUAACUACCAUCUGUUUACGGCGGUUUUUGGUAAACAAAUAUCCUCUUAGUUCGACUAAAGGAAGUUUAGAUUCGGGGUCCUUUUGGGAAAACGUCUUGCCAAAGUGUUGUGUGUGAGUUGAUAUUUUUCGACAACAAUGCACGAUUCAAAAGAAAUUGGAUUUCAUUAAACACGGGUCAAUUACAUGAAGAUCAAAGUGCAACAAAGUGAAAAGAAAACUGCAGGGAACGUAAAUUUCGACAAGAAAUUAAGCAACAGGACUAGUAAAAUUAACAAGCGACGCUACAAACUUAAAUGCAAGAAAGAUAAACAUUUGGUUCUGCAACAUACUCCUCCAUCAUCACGUCUUGCUCCUUGAGUCUCAUUGAUGCAGACAUUAGAGCUUUUUAGUGAAUUUUUCAGAGUUGAGCUGGGAACCCUUUUUUCUGACUUGAAUUCUCCCAUUUAUAGAGCAUAUCCUUGGCGGUUUUCUUCUUCUUCUUGGAUGGGUUAGUCGGUCUAAUCCCCUCUUCCCACGAUCUGGAGUUGGUUUUGGAAGUUCCUUGUGCGGUGGUGGAGAUUGUGUGCCUCAACUGCUUCAACCGCUUCUUGGCCACGUAUUCAACCAACGUGGUGAGAAUCCGACUUGGUCAAUGCUGCACAUGUUAAAUGUGCCCCUGUUUGUAGCAGUAGUUCCCAUUGUCGAAUUCGACUGCUCCUUUAACUUGGUGCAUUUUUCCUUUCCCUUCUUUAGUCUAAAUUCGACCACCUUGUGUGCUUUGGGCCGAAUGCGUUUUUUCUUUUCUUUUUUGGGCCAAAAUAUUGGGCCAACACCAUCCAACGGAAAAAUAACUAUAACAAAACAUGUAUUCUUUGACUUGAUUUGAGUUCUACACGCGUCCUUAAAAACUAUAACUUCCAAAACCUUCAUCCCAGUUGCGUCAAAGAAUGAAGUUUUCCGAUUUCAAAUAAUGAUAUUUUCGACCUUGGAUUCAGCAAGAACGCAAUCUUACUUUGUUUUAACUCCAUCUUUAUGUUGCCUCGAGCUCUGAUAAAAAAAACAUGCCUACAACACUGUUUACGAUGAUAUUUGGUAAACAAACAUUCUCCAAUUCGACUGGAAAAAGUUAAAGUUAAGGGUUUUUUUGGGAAAACGUCUUGCCAAAGUGUUGUGUGCAAAGGGUGUGUUUUUCGACUGGAGCAAAGUUGUAAGGGAAAUCAGCGAUUUACAAGAAUUAAAACUUGAAUUGCAUUAAACUUGAGUAAAGUGCAGAGUACAAAAAGAGAAAUUCGAAAAGCAAAGAUUACAUCAAGUAAAGAACUCGAUAGGAAUUCAAACUAAACUUAAACACAAAGCAAAGUGUCAAGGCAUUAAUCAUAAAUCGUUGGUUCUGCAACAUACUCGUUCAUCAUCACGUUAGGCUCUUGAAGUUUCUUUGAUGUGGACAUGUGAGCUUUUUAGUGAGUUUUUAGAGUCCAGUUGGGAACCCUUUUUUCUGAAUGAUCUUCUCCUAUUUAUAGUGCUCUAUUGAUUCACACGUCCUUGGCGAUUUUUUCCUUUGCUGAAUGGGUUAGUGGGCUUGAGAAUCGGUGCUAUGCUCCAUGAUCUCUUGCUUAUUCUGGAAGCUUCUUGCAUCAUGGGGGAAGGCCUCCAUUUCUAACUGCCCACUUGCAUCGUGGGGGAAGGCAUGUGCUCUCAACAGCUCUUAACUGCCCACUCUUUCUGUAACCGUUUUAUGCGUUUAGCUGCAGGUCCCUUUUGUGGCCGAACUCCACAGCUAUGACUCAUUCUGCCAUUUAACUUAGCGUUUUUCAUGGCUGCCUCUUUUAUCAAAUUUCGACUAAAGUCGAUAAACCUUCUUUUGACGAAAUGAUGUCGACGAGCCUUCCCUUGGUGAAACUUUGAGCUAACAAACACUCAACUUAAUCUUCUAAUGUCAAAACCUAAAUAUUCAGUCGAAGCUUCUCUUCCAAUCCAAUUGGAAUUCGACUAAAAUUUCCAGCUUAACAAACAGUUUGUACAUCUGAACAUUAUAACUUAAAUCGGUCACAAUAUGAUUAAAUUGGAUCAAUUGUUCUGAUGCAGGUAAAUCACCACUGAAUUGUCUGUGAAUAUAAAUUAAGUGGUACACUAAUAGAGUUGGGGGUGCAAGAGAAACAUGUACCAGCAACGGGUCAAAGUUAGCCUCAAACAUGUACUUCCGUGUCUUAAAAAUUUCCAUCAGGAAGCUUCCCUUCCUCACAUUCAUUCUCAUCUUCUGAUAAAAAGCUUCAGCAUCCACAUUAUACUUCGUUGUGUUCAUGAACACCAUCACCUACGUUAACUUAAGAGUGCCACGUGACUCAUAAUUCACCUCAUAGUUUUAUGGUUGCAAAGGAUUCACUUCAUUUGAGGUGAAUUCUAAAAUCAAGCUUUAUCACAUGGCCAAAAGUAUCACAUUUUGGUAAAUAUUUUCCUACUAAAAUAUUUUUCAAUAUUUAAGAAAAACCAGAAGAAAAAAAGUGUGAAAAUUGAAAAAACGUGAUUCCUUUCCCUCAGCGUGGCAUAUUUUUUUUUGCUAUAUCGGAAAAUUGACAACAAAAACGAAAAAACUAAGCUACAAAAAGGGAGUCCCUAAGAAGGAUGAGUUGCAGCUCCUGCUCCAGCUGGUGAAUAGCCUGAGUGCUCGGAGAGGAGAGAUUAUAACCCUGCUUAGAAAGCCAGUCUGCAGCAGAAUUACCAUCUCUAUGUAUCCAACUAAUACUCACACGCCAGUUACGCGCCAUGAGCUGCAUGAUUUCUUUGAGGAUUGCAACUUGAGGAUGAUGGUGCACACGCUCCAAGUGCCCUUCUUCCAAUAAGAUUACCAGAUUGUCACAGUCAAUGUCACAUGAGAUGUUCCUAUGCCCUGAAUUCCAAGCCAUGAGAAGACCCUCCUUCAACCCUAAUGCCUCUGCCACAAAAGGAUCUCCACCAUGAGCCAGUGACGUAAAUCCUGCAAUCCAGCAUCCAGCCUUAUCACGAAGAAUACCGCCACCACCCAUGCAAUUUUUCGGUUCUCGAAAGCUUCCAUCGGUAUUAAGCUUGACAAAAUUCUCCUGAGGUGGCCUCCAUACAUUUUUUCUAAGACCCGCACCAAUACAUAUCAGAUCUGGUUGCAACGCAUGCAGAAAAUCAUCAUGGUCCCGAACCAGAUUACUCCAAGCAACAUGGAGGGGCCAAGGACUAUCGCCAAGCACCAUAUUAUUUCUCCACUUCCAAACACCCCAUAAGCCAGCCACGAAUUUAGUUGCGUUUGUACCUCUAGCUUGGAAAGAAAUCCAAACUGGCAGCUCCAGGGAAGAAAAGUUUGGCCAAGACCACGCUCCUAACUUCGCCCAAAGCUCCCUAGAAUGGGGACAGUCUCGCAAGCAAUGCAAACAAUCCUCUCUGGCUGAGGAGCAUCUAGAACAGCUCUCAGAAUGCGUCAGAUGGCAUUUGAAACGAUUUGAAUUUACCGGUAAGGCCUGGUGUAGAGUCAGCCAGAGAAAAACCUUUACUUUCUCUGGAACUUUAAUUUUCCAGAUCCAGCCCCAAUCUGCUGCAGGAAUUGAGGGCUGAUUGGUAUCUCUAAGCCAAGUAUAGCCCUCCUUCGAUGAGUAGUAGUCUGGGUUCCCAGGAUCCCAACACCAGCGGUCCUCUUCGUCUUGAAUACACUUUGGCAGCACCUUGUUGAAAAGCGCCAAAACCUGCUCAGACAUCAUGGUGCUGCAACGCUGAAGAGUCCAUUCUCCAUUCACCACGAGAUCCAACAGGCGCAUAGCCGAAUCAGAAAUGUGAACAAAAGGAACUUGGAGAGCAAGAGGGCCUUCUCCAGACCAGUCCUUGAACCACACCGAAGUGUUACCAUUGCCCAGCCGAAACCGAUAACCACCCUUUAGUUUGUCACGCGCCUUGAGGAUCCCUUUCCAAACUGGUGAUGCGUUAAGUCUCACCUUUUCCUCUAGAAUUGAUCUGCCCUGUAAGUAACGAUGCUCCAGAACUCGAAAACAAAGUUUAUUAGAGUUCUGAGCCAGAGCUCAUACUACUUUUCCCAUGAACGACGUGUUAAAAUCUCCCAUCUCUUUAAGUCCCAGGCCUCCAUCUUUUCUAGGCAGAGUCACGGUAUCCCACUUAAUGAGGUGCCAUCCUCGUUGCCCACUGUUUUUUGACCAGAUGAAGCUCCUCAUUAUUUGAUUAAUUCUAUGGAUUAUACUCCUUGGCAGCCAGAAGACCUGCAUGACAUAAGUUGGUAUCGUUGCAAUGACUGAUCUCGCUAGACAAGCUCUCCCAGCAACAUUUAAGAGGUUGGUUUUCCAAGACUCAAGUUUACGUUGGAUGUUUUCAAGCAGGAAAUUAAACUUGCUUCUCGACGCUCUACCACUACUCAACGUAAAACCGAGAUAGGUUCCAAGAUCACGCACAAAAGGAAUUGGGGCAAUGGCUCGUAUCUCUUCACACACUUCAGGUCGCACUCCAAGGGAGGUAAUAGCUUUUGACUUGUUGAUAUUCACCUUCAUGCCAGAACUCAAUUAGAAGGCUUGCAGCGUAUCUGCUACUAAUUGAACCUGCUCAGUGGAGGCUUUGCAGAAGAGGAGGACAUCGUCUGCAAAAAAUAAAUGAGAGAUAGGGGGUCCUUGGGGGGACACCUGAAUGGAUUUCCAAAGACUUGUACUCACCAAAUGAUCAAUCCUAACAGAUAGCCUCUCCAUACAAAGAACAAAAUGAUAAGGGGACAUAGGAUCACCUUGGCGCAGCCCACGCCCAGGGUGAAAGGAAGGAAGCCGAGAGCCAUUCCAUAAUAUGGACAAGGUGGACGCUGACACACAUCUCAUGAUUAGAUUAAUCAAACCAUUAGGAAAUCCAAACCAGUGAAGAAUGUCUUCAAGGAAAGACCAAGAGACACUAUCAUAUGCCGUCUCUAAGUCGAUUUUGAACGCCAAACUCCCGUUUCUUGCUCUAGAUGAAUUCAUAUAAUGAAUUAUUUCCUGGGCCAAGAAUGCAUUAUCCAUGGUACCUCUGCCAGGUAUGAAACUGUUUUCCAUGGGACCAAUAAGCUUGUUCAAGAAAGGACGAAUUCUAGCCACAAUAAACUUUGUGAUCAAUUUAUAGGUAACAUUACAAAGGCUUAUUGGGCGAAACUCUUUAAUUGACGUGGGAUUGUCCACUUUCGGGAUUAGAACAAUGAGAGUUUCCAAUAGCUUCUCAUCCACUGUGCUAGAAUCAAACGCAUUACAGACCACUCCAUACACAUCAUCUCCCACAAUUUCCCAAUAUUUUUUGAAAAAGAAGGGCUGGAACCCAUCCGGUCCUGGCGCUGUAAAAGACUUCAUGGACAUAAGCGCUUUGUAAACUUCCUCCUUGAGAACUGAGAGGGAGAGGGUGUUCCUAUCACUGAUGGAAAGAGAGGGAAAGUUUUCAUGAUUAAACACUACCUCUCCUGGAUCCCCUUGCACGGUAAACAAGGAUUGGAAAUAACUUUGGACUUCCUCAAUCAGCAUAUUCUUCUCCGUGCACCAAUCGCCAUCUCUCAAUUUCAAUCUAUGUAUCAUAUUGCGUUUCCUUCUAAUUACCGUGUGAGCAUGGAAAUAAGAGGUGUUGCAGUCUCCAAAACGAACCUGAUUGUCCCUCGCCUUCUGAUACCAUAAUAGCUCUUCUUGUUUUAGGAUGGUUCUAUAUUAUGUUUGAAGUGAAUUUCCAAGCCUGGUUAACUCCGAAGAGACCUGCUUGUCUAAUUCACGCUGCACUCCACGAAGGCGACCUUCAACCCAUCGUUUAUGCUGGAAUAUGUUACCAAAUACUUCUUUAUUAAAGACAAUUGAAUCAACCCUGACUUGAUCCAACUUUGACGUAAUACCAUUGUCCACCCGCUGCCAGGCAUGUUCUACUACUGUCUGAUAAUUUUCAUGAUCGACCCAAGAGGCAAUAAAGAGAGGUACCACAGUGUAUUAGCAAGGGACUGUGGUCGGAUGAGAUCCUAUUCAGCGUCUCAACGUAGGCUCCGGGAAAGGCUAUCCUCCAUUCAACAUCCCCCAUGGCUCUAUCAAGGCGUUUAGAAAGAAUAAUCCUAUUGUUUACUUUUCGGAACCACGUAAAAGUUGUGCCCACGAUUCCUAAGUCCACCAUUCGAUAGUCUUCAAGAACUUGGCCAAACCGGGCAGCUCUGGUAGCCAUGAAGUCACCACCCCUAACGUCACUAGGAAGAAGCACUUCAUUCAUGUCGUCGGCGAGCAUCCAAGGCAGCGAAAUACGUUGCCGCAGAUCCAGAAGAUGAUGCCAAAGCACUUCCCUUGUAGCUGGGCUAGGGGACGCGUAAACCGCACUAAAAAUCCAAGACAAAUUGUCCUUCCAAACUUCAAAUGUAAUGGCUUGAGAGUGCAUAUCAACCAACCUGAAGUUUAGGAGAACUUUGGUGUUAUUCAGAACCCAUAUUCCACCACUGAAGCCCCGAGCUUCAGAAAUAAAAGUAGGGGUGAAAUCUAGAGACUCCCAAAAUCUGCGAACUCUGGCAAACUGACAUCUUGUUUCCAUCAGAAUAACUUUUUCUGGUUUUUUAUUCCGAAUAAUGUCCUUGAGAACACGCCUACUAUUCUCAUUCAAGGCUCCCCUCACAUUCCAGGACAAAACUUUUGUUUCUUCAAACCCUAUCAUAAAAAACUAUUAGAUGAAGGGUAACAGACUAUCCCAGGAUAUUAACUUUGGGAUGGAAGAUUGUGAGUAAUUUCUCCCUGGCAACGGUUAGCCAUGAACGUGCCAGUAUGUUGCGAGCAUGCAUCCCUUCCUGUGUCCAGGUUGGUUUCUUGUUGACCCCCCACCUGUAAUGGCCUAUCUCCUGGAUCAAGAGAUUGAUUAGCUACAAAGUGGUCCCCACCUUGCCUAUUUGUUUCCUCAAAGCGAGACCUUUUAUUUCUAUUCCCUUGGACGCUUGGUUCCACACGGCUAGGACUGCCAAAAGUGAACUGGGCCCAAUUGUAGUGGGUUUCACAUUUGCAGUUUUUUCCUCUCUUGAUUUCCUCCCAUUCUUUCCUGGGCACUGAUUUUUCAAUCAUUGGCCCAUUAGACACUGGGCGUUGACCAUUCCCUUUCUGCCCCUGAUCUCUUGGAGUUGAUUUCUUUUUCUUCUUGGAUAAUGUGAUCCAAUCCCCCAAGAUUUCAAAAUUAUCUGCCAGCUUUAAUUGCACGUUUUUCGUGCCACCAAUGAUCACUCCGUUCCCCUGAACAUUCCCCUGACUCUCUCCACUAAUUUCGCCAGUAUCCAUUGAUUCAGUUCUUUCUAUUUCCGGUGCACCCGUUUGAUGUGCCCUAGCCUCCUACGCCGCCACUGCAUUAGGGUUCAGUGUUGCGCCGCCAGAAACUUCUGAUGCUGACACAGGCUGUUGUGCUCCUGUCUCCACCGGUGGUGGCUCAACACAUUCUCUGCUCCGAUGUCCAUAGAACCCACAUUUGGUGCAUAUAACAUGCAGACCCUCGUAUUCAAUAUUGUACCAAUAAUCCUCAAUACACACCUUCCCCACCACCGGGAGUGUUAGAUCCAGUUCCACACAUAUCCUCGCAAAUCUUCCCCUGUCAGCUUUCAGCAUAUUCCAAUCCACCUUAAUAGGCUUACCAAUUGCUCGUGCUAUCGAAAGCAGGUAGCUUUCAUCAUAGAAAACCACAUUCAACCCUGGAAUUCUGAUCCAUGCUAGAGCAUUCGUCACCUUUGCUGCUGGAGAGAUAAAUUUUGGACUCCGUGUUGAGACUGCUAAAUAAUGGUCAAAGACCAUCCAAGGGCCCCCAUUAAUUACCUUAUCCUUGUCUUCCUUAAUAUCAAACUUUACCAUGUAAAAUCCAUUGCCUACAUCAAUCAUAUCAAAAUCUCCAACAAGCCUCCAUAGAGUACCCAACUUUUGUUUCAUGGUGCGGUAUCCCAGUGUUUUCCCCAAGAGACUCACCACCAAAGCUUCUUUCCAUCGUGCACUCAUCUCCUCAACAACUGAGGCCUCUGUUACUAUUUUAGGUAGCAACCUAUUACCAUUUACCAACUGAAUCUUCAUUCGCCCUUGAUCCACUAAGUCUCUCACCUCCUUAGGGCCAUAUGCCUUGGCGCCACCCAUUAGUUUAUCACGGAACGAGGACCGGCCCGAAGUUUUUCCGGCAUCCGGCGGCGUAGAGUCAUCAACCUCCAUCAUAGCGAGCGUACCCUAGCAGAGCGAGCACAAAAUAUCCUUCAGCGUGGCAUAUUAAUAUAGUAGUCACUAUUUAAUCACUUUGUCUGCCAUGAAUAAAAAAAAGGCAUAUUUCUUUAAUUAAUUUAAAAGAUCUUAUCAACACUAAAUAUGAGUUUUACUUUCAAUUUAGGUUAACUCACAUAAAUUUCAACCAUGAGAAAAUGUUGAAAAUAAAGUGAUGAAGUGAUGGAGUGUUACUAGCACUCCGCAAUUAAUUUUAGUAUAUUAUAAGGACUAUAUUGUAAAUACAAUAUAUUAAAUUUUAUUACUAAACACAUGAUUCAUUAGUGAAAUUAGUGAAAUGCUCCCUCUGAUCCUAUAUUCAAUUGAGAGAAGAAACAUACAAAACGAAUGCAAUUAAUUUUAUUGAUUUUUAAGGAGUUUACAAUGAAUCACAUAUCAGUUAUGAUAAGUUGAUAACAACUAAAGCUUUUUUUUUAAAAAGCCAAAAUGAAUUCAUAAGAAGUACAAGAAAUGUUCAACCCUGUUGUUCCUUUGUUGUCAUCAAUUUUGUUAAAAACAACCUGAUGUCCUAGCCGAUGUUGUGACAUUUGCCUUGAUGAAGGCCAGGACAUCCGCCCCUGCUGGCAUGCAAGUGGGUCCCUUGUGGUUAUGCUUUAUGGUAUGAUCUGUGCUUACUUGAAGGUCAAGUAACUGUGUGUUGGGAGCCAGUUGCGGGUUGUUUUUGUUGAAGCAAAUCUGUGAUUAAAAAGAUUUGUUUCUAUUUUUACUUGUUGAUCACUCAUAUCAGAUCUUGAAAGAUUCUCUACUGAUAUGAGUUGGAUCAAAGUGUUCUUCAGCCCAAAUAAACCCUAGCCGCCUCUGCUGAAGUAUAUAUUGACAAAGACCUGAAGCUUGAAGUUGAUGGAGAGAAUCACCUUGAAGUUCAAGUGUUCUUAAGAGUGUAAGUUGUUCUUUGUCUUUGUUAGUUGUGAACUCGUCUUGCUCACUGAUUCUAUAAAGUGAGACUGAGUUCUGUGUUGUGUUUGAGUGUCAAACAAACUCUGUGUUAUUGUUGUUCACCAAUCACUGUGGCAGUGAUUGAGGAAAAGUGAGAGGGGCUCUCAUACUUAGGCUGUGGUUCUAAGUAGAAUACCACUGGGUAGAUUAGGUUAAGAACAAUGAACUUGAUGUGUUCAUGUGUGUCUGUAAUACCUAGUUCUUGAGAUAGUGGAAUUCCUUUUCAUUGGGCGAAAGCUAACCAGACGUAGGUGUAGUUUCACCGAACUGGGUUAACAACUUCCUGUGUCUUGUUUCCUUUUAAUUGUUUGUUGUUUUGUGUUCAGGUCUUUCAGUCGUAUGAUGUUCUAAUCGAUUGUCCCAGCAUCGUGCAGGACAUUUGUUCUAAGGGAUCUAGAAUUUCAAUUGGUAUCAGAGCAGGCACCCCUGUUCUGUGUGGGUGAGCUCCAGGGAGAUAUUUUCUUGAUCUCAUGGACAAUAAGGAGGGAGGAUCGAUCAACAGGCCAUCAAUCCUGGAUGGCUCCAAUUAUGAUUACUGGAAGGUUCGAAUGAUAGCCUUUCUCAAGUCUAUUGAUAUCAAAACUUGGAAGGCUGUUGUCAAAGGCUGGAAGCAUCCUGUCAAAGCUCAAGCAGAAGGAAGUACAUCUACUCCUGAAGAAAAACCUGAGGAUGAAUGGACAAGUGCUGAAGAAGAAGCUUCUCUGGCAAACUCAAAAGCAAUGAAUGCUAUCUUCAAUGCUGUGGACAAAAACAUGUUUAGAUUGAUUAAUACUUGCACUGUUGCCAAAGAUGCUUGGGAGAUUUUGAAAACAGCACAUGAAGGUACAACCAGGGUGAGGAUGUCUAGACUCCAGAUGCUUACUACUCGUUUUGAGAACUUGACAAUGACAGAAGAUGAGACUAUUUCUGAAUAUCACAUGCGUGUGCGUGAUCUGUCAAAUGCUUCAUUUGCUCUGGGAGAACCUAUGUCAGAUGAAAAGCUUGUGAGGAAAAUCUUGAGGUCUGUAACCAGCAAGUUUGCAAUGAAGGUCACUGCUAUUGAAGAAGCUCAAGAUAUCAGCAGUUUGAAAGUGGAUGAGCUGAUUGGUUCUCUGCAGACUUAUGAGUUAAAGUUGGGUGAAAAACCUGAAAAGAAGACCAAAAGCAUUGCUUUUGUAUCCAACACCACUGAAGGAGAUGAUGCUGAUAGUGAAAGUGAGAAUCUAUCUGAAGCUCUGGCCCUUCUUUCUAGAAAAUUCAACAGAGCUCUAAGGAAGAUAGACAAAAGGACUAGGCCAAAUGUCCAGGACAUUAAGUCAGACAACUAUAAAUCCUACAAUUCCCAGCGAAAGGUCAAAGAAGAGGACAAAUCAGGCCAAAACAAGGGUGUUCAGUGUCAUGAAUGUGAGGGUUAUGGUCACAUUAGAUCUGAGUGUGCAACCUACUUGAAGAAACAGAAGAAAGGCAUGGUAGUGACAUGGUCAGAUGAAGAUACUGAGGAUGAGGAAGAAUUAUCUGCCAACAAGGUUAAUGCUUUCUCAGGGGUUGUCAAUGACUCAGAUUCCAGUGGUGAUGAAAUGACAUUUGAGGAUUUGGAAGAGACUUACAAACUCCUACAUGUUAAAUGGAAGGAAACUUGCAAACAUCUGAAGGAGCAAGAAGAUGAGAUGAAACAAGUUAAGACUGAAAAUGAAAACCUAAGGGAGACCAUUGAUAAACUGCAAGAUGAUUUGGAUAAAUGGAACUCAAAAUUAAAGGAUGUUGAAACUGUUGAAAAAGCCAAGCUUCUGUUAACCAUAGCUGAUCUUCAAGAGAAAGUAGCUACAUUGACAGCCAAACUGGAAAAUACCUACAAGUCAGUGCGUAUGCUGAACAGUGGAUCUAAUAUGCUUGAAGAGAUUCUGGAAGAAACAAGCAAGCAAGGAAAGAGUGUUAAAGGCAUUGGUUUCAGUUACCAGUCUGGGAGUAGAGGAAAUCAGAAAGCAUCAAGGAAGUUUGUAAGAGCUAAAGAAAACUCUGAGUUUAAAAACCCAGAGAACUAUCAGAGGUCAAGCCCGAUGUCACAACAUAUGCCUCCACAUCCUACUACUCAGAAGGCUACUGCUCAAAUUCCAUGGAGAUGUCAUUAUUGUGGUAGGUUUGGUCACAUUAAGCCCUACUGCUUCAAGCUAUACGGAUAUCCUCAGAUCCAGAAGGUUCUCAAGACAUCUAAGAGAGCUUGGGUACCCAAAGGAGAAGUUUCAUGUCUUAUAACACACACAUCUUUUAGAGUCUCAUCAAGUGAAGACUGGUAUUUUGAUAGUGGCUGCUCAAAACACAUGACUGGGAAUAAGGAGUAUCUGGAAAAUCUCAAGGAAUACUCCAGUAAAUCAGUCACCUUUGGAGAUGGUGCUAAAGGAAAAAUCAAAGGCAUUGGGAAGUUGGUAAACUCUGGAUCUCCUAGUCUGAACAACGUUCUUCUUGUCAAGGGGUUGGCAGCAAAUCUAAUCAGUAUAAGUCAGUUGUGUGAUCAAGAUCUGGAUGUGAAGUUUAGCAAGACUGAAUGCAUGGUUACCACUAGUGAUCAAGAGAUUGUGAUGAGAGGUGUCAGGUCCAAAGACAAUUGCUACAUGUGGAUUCCACAAAAGAAAGCCCAAGUGUCUAGAUGUUUGAUAUCAAAAGUGGAUGAGUUGAAUCUAUGACACCAACGUUUAGGUCACAUCAAUCUCAAGAGUAUGCAGAAAGUUAUCUCUAAAGAUGCUGUACGAGGGCUACCAAAACUGAAAAUAGAUGAAGAAAAGAUAUGUGGAGAAUGCAAGAUUGGAAAGCUGACCAAAACAUCUCAUGCGAAGCUUCAGCAUCCAACUACAACAAAAGUCCUUGAACUUCUUCACAUGGACUUGAUGGGACCCAUGCAGGUAGAAAGUCUAGGAGGUAAGAAAUAUGUUUAUGUCUGUGUUGAUGAUUAUUCCAGGUUCACUUGGAUUGACUUCAUGAAGGAAAAAUCAGAAACCUUUGACAUAUUCAGAAGGCUAUGUCUGAAACUUCAAACUGAGAAGAAUUGCUCUAUAGUAAGAAUCAGAAGUGAUCAUGGAAGAGAGUUUGAGAACUCCAAAUUCUCUGACUUCUGUGAUUCAGAAGGAAUAAGCCAUGAAUUCUCAGCUCCAAUUACACCUCAGCAGAAUGGAAUUGUUGAAAGGAAAAACAGGACUCUUCAAGAAUCCACCAGGGUUAUGCUUCAUGCAAGGAAGAUUUCCAACAAGUUCUGGGCAGAAGCCAUGAACACAGCCUGUUACAUUCACAAUAGAGUAACCAUUAGAGCUGGAACCACAGUCACUCUAUAUGAACUCUGGAAAGGAAGGAAGCCAACUGUGAAACACUUUCAUAUUUUUGGGAGUAAAUGUUAUAUUCUGGCUGAUCGUGAACAAAGAAGAAAGCUAGAUCCUAAGAGUGAUGAAGGAAUUUUCAUGGGAUACUCUACAAACAGCAAAGCUUACAGAGUGUACAAUUCUCGAACAAAGGUAAUGAUGGAAUCUGUAAAUGUCUCUAUUGAUGAUCAACCAAAUGAAAGAGAAGACACUGGUGCAACUGAAGAUGAUGAUGGUCCACAUGUCACAGCCGAUGUCCCAACUAUUGACCUCGACAUUGAAUCAGAAACCAGUUCUGAUGAGCAAGAUCACCAGAUGACCUCUGCAAAUAAAGCUCCAUCGAUCAGAAUUCAAAAGAAUCAUCCUCAAGAGAACAUCAUUGGUGACCUUAAAGAAGGAGUUACUACCAGGGCUAGAAGCUACAUUGCUCAUGAUUUUUUUAUAUCCAAGUUAGAACCCAAGAAUGUCAAGGAGGCUCUGACGGAUGAAUACUGGAUAAAAGCUAUGCAAGAAGAACUUGAUCAAUUCAGAAGAAAUGAAGUAUGGGAUCUCAUUCCUAGGCCUGAGGGAGUAAACAUCAUAGGAACCAAGUGGAUUUUCAAGAACAAGUCAGAUGAGAAUGGUGUAGUAACUAGAAACAAAGCAAGACUGGUGGCUCAAGGAUAUACUCAGAUUGAAGGAGUAGACUUUGAUGAAACCUUUGCUCCAGUGGCCAGGUUGGAAUCCAUAAGACUUUUGCUUGGUGUUGCUUGUCUUUUGAAGUUCAGAUUAUUCCAAAUGGAUGUCAAAAGUGCUUUUCUAAAUGGUUAUCUGAAUGAGGAAGUUUAUGUUGAACAGCCAAAGGGAUUCACAGACCCACAUCAUCCUGAACAUGUCUACAAACUCAAGAAAGCCUUGUAUGGAUUAAAACAGGCUCCUAGAGCUUGGUAUGAACGUCUUACAGAGUUUCUGGUGAGCAAUGGUUAUUGCAAGGGAGGAAUAGACAAGACAUUAUUUGUGAAAAAUGAAAGAGGAAAACUCAUGAUUGCACAGAUAUAUGUUGAUGAUAUUGUAUUUGGUGGGAUGUCGAACACAAUGGUGGAACAUUUUGUCCAACAAAUGAAGUCAGAGUUUGAGAUGAGCUUAGUUGGUGAAUUGAACUACUUUCUGGGACUUCAGAUCAAACAAAUGGAAGACUCCAUGUUUAUUUCCCAGAGUAAGUAUGCUAGGGGCAUUGUCAAGAAGUUUGGACUUGAAAAAUCUGGACAUAAAAGGACUCCUGCUGCUACACAUAUCAAGCUGUCUAAAGACAAUCAGGGAGGGGAUGUUGAUCAAAGCUUAUAUAGAAGCAUGAUUGGAAGUUUGCUGUACCUCACUGCUAGCAGACCUGAUAUUACCUUUGCUGUUGGUGCUUGUGCAAGAUAUCAAGCUGCUCCAAAGACCAGUCAUCUCUUACAAGUGAAAAGAAUCAUUAAGUACAUAAAUGGUACUUGUGACUAUGGGAUUCUUUAUACAAAUGAUACUAACCCUUCUCUUGUAGGGUAUUGUGAUGCAGAUUGGGCAGGGAGUGCUGAUGAUAGAAAGAGUACAUCUGGAGGGUGUUUCUUCCUUGGAAACAACUUAAUCUCUUGGUUUAGCAAGAAGCAAAACUGUGUGUCUUUAUCCACAGCUGAAGCUGAAUAUAUAGCUGCUGGAAGCAGUUGUACUCAACUUAUUUGGAUGAAGCAGAUGCUCAAGGAAUAUGAAGUUGAGCAAGAUGUCAUGACAUUGUACUGUGACAAUUUGAGUGCUAUCAAUAUUGCCAAGAACCCUAUACAACAUAGCAGAACCAAACACAUCGAUAUCAGACAUCACUUCAUCAGGGAAUUAGUGGAGGAUAAAAUUGUCACUUUGGAACAUGUCUCCACAGAGAGACAAUUGGCUGACAUCUUUACCAAACCCUUAGAUGCUGCUACAUUUGACACAUUAAGAGGAAAUCUUGGGAUUUAACUCUUCGAAGAAGCCUAGCAAUUAAAGGCCCUUUUCUGUCUAACGGCUAGUUUCCUCGUAACUACCAUUAACUGCCGUUGUGACAUCAUUGCUUCCUUCUCACUCAACUACUAUAUAAUCAUCACCAAUGACUUCAUCACAAUCUCACCACAAGUUGCCAAUCUUGCUCUAACAAUUUCUGAUUCUCAUCACUUACAUUUCUCUCAAUUUCUUGUUUUUGUCCGUUUGCUUUACCAGUUCAUCAUGUCUUCAAGCAAGAAAGAGUCUGUGAAAGGAAAGAUAGAGAGAACUGCUGGUGGUGCUAGGGUUAUGGGUUUGCACACAAGUUCUUCCUCUCAAUCUAAGAAGAACUCAAGAACUCCUUCCAAGAAGCACUACAAGUCUCGUGCAACCCCAAUGCAAAACCCAGAAGCCCCUGUGCCUGAGGAAGUCUCCAAUACUUCUGUCUCUGCAAAUGUUGAAGACGAUGUCGCGACAUUGUCUGAUAAGCCUGCCAAGGAAGUUUCACUCUCAAAGGAUUCUUCCUCUUCAUCCAAGAGUUCUGAUUCCAAGGCUGCAAACUCAAUGGAUGUUUUGUCAGAGGAAUCGAUGAAGACCCCUCCUAUUGUUCAUGAUGUCUCUGAUGAUGAAGAUUCAGAGGAUGUGCCUCUGGCGAGUGUUGCUGCCAGAAUGCUUAAGCGAAGAAGAGCAUCUGUUGAAGAAACCCCUGUUGUCAAAAAGAAGAAAACCAAGAUCACUACUGGAUCUUCAAAAUCAAGGGCAACCGAUGCGUCACGGAAAGGCAAGCAGAAUGCUGUGGAAUCAUCAGGGAAGAAAGCCAAGAAGACUACUGGGAAAAAGCAUAAAGUUUCCAGAAUUGAUUUGGAGACUGAAUCAGAUGUUGAAGGCGAUGUCCUGGACAUCACUGCCUCUGAGAAGAAAAUGUUCUCUGGUAAGCGUAUUCCCUCAGAUAUUCCUAAUGUUCCUCUAGAUAAUGUGUCUAUGCAUGCUCCAGAAAAUGCCUUCAAAUGGAAAUAUGUCUAUCAAAGACGUGUUGCCAAAGAAAGGGAGAUUGAUUCUGCUGUGUUAGCCUGCAAAGAGAUCAUUGCCUUGAUAGCAAAAGCAGGGUUGAGGCAGACUGUGAUGAACAUAGGAAAAUGCUAUGACAAGCUUGUGAAGGAAUUUAUUGUCAAUCUCUCUGAUGAUGUUACUAAUUCUGCCAGUCCUGAAUUCAGGAAAGUGUUUGUCAGGGGUAAGUGUGUGAAUUUUUCUCCUGCUAUCAUCAACCAAACCCUUGGAAGAAGUGUGGUUGAAUUUGUUGAAGAAGAACUUUCUCUGGAUACGGUUGCUGAGGAAUUGACUGCUGGAAGAGUCAAGAAGUGGCCUGCUAAGAAGCUUCUAUCAACUGGGGUUCUGAGUGUGAAGUAUGCUAUUUUGAAUAGGAUUGGAGUGGUGAAUUGGGUUCCCUCUAACCAUACUUCUGCUGUUUCUGCUAUGCUUGCCAAGCUUCUCUAUCGCAUUGGGACUGAAAUUGCUUAUGACUUUGGCAACUUUGUGUUUUACCAAACUUUGAAGCAUGCAGAGACAUGUGCUGUGAAACUCCCCAUCUCCUUUCCUUCUUUACUGACUGCUAUCAUUCUGAAACAACAUCCUAAUAUCCUCACUGUUGAUGAUGUUCCUGUGCCUAAAGGCCCUCCCAUCACCUUGGACCAACGGUUGUUCCUGGACCCUCAUGUCCUGGACAUUGAUCUGCCAUCCAGUAGGACAUCUGUUCCUGCCUCUAUGUCUGCCUCAGGCACUCACAGUGUCAUUGCUGAACUUGAGGCCAUUUCCAAGGAACUUCAAGAGACGAUCAGGAUUGCUGCUGCUAGGAAGAUUAAGGUGGAUGCUCUCAUUCAAACUCUCCAGGGGGAAGCUGGUCAAGAGGGUGAGCAUGCCGCUGAUGCUGAGAGGGAAGGAUCUGCAGAAAAUGAUGAGGAACACUCCUCUUCUUCUGGUGUUUAGUGCAUCUCCUAGUUGAUUUUUAGUUGGCCUUGGUUAAAUUCUUUCCAUCUUUGCCAAAUUUGUGCUAAAAAGGGGGAGUAGUAGUAGAGUAGUAGUGUGUUGUGGUUUGUUUUUUUUUUGAAGACUUGGUAUUCUGGUUAUGUUAUGUAAUAAGUAUGCAGCUUUGUCAAGACAAGACCAGUUCAGGAGAUAUUUUAUGUUCAAGUGUUCAAGUGCUACAAGCUAGCUUCUGUUCAAGUAUUACCAAGUGUGCUUGUUGGAGAUAUUUUAUGUUCAAGUGUUCAAGUGCUACAAGCUAGCUUCUGUUCAAGUAUUACCAAGUGUGCUUGUUUAGUUUGUACUAUGUUGCAUAUGGGUUCUAUAUACUUUAUGCAGUGUUUAUUUGGAUGCAUCUUUUGAGGGGGAGUUCCUCCAUGUUUUGGCUGUUGUUGAUGCAUUGGUUUGAGGGGGAGUAUUUCUGCUGCUGACUCUGAUGAUUUUGAUAUUUUUUCCCUCUCUGGUAGUGAAGUUGUUUUUAGUCAAAAUUUGACAAAGGGGGAGAUUGUUGUUCCUUUGUUGUCAUCAAUUUUGUUAAAAACAACCUGAUGUCCUAGCCGAUGUUGUGACAUUUGCCUUGAUGAAGGCCAGGACAUCCGCCCCUGCUGGCAUGCAAGUGGGUCCCUUGUGGUUAUGCUUUAUGGUAUGAUCUGUGCUUACUUGAAGGUCAAGUAACUGUGUGUUGGGAGCCAGUUGCGGGUUGUUUUUGUUGAAGCAAAUCUGUGAUUAAAAAGAUUUGUUUCUAUUUUUACUUGUUGAUCACUCAUAUCAGAUCUUGAAAGAUUCUCUACUGAUAUGAGUUGGAUCAAAGUGUUCUUCAGCCCAAAUAAACCCUAGCCGCCUCUGCUGAAGUAUAUAUUGACAAAGACCUGAAGCUUGAAGUUGAUGGAGAGAAUCACCUUGAAGUUCAAGUGUUCUUAAGAGUGUAAGUUGUUCUUUGUCUUUGUUAGUUGUGAACUCGUCUUGCUCACUGAUUCUAUAAAGUGAGACUGAGUUCUGUGUUGUGUUUGAGUGUCAAACAAACUCUGUGUUAUUGUUGUUCACUAAUCAAUGUGGCAGUGAUUGAGGAAAAGUGAGAGGGGCUCUCAUACUUAGGCUGUGGUUCUAAGUAGAAUACCACUGGGUAGAUUAGGUUAAGAACAAUGAACUUGAUGUGUUCAUGUGUGUCUGUAAUACCUAGUUCUUGAGAUAGUGGAAUUCCUUUUCAUUGGGCGAAAGCUAACCAGACGUAGGUGUAGUUUCACCGAACUGGGUUAACAACUUCCUGUGUCUUGUUUCCUUUUAGUUGUUUGUUGUUUUGUGUUUAGGUCUUUCAGUAGUAUGAUGUUCUAAUCGAUUGUCCCAGCAUCGUGCAGGACAUUUGUUCUAAGGGAUCUAGAAUUUCAAACCCAUUACAAACUGAUAAAGGAACGAGAUUUUUUUACAUGACUAGUGCAACUUUCAAAUAAAUUUACCAAACUAGUGCAACUUUUGAUUUAAUUACAAAAAUAGUGUUAAUCGCCACUUGAAGUGGCGAUAUCUCUUUUUUUUUUUCUUUUUUUUUAUGAAAUCGUCACUAGCAGUGGCGACACAAUUUUUUUUUUUGACUUUGUUUAAUAGUGACGGAAAAUUGUCCGUCACAAGCUCUGUCGCUAAAAUUUUUGUGACGGAAGUAUCUAUACUUCAAUUUCCGUCGCUAAGUUCUUUUUCAUUGUUCACUAGGAUUUUGAGAUGAAAUAUACUUCAUCGCAAACAGAAUUCCGUCGCUAGAAACUUUGUGACGGACGCUAUCUUUCUUCACAUUCCGUCACUAAUAUCUUUUAUAUUAAAUAUUAGGAUUUUGUGACGGAUACGAUUCCGUCACUAACUUAGAAAGUAAAAAAAAAAAUAUAAAUAUAGUGUCGCCACUGUUAGUGAUGAUUUCAUAAAAAAAAAAAAAAGAGAUAUCGCCACUUCAAGUGGCGAUUUACACUAUUUUUGUAAUUAAAUGAAAAGUCGCACUCGUUUGGUAAAAUUUUGUUAAUACUACACUAGCCUUGUAAAAAAGUGAAGGAACGAAGUACAAAACGAAAAACAGAAAGAGGAGUAAUCUAAGAGGCUAUAGAUCAUAAGUAGAGCCAAUGUAUAUGGCAAGAAUUAAUAUGUAGCAAGCCCUUCAUUAUGAGAACAUAUCCACGGGGAUAGUCUAGAGAUUGAUUCAAUUGGAUCAAUUGUUCUAAUAUAGGUCCAAAUUCCUUCCUCUUUGAGCCAGGUGCCACCUCCACUAGCUAAAUAAGUUUCUACUGAAAUAAGUUCUUAUAUGAGAACCUAAGAAUAAAUAAAUAGUGAUUGUUAGGUCUAAUCAUGAAUGGUCAAGAUUAAAAUAAUUUAGUGGUCACACGAUCAUUUAAAAAUAUCAUGUGACUUUUUCAAAAGUCAAAUGUCUUCAUGUUUUAAUCUUAAUCAUUCGUGAUAAGAUUCGAUCAUGAUUUAUUCUUAUAUUCUCACAUAAUAACAUUUCUCUCAUAAGAUACAUCCUCCUAAUGUCAGUACCUAUGCUUUAAGAUGACAAUGCCAGUUGAUACAGCAGCAUCUUACUACGGUUUAAACUCUUGGUGGCAAUUGCAUUUCAGCAUAACAGCCUGCUUCCCCUCGAUCUUAUGCACAAUCCUUACUUCCAAAUUUCAUUUCCUGCUGCUCUGCUUCCCUUACUGUUCAAGCCCCCACCAAUGCCCUAUUACCAUUCUUUGUUUACAAAGGCACAAUUCCAGCCUUCAUGACCUGCAACCACCACAAACACACGCAGCACAUAUCAUAAAACGGCCUUCACUGCAAACAGAACGAGAAACACAAUCAUGCAGUAAAAGACAGAUUCAAAAGAGAGCCUGAGUCUCUGGCUAUGCUCUCUUUUGAAGAUAAGAACAUAUUCCAAAACAUGAAAUUUGGUUUUAAAAUAGAAAGCACAUUGAUAUUCAAGUUUGGAUAUGUUUCAAGAGAAAAAUAUAAAUUGGUCUAACAAGUAGAUCUUUUGCCCCGUGUCAUAAAAAAAAUAAUAAAAAAUCUUGUGCCCUGUUGUUUUGGCCAGUCAAGUACAGAUGAUAUGUUUUCUGUUUUCAAGAAGAUUGGCAAAGUAAAUAUUUUAAUAGAACAUAGCCAGGAAAUUUGGAAAGGUUAUUAUUUGCUAUUAAGGGAAUAUCAAAUUUAUUUCCCUCUGGUCUUCACUGGCAUAUGCCUAUGCCUGAAUGACCUUGCAAAACAAAUCAGCAAACAUCACCUUCAGAGUUUAGACUCAGCUCACCCAAAAAUAACAACCUUCCAAAUAAAGUUAUAAUCUGUACUUGCCUGAAUUUAAAAACAAAAACAAUCCAGAAUAACAAGAGAAAACAAAAAUUAGACUAGAAAUGAAUUCUUAAUCUAAGCAAAUUAUUUUAUAAAACAUCUCAUUAACUUUUUUUUUUGAAUUCACAUCUUAUUAAGACAUUAACUUAAAAAAAAUAAAAAAAAAUUUCCUUGUUGUUACCAAAAAAAAAAAAUAAAGAAACGACAAAUCUGCAAUCUGUUAAACCGUAACCAUGGUUCUGUUUCCCUUUCAAUUUCGUCAUUCCCAGAAAUUUUCUGCCUAUCACUAUCAUUCAUAUAAAGAUCAUCACUGAUAUCAGAUUCAUCACUUGUUUCUCUGAAAUUUGCAUCAUCGUCAUCACGAUAGUUUCUUGCUGUUCAAUCAAGUCUCUUUUUCUGAGGAUCACUUGCUGAAUUUAACUGACCAAAUAGAUCAUAUACAUAUAGAUACAGAUUACAGCAUGUUCUGAUUCAAUAAUGAGAAAAAGAAUUGUGCACCUGAAAGGAUUGAAGAAUACAUGAGUCUGUUGUUUGACCAGAGAAUGAUAGUGGAAAAACACCAGAGGAUGGAACUGCUCUCUGCACCUGGUAAUACAUUCUCUAGAUAAAUUGUCUAAUGGGGAAACAAUUUAUAUAUUACCAGUUGGGACCAGGGUCCCCUCAUUAGACAAAGUUAACUGAUCUAACCCAUCAUAGGACAGUUAAUAACAAAAGUCUAAUCUACCAUCCAUCAUAAUACAUGUAAUUAAAUUAAAUUAAUAAUUCACAUAAUUGAUAUUAAUAACCAAAACAAAAUAUAUCUUAGUUAAUUGAUAAUGUUAACCCACAUAACAAAAGAGAUAGUUAAUUAUAAAUAAAUCUAACAUUCUCCCACUUGGAUUAACAUUUGUCAAUUAAUAUAAAAUAUAUGUAUCAUUAAACGAAAUAUCAAUUAUGACAAAAUACAUGUAAUCCAAAGAAAUAUAAGUUGUGCACCAAAAGUUACUCAACAAAAGAUUAUAUCCGAUAGGGAUAAUAACCAUAUGUAACAAAGUCUUAUAUUUCAUACAAAACAAAGAUGGAUAUAGAAAGCACAGUGAUAACCAGAAGUGCUAUUCCAUAAAAUGACCCAAGCAUCUAAAAUGCUAUAUGAGAUAUGAUAACAAAAGCAACAACAUAUCUCAUAAACUACAAUUCAGACUCCCACUGAUCCUAAACAUCAAAAGACUUUAACCACAUGAGUUAUGUGACUCCAACAAUAAAGUCUUAGAUCAGUGAAUAUACCAUUAUCAAUAAUGUAUUUCAUUAGAGUCUGAAAUUUUAUCACAAGGGGUCUACAAGUUCAUUAGGCACCAUCAAAGCCACAAACAAAAUUCCACAAGGUCUAAGUGCAUUUUGGCCCAACAAGAAUAAUAAUUACAUAUUGGCUAAACAACAAAAUGCUCUGCAGAAAUUGACAUAUAAUUAAUUCAAGAUUUCCUAAACAAGUGACUAUAAAUCCAUGUGAAGCUCGAGUUUAACAAUAGCAUGGAUGAUACUUGUUUAAACAAAAUGAUAUCUUGAACUAAUAAAUCACAAAAUAUCAAUAAUGAGCAAGCACUUAUGAUUAUUGGUCUAAAACAAGAGUAUAAGUACCUUAAGAAUGUAAGAAAUCAUACUCGAUAGGAGUAGUGAUCCUAUGCAUCUAAGUAACUUUUACAUUUGACCAUACAGAACGUGGAAUGUUGGCUAGGAUCACAAGCACAGUAAAAAUACAUGCCAAUGUGUUGUACCAACAAAAUAAUGUUGGCCUAAAUCGAAAGCACCUCAAAAUUGCAUGUCAAAUGUGCUGUACCAAAACAUAAUGUUGGCCAAAACAAAAGCACCAUAAAAUUGCAUACCAAAUGUGUUGUACCAACCGAAUAAUGUUGGCCAAAAUCAAAAGCACCGUAAAAUUGCAUGUCAAAUGUGCUGUACCAACAAAAUAGCCCCAACCACUUAUUAAAAGUGCUUACUAAGAUUCAACAUAAUUAAUAUAUAUAUAUAUAUAUAUAUAUAUAUACACACACAUAUAUCUCUCGGUACACUAGAAUGAGAAUGAGUACCAAAGUCUCCAAAAGAGUAUGUCAUAUAAUUAUCAAAGUACGCAUAAGAGCAUAUGACAAUAAAAUAGCUCCAAAAAUAUACCAUGAUAACACAAAAGUGCACACAAAAUAUAUGGUAUAUAUAUAUUACUAAGUAGUCUUAAGACAAAGCAAUUGUAUGCACACUCCCACUAAUCUAAUAUACCAUGAUAAUAUUAGAAAUUCAUUAGUGGCAACUAGUACCAAAAUACUCUUAAUGAUACAACUUUUAAUAGUGGUUUAGUGGCUUCAUGGCAAAGUCAAUGUGAGUCUGGAACUCACAAUCUUUUUCUCUUCAAGGAUAAUUAAUUAGAGAGAAGUACAAUAAUGCAGAGUUAUCACGAGAAGUGAUUACUAAAGAAUCACAAGAUGGAGCUCAACAUAUAUACCACAAAUUCUUAUGAAAUUUGUGAUGAAACUAACCACAAACUCAGCAUAUGAGAUUAAAGAGAUUAUAAACGUCCAUUUAACAUUUAUCAACAUAAAAUCUCCUUAUAUUAUCACAUACAUAAAAUCAUUAAAGAUUUUAUCUAAGAGGAAACCCACAAUUUAUAAACAAAUGAGUGAGAUUAACAUCCCUAAUAUUUUAAAUAAAAUAUGAGAUCACUUGUAUGUUUUCAACAAACUCACUCAAAGUUCAAGUGCUACAAUAUAGACAAUCACUAAACACACUUGAUCACAAAGUUGGGUUACCACUAACAACAGCGGAAGCAUAUAGGACCUAUGGUUAAUCAUUGUAGAGGAUAUUGUAACAAGUAGUCUCUAACUCUCACUGUCACUAUAUAUUGUGGGUAAGAAGCAAUAGGUCAAUGCCAAUAUGCUAAUUUGAUAGUUUGACAAAUUAUCUUAACAAUCAUAGGGAGUUAAUUGUAUUCCAAUAUUCCUUUUGAAAGAUUGUAUUCCAAUAUUCUCAAAAGAGACUUAAUAAUAUCCUCAAUAUAGGUCCCACUAUAAAGUGAUAUCUAGUAGUAUAUCACACAUAAGUGUGUCAAUUUUCAAAUUUAACUAAUUGAGCAAUUAAUGGAGUGAGAGACAUUGCAUAACUUCAGUUGGAAAAGAUAAGAGCAAACAAGCCUCUCCCACUUGAUAGAGAAAAAUAGUUGAGUUAAUCAUACUAGAAUAAAACAACAGGAUACUUUAAGUAUUUUUAAAUUAAAAGAAUAGCCAAAACUAUUUUCUCUAUCACACAAUGAUCAUGUCAAGCAAUGUCAUACCGAUAAGGUAUAUCCAUUACUUACACAAUGCAAUAAUAAGGAAAAUUAUAUCAAUAGAUAUUUUAUUCAAUAUAAAUUUGCUUUGCGAUAGGCAAAUGCAAAUCUUUAAGAUAAUGUAUUGUAACAAAUUGCUCAAUUAAUAUAAUGUAUCUAAUCAUAUGUCCCAUAAAAAUUCUAAUAUCGAUAGGAUAGUAGAAUGAAUUGACAUAAGUUAACAACGCAUAAUACAUUACAAACAAAACAACAAAUUACACUAAUAAUAAUAUACCGAUAGAGUACAUUAUCAGUAAUGUAAAUAUACACAAAUUACAAGUAGAUUCUUUAAAGAAUUUAGGUAAUAUAAUUUGUUCAAAUUCUGAAUAACUACGCCCACGAUAGGUGAGAUCGCAGUUACACAAAAUAUAAUAAAGCGCAUGUAAUCACACCAAAGUAUUCUGAAUAACUGCGCUCACGAUAGGUGAGAUCACAGCCACACAAGAUAUAAUAAAACGUGUGUAAUCACACCAAAGUUUGUAUAAACCAUAAGAUGUAUUUUAUAUACAAAGAUUAUAGGCUUUAAUUAUAUAACGACCUAAAAUAUUAGUUCCAUAUACAAAGAAAAUAGCAAACAUAUUAUACUAAAAAUAUUGCUAGCAAACUAAAGAACUGUCUCCAUAAUUUUAAGGUCCAUGAGCCUAUAGCAUAGUAAUAAAAAAUUACUAUUCAAUAUUUGGUUUAUAUAAAUAGGAGCGCACAAAAGAAUUUUAAAUUUUCAACAUGAAACUCAUAUAGCAAAAUUUAGCCAUAAAAUAUGGUAGUCUGAUCACAAUUUAUAUUUAACUGCCACUUUAACAAACUAAGUAAUAACCAAGUAUUACAAUGGUUAAAUAAUAAAUUUAUUAUAGACUUCCAAAAAAAAAAUAUAUGACAUCAUGUCUUAAUUGCCGCACUAAUAUAAUUGCAUAGCUAAAAGAAACAUAAACAACAAUCGGAGAAUUAAUUUUAUUAACGAAAUUCUCCAAACAUGAAAUUAUAUAAUCAAUCAGUAUAUAAAGAUUUUAUAAUCAAAUUUAGAGAGUGUUCCGUUUAUCUUUGUGAGUAGAGCCAAUAAAAUUCAUAAUUUAAUAAGCUCAUGAAACUCAAUAUAUUCUUCUCUUUAAUGGGUGAUACAUUAAACUAUAAAAAUAUAAAAUACUUUUCCAUAUAUAAAAUAUAUAUUAGUGAUAAUUUUGAUUUCAUAAUUGCACUGGUAGAGAAGAAAAGAAAAAACGUGCUUGGAAUGCCAAUUCAUAUUGGUUUUGAUAUUUAAGAGCAACUCCAACCCCAAAAUUCUUAUCUAGUUUCUUAACACACUAUUCAGCACUAUUCCUGUGGGCCCGUACUGCCACAUCAGACUUAAGAAACUCCUAGGAAACUGAAGCAGAUUUUGCUCCAACCCAUGGUUUCUUAAAUUACUAUUUGAAGGGUCCCACCCGUGUCCCACCAUACAACAUAAAUUAAUAAUAUUUAUUUUCACUCAAUUUAGAUUUAACAUUUAAUACUAAAUCAAUACUUCAACUUAAAAAUAAUUUAAUUAAAAUUAAUACGAAUUUAAUUUAAAUUUUAUUUUACUUAAUAUUUAAAACAAUUAAAUUUAAAUAUCGGCAUGUUAACUUGAAACAAAAAUAAAAAAGUACAUUGUGUUUUUUAUAACAAAAACAAUUUUAUUGAAUGAUAGAAAUAAAGACGAAAGAAAAUACAUGACAAUGAAAAAUAAGCAACAAUACAUUUGAAAUGAAAUACAUAAUAACACUUGAAGGUUAAUUUUCAUUAUUCUCGUUUUCGGGAAGCUGCCAAAUAUGCUCCACAAAGUCUACUUGAAGUUGGUGAUGAUUUGACCUAUCAAUUUGAUGUGCUCUUCUUUCCAAGAUAUUUCUAAAAGCCGGAAUAGGACCACUUACUACUUCAGCAUUCAAUAUGUCAUUAUUGACCUGAUCAUAAACAAAAUUACCUCGGUACGUGUUGCGCUCAUCUUCAACAAUCAUGUUGUGCAAUAUGAAGCAAGCAUACAUUAUUGACAUCAUCUCAUUCGGAUGCCAAAAGCGUGAUGGACCACGAACUAUUGCAAACCGAGAUUGGAGAACGCCGAAUGCACGUUCAACGUCCUUUCUUGCUCCUUCUUGUCUUUUCGCAAAUUUUUGCCUUUUUUCUCCUUGCGGCAUUGGGAUGGUCUUCACAAAUGUAGCCCACGGGGGAUAGAUACCGUCUGCUAGAUAGUAUCCCAUGUUAUACAUUGUUCCAUUCACGCUAAAGUUCACCAUGGAAGCAUUUCCACUCAAAACCUCAUUAAAAACCGGAGAUUUAUUUAGCACAUUAAUGUCAUUGUUAGAACCUGUGUAACACCCCGAUUUCGGUGGCGUCACUUUAGUAACCAAAAUAAACUUAAUGCGGAAAAACGUAAAUAUUUUUUUUCGAUAAUAAUAUAAACAAGACUGAAAUAAAUAUAACGCAAAUGCGAAAGACAACAGAACCAAUAUACAAAGUAAAAUACAGCCCCCGCUGUAAGUAACAACCUCGUCACGAGUAACCUCCAGUGAAGGAAAGAAGAAAAGUGUAGCGCCCGUAGGCAAUAUAUACAAACCAACAGGAAAGGUUAAGUGUCCGCAACACCACCUCCAAAAAUGAGAAUAAGUUGGCCCAAUGGCCUGAAAGAAGACCUCCUAAGUCCAACCAACUCCCUGUGAUUCCCGUAAAGAAACCACACAAAAAGCUAUAGGUGGGAAACUAUAAAGUCAAAGCUCAAACAGUAUAAGUAAGAUAGGUGUGCUUGCACACGCUACGCGAGUAAUGGAACAUAUUAUACUGAAAUGAGAAAGAAUGGUUAGAAGGUUACCAUCGUUCUUGCGCUCUCCUGUGACAAACCCCUCAGCUCUCUCACCGUCCAUGGUGUAGACUCUUGCUAUAGCCGCAGAACGCUUUCCACGAGCAGUGUUCACGGUUGGCUCCGUCUUGGGUGCUCUGCACUGAUCGGCAGUGUGCCCCAUUUUGUUACAAUUAAAGCACUUGGGCCUCGUGUCGGAACAAGCGUUAGCAUAGUGCCCCGGCUUCCCACAUCUGAAACAAGUCAUCUCCCUGUUCAAAGUCCGAUCUCCAGAACCACCAGCAGUACCCGUCAUGGGUCGGUAAGAUCCUGAAGUAAACCCUUUUUCAGCAGGGCGCUGAUAUGGCCUCCCGUUCUGAAAUUUCCCUUUGCCUUGAAAAUUUUGAGAACCUGAUCUCAUCGGUCCUCCAGUUCCAGCACGGUUCAACCUUCUAUUCUUCAUUAGCUCCACUUCUGUGGCUUUCUCCACCAACGACUGAAAGCGCAUAAUUCCCAAUGGCCUCACUGAGUCCUCAAUAUCAGGCCUCAGUCCAUUAACAAAGCGCUUGCACAUAUAGCGCUCAUUCACAUGAUCAUGGAAGAAUUGAAAAUGCUUCGCCAAAGAUUUCAGCUUCGAAGCAAAUUCCAGUACAGACAUACCUCCCUGACGGAGUGUUAGAAACUGUGCCUCCCUCUCAUCCCGAGCACUUGUUGGAAAAUACUUUUCCAAGAAUGCGGUCCGGAAAGAGUUCCAGUUGAUCUCUUCAUGGUUGUCUUCCAUAAUCUCCCUGGUGCCCCUCCACCAGUACUCAGCAUCACCCAGCAGCAAGUAAGUUGCCAUGCCAACCUUGGCACCCUCAACAGUUUGCAAAACACCGAAAAUCUUCUCGAUUUCCUGGAUCCAGAGAUCCGCUUUGUCUGGGUCAGUACCACCAGAGAACCUUGGUGGGUUUUGCCUCCUGAAAUCAUUCAGGCCUUUGUUCUGGUCCAGAGUUACUUCCUUCUGGCGCUGAUGCUGUUCACGUGCCUCCUCAGCAGCACGCCUCAUCGCAUUAUCAUUAGCUUAUGAAGUUACAGCUUGGGCCAUAGUGGCCAUCAUCUCAGCUAACUGGUUAGUAUUCACCAUGUUCUGUUAAGUUAAACAAACAGUUAGUACUCAUCAUAAGAUAGCAUCUAGUAUAACUAUACAAUAUGAUUAAGCAAUAACUUCAAUCAAUUCUAUGCGAGAAAUCGCUUGCAGACAAUCAAUUUUCACUCUUUGUAGAGUCACACAACCUAGCACCGAAGACCUAUUCCCCAACAACUCCCGAAAGACUCGACCGUGCUAUGAUACCACAAUGUAUAUAAACGACAGUAAAUCACAGUUAUCAUGCCUCAAGUAGAACUAACAAGUAUCAAACACACUCAACAACUAAGUCAGUAUGCAUGUUGCAUGAGAUGAUAUGCAGGUUAACCCAGUCAACCAAAUGCAUUCCGGAAACGGAUGGACAUCAAACGGAUCAAUCCUAGCACCAGCAACGGUGGGACCAUUUCUGCCCGCGUGCCUCUUACACCACACAAAGGUAGUCAGAUCAGCCGUAACCCGUAGGUCUGCCAUUUCGGUCUGCUACAAGAGUCGUCUACAAACGCUCUUACACGGCAUUCCGGGUCUUAUGACCAUUUUGGAAACCGACGAGGUCCAGAGUACGUCCUGUGUUAAUACCUCAUUAAUGUUGCAUGAAUGCAGGAUGAUUAGUCAAACAACGUCUCCGAAUCUUACUCGACACGUCGCCAUGUGUUCUAGCUAAAUUAAAGUCUCUAAAAGCUUACCCUAAGGUAACAGUCGAUUCUGCGACAAAAGACCCUUCUCAAUAACACAUAGCUCAUGAUGAUCUCCAAAUCAUCCGACUCAUCUCAAUCCGAUGGUCGUAACUGCUCAACGAGCAAAGAGUACCACGUACUCGGAAACUAUCAAUUUCCCGGACUUAUCCCCAGGAUAGCCCAACAACACAGCUGCUCCAAUAGCACAAGAGUAUCCCGCAUUCACAAGGUCUCACGCCUCAGUGAAGCUUCUCGGCUCAUCCCUUGGAUGGCUAAACAAACUGCUCAACGAGCGAAGGAGUAUCAACAUACUCAGAACUUACCAAUCUCCUCAACACUUGGAUCCGACGACACUUCUCGUUUUCCAAAACUAAGAUUCGACUCCUAAGCUUCCUUCGAGAUUAUUAUCAUUACUUAAAGAUUUAGAGGUUGUUUAAGGUCUUAUGAGUUUUCUUCACAAAAUAAUAUCCUUUUAGCCUUAUCGCAAUUCUUAUAAGUUCUCGGGAUCUCCAAAUCCCCAAAUGACACCAGAGAAUGUCUCGAUCCAUGAAACACCAUAACAAGGUCCGAAUCUCAUUCGUCCUAUCAAACUUUCUCAAAACUCUCAAAAUAAAAUCGGCAUGACCUGCCCGCUAUUCUCACUACUCAGAAUCUCAGAUUUCAUAGCAGCAGCAUAAUUAACUCAUCACAGUCAACAACAUAUCAUGUAUCAAUACAUCUCAGAAUAAACACAUAGCACUUAGCAUAUAAAGCAUGCACCACACAUCCUAAAUUACCUAAUUAGCACUUAGCAUGUAAUUCACUCUCAAAAACAUUCAGUAGAUGAAUCAUCUACAUUGUCAGCCGAAGCCUCAGAAAACAUUUUUCCAAUCAAACACAAACAAGUGCAUAAACAGUAAACAAUGUCGAAAGCAUCGACCCUAAGCAUUAUCUAGAGAUUCAGUGAGAAGCCCUCACCUGUAGAUUCUCCAGGGUGAACUUCAAACUCUUCCUCACAAGCAAAGCGUUGCUCCUCAGGAAAUUCCUCAAAAGCUCCUUUAAAGCAAAAACACAGAAAUACUAUCAGAAUCUAUCGAAAACUAAGCUAUCGAUACUUACUAAGGUUACUCGAAGUAGUUCAUACUCCGAGGUACGAUAGUCUAGCGCGAAAGGACAAGUUUUCGGAAAAGGAAAUUUUCCUCCUCCUCCCCCUAUAAGCUCGGCCACUUUAGGUAAUUAGGGGACUCGAUUUUUCUUCGAUCAAACUUGGUUCCUAUGCUAUCAUUAGCCGUAACUAAGGGUAUUCUGAACUCGGAAAAAUUAUCGGAUCAAAACUGUCGCAGGGGUAUUUUGGUCAUGAUUUUUAACUUAUAAUUUCAAAACUGAAAUCCCAAAAACCAAAUUUGACAGGGACGUUACUAACGACGUUUAUGACAACUAAUCCUACUAGCACUAAGCUAAGGCGAUAGUUUUUAGCCUAAAGGUUGAAGCUUUACUCUAAAAACUCCAAAAAUGGGUAUUUAAGGCUAAAAUUGAUUCCGGCGGAAAUCCGGCGACAUUACGGAAAAUCUAAUCCGGCAGAAGUGAUCUUGGGCACAUAAGGAAGAGGUUUAGAAUCAGAAAUGAAAUAUUCAGGAUAGUUUUGCAAAAACCUCAAAACUAUCAGCUCAGAAAAGUCUACAGAAAAGCUAUGGAAAAAGCGAUCAGAGGUAAGGAUUAGCGACUAUACCUCGAAACCUUGGAGCAGCAACUGAUUAAUCAACGAUCAAGCAAGUAAUGAAGAAAAACUCUUCCUCCUUCUCCUUCUCUUGGCCGCGGGUUUGGGUGGGGAAAAUGGGUAGUUUUUUUUGUGUUUUUCUUCCUUUCUUGGCUAUAUAUAGAGGUUGGCAAAACGCGGUAAAAUGAAAGUUUCGCGAAUCUGAUUUUUCCGGCUUCAUUCUCCAUGAAUUCUAAGAUAGGUUUUGGUAACAUAAAUCCAGAACUCAAAAGAGGUUCCCUUGUAUUUUUGGUAACUAAUGCAAAGUCGGUGUAAAACUAUUUUACCCGAUAAGUUGCUUUUUGCAUCGGAUGUCGGAAUAGAAAACAUCCUUCUGAAGAAAGAUUGAAAUCAUCAAGAGAAAUGGGUGUACGCGUGUGGAAUCUUCAUUUGAAGCUCUGAAUAGAAAAAGUCUUCAUUGUCGGUUGAUUCUAGGGUUUUGAAAUACCAGGGAUUCGGUUUCGGCAAACUUCCGAUGAUUGGAAUUGGACGUUCGUAGAUCCUAGAGUUUCGCCUCGAAACGAUUGUGAUAUAUGGAAAAAGAGAAGUUCUAAUAUUACUCUGAAGAUUUUUGGACUAAAUUCCUACAGUGUUCCAAGGGUGGAACAUAGUUUGAUUUCCUAAGGUUCUUGUCCUAGGUUUUAAAACGAAUAUUAGUCGUGCUAUAACUUAAAUCGACUUCGAUACAAUCCUUUGACUUUUCCUGAACUUUCUCCUUCAUACAUUUAUUUCAUUUAAUAAACUCUUGUUCAGGUUUCCCUUCACAACCCAUCAACCCUAAUCGUGAAUAAGAUUUUAUUCACUUGGCAUAAGUUUAAAAACUUGGGCCUUACAUUACUAUCCUCCAAAAAGAAAGUUUCGACCUCGAAACUUAAGGGUCAGUAAAAAGUUCCGGAUAUUAUUCCUUGAUCUUUUCCUCUAAAUCCCAUAUAGCACCGUCCAUGUCUUUGUUCCAAAUAACUUUCACCGAAGCACUCUGCUUUCUGCUAGAUCGUUUCACUAUUCCAGCCCCAAUGCAGACCGACGGCGUCUCAAAAGACAUAUCAUCUUCCAACUCUAUGUUGUCCGGUUCGACCACUUGCAUCGGGUCUCUGUUGGAAAUAAUAUUUGUUGUCAUUCGUGCAAUCGCACGGCCUUUACCACUUAUUCCUUUGCUUUUGUUCGUCCAAAAUGUUGAUUAGAAACUUGGUACAUCUCUAUGCUCCGGAGUGAAUGCUCAACUUCAGUCUUAAUACCUUGUGCAUCACAAGACUCAUUCCCUUUAACAUUAACUUAUCAACAACUUAUAAGCUAAUCUUCAUCUUAAUAUCUAACAAUUCAUUAUUGUAGUCUUCGUCCUCAAAACCUUCCUCACUCAAACCAAUUCAGACUUACUGAAAUCCCUAACACUUCGCAUAAAUCGAGAUUUAUCCUCUAGAAGAUCAAAUCAUAGCUAUACCUCAAGGGACUUAACUAGUCAUUUUAUCAUCCCAUCCUCCAAUCAAUCCAAUACUUCUUAAAUGAAUAUUCCUUUCUUAAUACGAACACUCCUUCCCAAAGGAAAUCAAUUACUCAACACGAACUUUCCUCCCAAAUCCGACUAAUCCUCGACCAAUUCAAAUUCAUCUUACACAUCCUUCUAUCAAAGUCCAUAGCUAGCUGUGAUUCCGAAUAUCACCCCCUCAAUAUUAAGUUGAUCAGGCCUAAUACAUCGAAGGUGGAAAUAUAGAAAAAACCUACUGGAACAGUCAAUGAGUUCCUAUCAUCCAAUAGUCACAAAUAUCUUGAUAUUAAAUCCUCAAUGAUGUCGCUACGAAACUACAUACUCUCGACAUCAUAUGUAUACUAUCCAUACGAAAUCUCUCUAAGAUUCAUUCUUUAACUUCUAGCUUCUGGUUAAACGCAUCGGUACAAGACUACUUUCUAGGCUUAACGUGUUAUGUUAAACCUCGGGUACUUCUAUAGCUAAAAUACGAGCUACGGUCAAAUAAGGUAUUAAUAAGGUAUUAACCUGGCUCUAAUACCACAAUGUAACACCCCGAUUUCGGUGGCGUCACUUUAGUAACCAAAAUAAACUUAAUGCGGAAAAACGUAAAUAUUUUUUUUCGAUAAUAAUAUAAACAAGACUGAAAUAAAUAUAACGCAAAUGCGAAAGACAACAGAACCAAUAUACAAAGUAAAAUACAGCCCCCGCUGUAAGUAACAACCUCGUCACGAGUAACCUCCAGUGAAGGAAAGAAGAAACGUGUAGCGCCCGUAGGCAAUAUAUACAAGCCAACAGGAAAGGUUAAGUGUCCGCAACACCACCUCCAAAAAUGAGAAUAAAUUGGCCCAAUGGCCUGAAAGAAGACCUCCUAAGUCCAACCAACUCCCUGUGAUUCCCGUAAAGAAACCACACAAAAAGCUAUAGGUGGGAAACUAUAAGGUCAAAGCUCAAACAGUAUAAGUAAGAUAGGUGUGCUUGCACACGCUACGCGAGUAAUGGAACAUAUUAUACUGAAAUGAGAAAGAAUGGUUAGAAGGUUACCAUCGUUCUUGCGCUCUCCUGUGACAAACCCCUCAGCUCUCUCACCGUCCAUGGUGUAGACUCUUGCUUUAGCCGCAGAACGCUUUCCACGAGCAGUGUUCACGGUUGGCUCCGUCUUGGGUGCUCUGCACUGAUCGGCAGUGUGCCCCAUUUUGUUACAAAUAAAGCACUUGGGCCUCGUGUCGGAACAAGCGUUAGCAUAGUGCCCCGGCUUCCCACAUCUGAAACAGGUCAUCUCCCUGUUCAAAGUCCGGUCUCCAGAACCACCAGCAGUACCCGUCAUGGGUCGGUAAGAUCCUGAAGUAAACCCUUUUUCAGCAGGGCGCUGAUAUGGCCUCCCGUUCUGAAAUUUCCCUUUGCCUUGAAAAUUUUGAGAACCUGAUCUCAUCGGUCCUCCAGUUCCAGCACGGUUCAACCUUCUAUUCUUCAUUAGCUCCACUUCUGUGGCUUUCUCCACAACGAAUGAAAGCGCAUAAUUCCCAAUGGCCUCACUGAGUCCUCAAUAUCAGGCCUCAGUCCAUUAACAAAGCGCUUGCACAUAUAGCGCUCAUUCACAUGAUCAUGGAAGAAUUGAAAAUGCUUCGCCAAAGAUUCCAGCUUCGAAGCAAAUUCCGGUACAGACAUACCUCCCUGACGGAGUGUUAGAAACUGUGCCUCCCUCUCAUCCCGAGCACUUGUUGGAAAAUACUUUUCCAAGAAUGCGGUCCGGAAAGAGUUCCAGUUGAUCUCUUCAUGGUUGUCUUCCAUAAUCCCCCUGGUGCCCCUCCACCAGUACUCAGCAUCACCCAGCAGCAAGUAAGUUGCCAUGCCAACCUUGGCACCCUCAACAGUUUGCAAAACACCGAAAAUCUUCUCGAUUUCCUGGAUCCAGAGAUCCGCUUUGUCUGGGUCAGUACCACCAGAGAACCUUGGUGGGUUUUGCCUCCUGAAAUCAUUCAGGCCUUUGUUCUGGUCCAGAGUUACUUCCCUCUGGCGCUGAUGCUGUUCACGUGCCUCCUCAGCAGCACGCCUCAUCGCAUUAUCAUUAGCUUGUGAAGUUACAGCUUGGGCCAUAGUGGCCAUCAUCUCAGCUAACUGGUUAGUAUUCACCAUGUUCAGUUAAGUUAAACAAACAGUUAGUACUCAUCAUAAGAUAGCAUCUAGUAUAACUAUACAAUAUGAUUAAGCAAUAACUUCAAUCAAUUCUAAGCGAGAAAUCGCUUGCAGACAAUCAAUUUUCACUCUUUGUAGAGUCACACAACCUAGCACCGAAGACCUAUUCCCCAACAACUCCCGAAAGACUCGACCGUGCUAUGAUACCACAAUGUAUAUAAACGACAGUAAAUCACAGUUAUCAUGCCUCAAGUAGAACUAACAAGUAUCAAACACACUCAACAACUAAGUCAGUAUGCAUGUUGCAUGAGAUGAUAUGCAGGUUAACCCAGUCAACCAAAUGCAUUCCGGAAACGGAUGGACAUCAAACGGAUCAAUCCUAGCACCAGCAACGGUGGGACCAUUUCUGCCCGCGUGUCUCUUACACCACACAAAGGAAGUCAGAUCAGCCGUAACCCGUAGGUCUGCCAUUUCGGUCUGCUACAAGAGUCGUCUACAAACGCUCUUACACGGCAUUCCGGGUCUUAUGACCAUUUUGGAAACCGACGAGGUCCAGAGUACGUCCUGUGUUAAUACCUCAUUAAUGUUGCAUGAAUGCAAGAUGAUUAGUCAAACAACGUCUCCGAAUCUUACUCGACACGUCGCCACAUGUUCUAGCUAAAUUAAAGUCUCUAAAAGCUUACCCUAAGGUAACAGUCGAUUCUGCGACAAAAGACCCUUCUCAAUAACACAUAGCUCAUGAUGAUCUCCAAAUCAUCCGACUCAUCUCAAUCCGAUGGUCGUAACUGCUCAACGAGCAAAGAGUACCACGUUCUCGGAAACUAUCAAUUUCCCGGACUUAUCCCCAGGAUAGCCCAACAACACAGCUGCUCCAACAGCACAAGAGUAUCCCGCAUUCACAAGGUCUCACGCCUCAGUGAAGCUUCUCGGCUCAUCCCCUGGAUGGCUAAACAAACUGCUCAACGAGCGAAGGAGUAUCAACAUACUCAGAACUUACCAAUCUCCUCAACACUUGGAUCCGACGACACUUCUCGUUUUCCAAAACUAAGAUUCGACUCCUAAGCUUCCUUCGAGAUUAUUAUCAUUACUUAAAGAUUUAGAGGUUGUUUAAGGUCUUAUGAGUUUUCUUCACAAAAUAAUAUCCUUUUAGCCUUAUCGCAAUUCUUAUAAGUUCUCGGGAUCUCCAAAUCCCCAAAUGACACCAGAGAAUGUCUCGAUCCAUGAAACACCAUAACAAGGUCCGAAUCUCAUUCGUCCUAUCAAACUUUCUCAAAAAUCUCAAAAUAAAAUCGGCAUGACCUGCCCGCUAUUCUCACUACUCAGAAUCUCAGAUUUCAUAGCAGCAGCAUAAUUAACUCAUCACAGUCAACAACAUAUCAUGUAUCAAUACAUCUCAGAAUAAACACAUAGCACUUAGCAUAUAAAGCAUGCUCCACACAUCCUAAAUUACCCAAUUAGCACUUAGCAUGUAAUUCACUCUCAAAAACAUUCAGUAGAUGAAUCAUCUACAUUGUCAGCCGAAGCCUCAGAAAACAUUUUUCCAAUCAAACACAAACAAGUGCAUAAACAGUAAACAAUGUCGAAAGCAUCGACCCUAAGCAUUAUCUAGAGAUUCAGUGAGAAGCCCUCACCUGUAGAUUCUCCAGGGUGAACUUCAAACUCUUCCUCACAAGCAAAGCGUUGCUCCUCAGGAAAUUCCUCAAAAGCUCCUUUAAAGCAAAAACACAUAAAUACUAUCAGAAUCUAUCGAAAACUAAGCUAUCGAUACUUACUAAGGUUACUCGAAGUAGUUCAUACUCCGAGGUACGAUAAUCUAGCGCGAAAGGACAAGUUUUCGGAAAAGGAAAUUUUCCUCCUCCUCCCCCUAUAGGCUCGGCCACUUUAGGUAAUUAGGGGACUCGAUUUUUCUUCGAUCAAACUUGGUUCCUAUGCUAUCAUUAGCCGUAACUAAGGGUAUUCUGAACUCGGAAAAAUUAUCGGAUCAAAACUGUCGCAGGGGUAUUUUGGUCAUGAUUUUUAACUUAGAAUUUCAAAACUGAAAUCCCAAAAACCAAAUUUGACAGGGACGUUACUAACGACGUUUAUGACAACUAAUCCUUCUAGCACUAAGCUAAGGCGAUAGUUUUUAGCCUAAAGGUUGAAGCUUUACUCUAAAAACUCCAAAAAUGGGUAUUUAAGGCUAAAAUUGAUUCCGGCGGAAAUCCGGCGACAUUACGGAAAAUCUAAUCCGGUAGAAGUGAUCUUGGGCACAUAAGGAAGAGGUUUAGAAUCAGAAAUGAAAUAUUCAGGAUAGUUUUGCAAAAACCUCAAAACUAUCAGCUCAGAAAAGUCUACAGAAAAGCUAUGGAAAAAGCGAUCAGAGGUAAGGAUUAACGACUAUACCUCGAAACCUUGGAGCAGCAACUGAUUAAUCAACGAUCAAGCAAGUAAUGAAGAAAAACUCUUCCUCCUUCUCCUUCUCUUGGCCGCGGGUUUGGGUGGGGAAAAUGGGUAGUUUUUUUGUGUUUUUCUUCCUUUCUUGGCUAUAUAUAGAGGUUGGCAAAACGCGGUAAAAUGAAAGUUUCGCGAAUCUGAUUUUUCCGGCUUCAUUCUCCAUGAAUUCUAAGAUAGGUUUUGGUAACAUAAAUCCAGAACUCAAAAGAGGUUCCCUUGUAUUUUUGGUAACUAAUGCAAAGUCGGUGUAAAACUAUUUUACCCGAUAAGUUGAUUUUUGCAUCGGAUGUCGGAAUAGAAAACUUCCUUCUGAAGAAAGAUUGAAAUCAUCAAGAGAAAUGGGUGUACGCGUGUGGAAUCUUCAUUUGAAGCUCUGAAUAGAAAAAGUCUUCAUUGUCGGUUGAUUCUAGGGUUUUGAAAUACCAGGGAUUCGGUUUCGGCAAACUUCCGAUGAUUGGAAUCGGACGUUCGUAGAUCCUAGAGUUUCGCCUCGAAACGAUUGUGAUAUAUGGAAAAAGAGAAGUUCUAAUAUUACUCUGAAGAUUUUUGGACUAAAUUCCUACAGUGUUCCAAGGGUGGAACAUAGUUUGAUUUCCUAAGGUUCUUGUCCUAGGUUUUAAAACGAAUAUUAGUCGUGCUAUAACUUAAAUCGACUUCGAUACAAUCCUUUGACUUUUCCUGAACUUUCUCCUUCAUACAUUUAUUUCAUUUAAUAAACUCUUGUUCAGGUUUCCCUUCACAACCCAUCAACCCUAAUCGUGAAUAAGAUUUUAUUCACUUGGCAUAAGUUUAAAAACUUGGGCCUUACAACCUGCAAUGCCAAAAAAUGCAUGCCAAAUCCAGAAGUCUUGUGAUGCCACUACUUCAAGCAUGAUUGUGGGCUUUCCAUGAUCACCUCGGGUGAAUUGACCUUUCCACGCAACUGGACAAUUCUUCCAUUCCCAAUGCAAUUGAAUUCAAAUUUUAAUCUCAACUCAAAUUAAAUGUGGAUUGCUAUUUUGUUCGAAAAACUAAUACAAUCCAAUUUGGAGUUGCCCAACAUACCUGGAAAUCCACGAGACUCGCCUCAUUGAAGUAAGCGGGUAAUGUCUUCCUGGUUCGGGCGCCUCAAGUAUGUUUCACCAAAUACUGCACACACACCUUCCACAAAAUUCUUUAAGCACUCAAUUGCAGUACUUUCACCAAUUCGAACGUACUCGUCAACACUGUCAGCAGGUGAUCUGUACGCCAACAUACGAAUAGCGGCGGUGCACUUUUGUAAUGGUGACAGGCCUUGUCUUCCAACUGCAUCGACAGACAUUAAAAAGUACGGGUCAUGAGACCCAAGGGCCCCUACAAUUAUGAGGAACACAUGCUUUCGCAUUCGAAACCUUCGUCGGAAAAGCUCUUCCGUGUACACAGGAUUUUCGGAGAAGUAGUCAUUCCACAACCGCUCGUUCCCAGCUUCACGAUCUCUCUCUAUCACCUUUCUUGUUCGCUUGGGCCUAACGGUGUUGGCACGUCGUUGAUAAAACUCCAUAUCCUCCUGCAUCAUAUCUUCUAUAGUCGUGUCAUUCAUAAUAUCGUCAAUAAUUACGUCGUAAAUGUCCAAGUCGGACAUAUUGUUUGGAUCCAUUCUAUGACACAAUGAGAAACUAUCAGUGUAAUUGGAUAGGAGGAAGACAAUAUGAGAGGACAAAACAACUCUUGAAUGUUGAGAUGAAUGAAAUAUGACAUGUAUAAAUAAGAGAAACAACAACAGCUAUAUUCUCCAACGGCUAUAUUCUCCAACGGCUAUAUUCCACAACGGCUAUAUUCUCCAACGGCUAUAUUCCACAACGGCUAUAUUCCCCAACGGCUAUAUUCUCCAACGGCUAUAUUUCCCAACGACUAUAUAGAACACAUAAGUAGAAACGCAGUACACAUUAAGAAAAAUUCGAAUACUGAAAUUACAACAUUAAUGCAGAAUACAUAAGUAGAAAUGCUAAAAUUACAACACUGAUGCAAUACACAUAAGUAGAAAUGCUAAAAUUACAACACUAAUGCAGAAUCAAUAAGUAGAAAUGCUAAAAUCACAACAUUGGCACACAUUAAGAAAGACAACAACAAGAAUUAAGACAUUCCUAGUUCAUUCAUGGCGAAUUCAACUAGGCGCUGAUGCGUUGCUAACUGCACCUCGUUCAUUUCAGAUGUGUCCUCCAUAAGGAUAUCUUUGUAUUCCUUCAAUAACCGCGCCUUAUGAAGUUUGUUUUUUUCCUUUCUCACCUCCAGUUCUUCGGUCUUGAGCUUCUCAAAACUCGCCAGGAAUCUCAGUUUAGCUUUCCCGAUGGCUAUCAUCUCGGAGUUAGGAACAUAAUCGAGAUCACUUGAAGCUGUGUCUCCUACUUUGGCUUUCCUUUUCUGGUUCUUUUUUCCCAACGGGCGGGUUGCUGGUUGUGUGGCCUCAUAUUCGUCGCCCUCGAUUGAUGCACUCCGGUAAGACGAUGUUGCAUACACCCCAUCUCCUGACUUCUUCUGCCUCGUUGAACUGGUUGUCAUAAAUGUUCCCUUCCACUUUGGUUCAUCCUUCACCAACCGCCAUUCAUUCUCAUGUUUGAAAUCUUUACCCGUAUCUACAUGAUAUAAUUGAUGCGUCGUAGCCAUGAUGUCCUUAUCUGAGUGUCCACUUUUCCAAUGAUUGACGACUUUAGUGUGGCAACCGACAAAUUUUUGAAGAUCAGCAUUCAAUUUAUUAAAACGAGAUUUCAUGGAUAACCAUGUCCUCGAAGGAGAGGCAUCGUCGCGGUACUCCUCAUAUUGGGCUCGGAUCUUAUUCCAAAACAAAUCUGACUUUUGCUCAUUUCCCACGACCCGAUCGGUAGAAACGUUGAGCCAUGAUUGAAGAAGAAGUAUAUUAUCUUUACCACUCCCUUUGGUGCGUUUCUUUCCGGAUUCUUCAAGAUCAAUAUCAUCUAGACCCCGUUGAGUAGAAAAUUCAGGCUCAUCGGGCAUAACCUCACAUUGUGUACUUGAGACUUUUGAACUACUGCUGCUACCAGUAGGAGGUGCUUGGUAUUGUGGUGGAUACAUACAAUAUUGUGGAUUGUUUGGAUAAGGCAUUUGUGGUGGAUAUGGUCCCAUUUGACCCUGAGGUUGGUUUUGAUGGUAGAACGAUUGUGGAAACAUUUGAUACGAAGGAUUUUGAACAUUACCACCGGUGUGAGGAGGUUGGUUUUGAGGGUGACACAUCUGCGGAUGUUGGCUUUGUGGUUGAUACAUUUGCGGAUGUGGGUUUUGUUGUUGGAACAUCGGCAUAGGUUGGCUUUGCGGACGAAUCAUCUGCGAAUGUUGGUUUUGUUGUUGGAACACCAUCAUAGGUUGGCUUUGCGGGUGAAUCAUCUGCGGAGAUUGGUUUUGUGGCGGAAACAUAGGCGAAGGUUGCAAACCUUCACUUGUAGGAGGUGUUUCAUUGUCGAGCAGUGGAUAAUAUUGCUCAUAAGGAUUAGACAUUUUGAGAAAUUUGAGAAUUUGUGGACAAGAGAGAAAUUGUAGGAGUAAAUGUUGGUGUUUCAAAUGGUCUACUGCACUAUAUAUUAAGGUAAAGAAGCUGAGAAUUGAAAAAACGGUCAGAAAACCGGUCAAUUUAAAAAUAUUCAAAAAAAAAUGCCCAAACGGGCAGAAAACCGGCUCCAGCCGGUCUGGACCGGCCCGUAACGGUGGGAUGACCGGCUCAGCCGGUCACCCACUAUAUAAUCUAUUUUUCCUCACUCACUCUCCAUUCCAACUCUCAACCCUAGUCGCUCCUCUCUUCUUCCUCUCUUCUCUCACGCUCAGCUUCUUCUUCAACCUCAAGCUCUUAAUCACCUUCUUCUUUUCCCCUUCCUCUUUCCCUCUUCCUCUUUCUCUGACCUGCAGCGCCUCCUUUUCCCCUUCCUCUCACCCUGACCUGCAGAUCCUUCCUCUCUACCUCACUUCUCCUUUUCUUCUUCCUCUCGACGCCUCCUCUUCUCCUUCCUCUCUCCCUCACUUCUUCUCCCUCGAUCUCUCUGGUCCACGCCUCCAAAGCCCCAGCCGAUCACCAAACAUCAACCGCCGCCACCAAACAACCACAUGCAGUCACCAUCGGCCACCAAACAACCACCACCGCCAACAUACAGCCUCAAUCCAACCCCCACAACCCCUGUUUGCCAGCUUCAAAGCCUUGAAGCUUGCAAAAAUCCUUCCUUUUCACACAUGCAAGGGCCAAUACUCUCAGAUCAGAGCUUCCAGAACUUCACCGGAGAAGUUUUUUUUUUUUAGGGUUUAGGGAAAUAUCAAUUUUUGUGUUUUAAGUUUCAAUUUCUUCAUGUAAAGUUUCAAUUCAUUCAAUAAAAUUGCAAUUUUCGUCCUCUGAUUAUGUCUCUGUUGAACUUGAAUUGUUCAAUUUCAUCCUUUCUGUUAUGUUUGCCUCUGAAAGCUGUUGGGGAAGUGAGAGAAAAUAUAUUAUUUUAAUUAAGAAACUGAAAAAGCAAAGUUGCUUGCAGAAGCAACCAUGCACUAUAGUUAAGAAACUGAAACUGCCAACUGAGCAAGCUCCAAUGGGUUGAAAAGCUAAGAAACGUUUCUUAGCAACUCCAUUUGGGUUAAGAAACCAGCGUUGAAGUUGCUCUAAUAUACCAUCACCACCACAAGGAAUCAGUCAAGGCACGUGCGGUAAAGAAGUGCAUCAUGUGUAACCAACAUAUGUGCCACGUCCAGGAGAGAGAAAAUAAAGGAAAAUAACCAUUUUUGUUUUGUUUUGUUUAAUUUCUACAGCAAAAUAAUAAGAAAUGCUUCUUCUCUGACUCUCUAUUGAAGAACAGAACCCGUAUUGCAAAACAUAGCUAUUCAUGGCAGCCAAUUCAAUUUCAAUGUCUCAUGAAAUAAUUUAGAGCAUGUUAAUCGAAUUUUUAAGCAGAUUAAUAGCCCUCAAACAAAUUUUGAAAACAUGCAUCACAAAGGGAUAAAUUGCAAAUCGAAAAUUUAAGGGUUCAAGAUACUAAAGCAUCAAUUUCUCACAAAGUACUCAACCAAGUCACCCCAAAUUUUAGUAUGUAGGUCGAAUAACAUCAUCAAAACCACCCAAACAAUUUCUAGAAUCAUGCACAAAAUUUGGGAUGAAGAAAUAUAAUUACGCCAGUAACGCCGUUACAGACAAAAUACGCGAACUGAAACGCAUUGGAGUUUUGAUGCUAACAGGCACACAUACGGAAAUUACUUGAUUAAUAAAUCAUUCCAUAAAGCAGCCAUAACCCAUUUCUAUCAAGCUCUGAUACCAAUUGCUGAAUUUAACUGACCAAAUAGAUAAUAUACAUAUAGAUACAUAUUACAAUAUUACAGCAUGUUCUGAUUCAAUAAUGAGAAAAAGAAUUGUGCACCUGAAAGGAUUGAAGAAUACAUGAGUCUGUUGUUUGACCAGAGAAUGAUAGUGGAAAGACACCAGAGGAUGGAACUGCUCUCUGCACCUGGUAAUACAUUCUCUAGAUAAAUUGUCUAAUGGGGAAACAAUUUAUAUAUUACCAGUUGAGACCAGGGUCCCCUCAUUAGACAAAGUUAACUGAUCUAACCCAUCAUAGGACAGUUAAUAACAAAAGUCUAAUCUACCAUCUAUCAUAAUACAUUUAAUUGAAUUAAAUUAAUAAUUCACAUAAUUGAUAUUAAUAACCAAAACAAAAUAUAUCUUAGUUAAUUGAUAAUGUUAACCCACAUAACAAACAAUAGAGAUAGUUAAUUAUAAAUAAAUCUAACAUCACUCCCACCAUCUGAAUCACGGCCUCGCCUGCAACAUCAUCGUCCGGUGGCAAAAGACAUCAAUGGACAGGAACCACAAGUCUGAUGACAGUUACGUUUCUGGGUGAAAUCAUUUUAAUAUUUUUAAAUAAUAUUCAAAACUCUGAUAAUCAUGUGUCAAUUUAUUUGAUUUUGAUUGGUGUGAAUGUGAGCAUACCUAUUAAACUUUUUUAAUUUAGCAAUCAAUUUUAUCUUUUAAGAAAAAUUGAAAAAAUUAUAGUACAUAAACCCACACAAAAUUCUGUAGGUAUAUAUUACUAUUUUUUCUGUAGUUAUUACUUGAUAGGUAGAAAGUGAUAGGAAAAUCGAUAGCAAAUAUAUUGUGUUGGACCAUAGGAAAAUCUAUUGAAAAAUCUGGAUGAAAAUUCACAAAAGAAGUUGUAGAAAAAUUUGGAAAAACAGUAGGAGGAAUCUAUAGAAAAAUUGAUGAAUAAAUUUUCUUAUAAAUUUUUGCUACAAAUUUUUUCUGGGUAAAACUUCAUGAGAAUAUUUGAUAUUUCUCGUGAUUUUUUAAGGAAAUUUGAUUUGUAGAAAAAUUUAUAAGAAAUUUAGACAAGCAAAAAAGAUUAUUUUAAUAGCAAGGGGGGUAGGUUCUUGUAAGUUGGUCGAGCAAAUUAAUAAUAAUAUUUUAAUAGCAAGGGGUAGGUUCUUCGUUCUUGCAAGUUGGUCAGGAAAAUUGAUAAUAUUUUAUUCUUGUUUUCAAAAAAAAAGAUAAUAUUUUAUUCUUGCAAGUUGCUGGAGCAAGUAGCGGCAACCCACCCAGACGGAGGAAUUUAUUAUACACCUCUAAAAACUUGUGCAUAGUUGCACAUUUGCUUUUUAACCUGCAAUAGCAAGUUUAGUAGGUUUUUUUGUUAAAAAAUAAAAAAACAUAUAUAUUAGUAAACUAAUUAAUGAAGGAUUAAGUUAAUUAUUAACUCAGUAAUUAAAACCAAAAAAAAAAAUCUUCUUGCAAAACUCCCCCGAUCAUCCUCACCUUACUCAUCCCAUCUCCAGUCCCUAUCUCCCAGCCCUAACCCUUUCCUCCUCUUCUUUCUCCCAGCCACCGCAACUCCCCAGAUCUGCAACACCACCUUCAUAUCCCAACCUCCUUCUUCCUUUCAGCCAAGAAAAACCCACGCUCACUCUCUUUCAACAUCUUCAACAGUUUUAAGUUUCUUCCCAAAUUUCUUCAUCUUUGACAGAGAGAAGUUAAAUGCACCACCACGCCUUCCACCGCACUGCGCAACGCCUCCACCACCACCACUCGCAGCUUUCCCGCCCUCAGUUCAAGUAACCUCCAUCACACCGUCAUACACAUCCAUACGACCCCAAAGUCCCAAUUUUUCAGCUUCCAAACACCACUUUACGACCCCAUAAACAACCCAGAACCUGGGUGUGUCUCUUCUGGGCUAAAAACAGAAGAAAAAAAACAAGAUCUUGAUGAAGAGUAGAAGGCUUACUCUAUCGCUCCAUCUGAUGGGAACCAGAUCUGUGCGACGAAUCUUCUGCAGUCACUCCAUCGCUCUCCUUCUCGCACCUCUGAUUUUUGCUCCUUCAUCUUCUCUUUGGUUAUGGGUUGGGUUUUUGGGCUUAGUUUCUUGGCGGGGUUGGGGGUGAGGGUGGGAUGGGGUGCGAUGGGCUUCUUCUCUCUGCCACCGCCGUCACGCCUCAUCUCUCCAAAAUCCAUAUCACCCUCAGAUCUUCUUUCUCGACCCACGGCUGUUGAACGAGAUCCAGAUCAAGAGGGAGAUGCAGCUUAACGGCGAAGGCCACCCACAGAGAUGCAGCCCCAACGGCGAAGGCCGGUGCGGUUGGGUGGUUUUUUUUUUUUUUUAGAUCUAGAUUUUUUUGGGUUGUUGGUGAGAAUAACAGAGGAGAUGAAGGAGAAAGGUCUGUGGGGAAGACAAAGAGAGAAGAGGUGAUGAAGGGGGAGAGAGAAGAGGAACAGAUUUUUUUUUUUGAUAAAGAGGAAGAGGAACAGAUUAAGAUUAAGGAUAAAUGUUUUCUUUUUUAAUUAAUUAAAAAUAAAUGCUUAAUUAAGAAAAUAUGUUUUUUGAUUUUUUUUUUAAAAACUUGCUAUAGUGGGUCAAAAGGUCAAUGUGCAACCUUACACAAGUUUGUAGAUGCCCAUAAUAAAUUUUUCCAACCCAGACAAGCAAACUAAUCAAUAUAAUAAUGUAUUCUCCACUAUAAAUACCUAUAUGCAUCAAGCAAUGCAAUCACACCCAAAACCUUGUCUUCAGUUAUUCCCCAUUGAAGCAAGCAAAUUAAUCAUGUUACCUCUAGCAUUGGCUAUACCUGCGUUGCAGCUCCUUCUGAUAAUACUUUUCAUUCUAUCAGUUGCCCAGCUUCUUAAUCCAAAAGAGCAUAAAAAUGGUAGGAAAUAUCCACCAGGUCCCAAACCUCUGCCAAUUAUAGGCAACCUCCACCUGCUGGGUAAACUCCCACACCUCUCCAUUCACGAGCUUGCCAAAAAAUAUGGACCCAUCAUGUCCUUAAAGCUAGGACAGGUCCCAACCAUUGUGGUUUCGUCCCCUGAAACAGCAGAGCUAAUCCUCAAGACCCAUGACUCUGUUUUUGCUAGCAGACCUUUAACUCAAGCAUCCAAAUACAUUUGCUAUGACAGUAAGGGCUUGAUUUUCUCUGAGUACGGUUCCUACUGGCGCAAUGUGACGAAGCUGUGCACCUUUGAGCUCUUAAGCGUGAAUAAAGUUCAAAGUUUUGCUCCUUUAAGGAGUGAGGAAGUACGAGUGUUUGUGAAAUCACUUGAGAAAUCAGCAGCCUCACGCGAGGUUGUGAAUGUCAGUAAGAGAGUUGGGGAACUUGUAGAGAAUGUUGUCCAGAAAAUGAUUUGGGGUCCCAGUAACAUUGAAAAUUUUGAUGUCAAAAGGCUUGUUCAUGACGUUCUGCACCUCAUGGGAGUUUUUGAUGUGGGAGAUUAUAUACCUUGGGUUGGGGCAUUUGAUCUUCAGGUACUUCCAAUACAACCACUACUAGCAUGUUUGAAUCUACUUAUUUCGCUUCAUAAUCAUUUCUUAUAUGCAACAAUUAAACUUUUUUCCUAGAAUCAAUUUUGCCUUUAAAAGGACUAUAGAUCGAUUUUCGUACAUGUACUAUUGCAUCUUGUUCAAGGUUGUCAUCGAUUCUAAGUUUCUAGGUCCCAAAAAGAAUCAACUAGCAAGUAAACUCUAAAAUUUCAAGAAUCGAGCAAACUCUUGUUAACUUGGUAAACUCGCAUAGGCUUGCGAUUCUACACCAAGUUAGUCACGGAAAAAACAAAAACAAAUUUUUCCCUAAAUCCUGAAAUUAAAUGGAGUAAUUUUGGAUUUUCACAAAAAGCUUUCAAUUAAGACCGAGAGAAAAAUAGGAUUUUCUCAUUUUAAUCCAACAUUCUCAUUCACCUUCAAACUCUUGGAGAAGAUGAGACAUCAGCGCUGCAAGUCGUCGUCGCCGCUUUAAAUUUUUAGCUAUCUCCAAGACUUUAUUUUGAAUUAUGCAUUCUUGGUACUUUGAAUCUUUGAUCGUUUAUGUAUUUUAUUGAACUUUACUUUAUUAUAAAGUUGGUUGUUGAAUUUAUUUGAUUAUUGUCUCCUUAGUGGUUGUAUUAUGUAUUCUUUUUACACCAUGACAGGUUUUAUCAAGGUUUUUAUUUUGGUAGACUCUUACGAGUCUACGAGUUAACUUGAGGAAACGAGUUUACCUCCCAAAACGAGUUUGCGUAGACUCUCGAGUCUGACAACAUUGAUCUUGUUACUUUUGAUUCUUAAAAGUCUUAUGUGACAAACCUAGGACACAUCAUCAGUUAGUCCGUAGUGGCAUUCUACAAGGCUUUAUGAGACUGUAUGACACACCAUGCUACAUGCUGAUGUGAUAAUAUUGACAAUAAUAAAAAUCUCAAAUCUUUACACAGUGAUAAUUCGAACAUGAGACCUCAAUAUUUAUAGGACUUUGAACAUAUUUAAUCCUUAUUCUUAUCCUAAAAGAUUUUACAUUGUCCACUAAAUCUGACUUAAUAUUUAAUCCAUAUCUCAGGGACUAGUAAGAAAGUUCAAGAAAGCGCACGAGGAAUUUGAUCAAAUGUUAGAGCAAAUCAUCAAAGAUCAUGAGGCUCCUUCUCGUCUUAGCGACCAGAAAAACGGGCAAUCUAUUGACUUCACUGACACAUUGCUAUCACAUAUGAAGCAAUCAAAGGACAAACAUAUUAUUAACAAAACAAAUCUCAAGGCUAUUUUGUUGGAUAUUAUUAUCGGAUCACUUGACACAACUAUCAUGACGACUGAUUGGGCUAUGUCAGAACUACUGAGGCACCCGAAGGCUAUGACGAAACUUCAAGAUGAGUUAAAGAAUGUAGUGGGUAUGGGGAGGGUGGUAGAAGAAGAUGACAUACCAAAGUUGCCAUACCUCAAUAUGGUGGUGAAAGAGACCUUUAGGAUACACCCACCUGCACCCCUCCUCGUACCUCGCGAGUGUUUGGAAGAUAUAACAAUCAAUGGUUAUUUCAUUGCGAAAAAGUCACGGGUUUUAGUCAAUUCUUGGACAAUAGGACGAGAUCCUAAAAUUUGGUCAGAUAAUGCUGAGGAUUUUUAUCCAGACAGAUUUCAAAACACCGACACAGAUUCUCAUGGACUCCAUUUUCAAUUUCUACCAUUUGGUUCCGGUCGUAGACGCUGUCCCGGGAUGCAAUUGGGUUUAACUACCGUUCCGUUGGUUCUAGCUCAGUUAGUGCAUUGCUUCAAUUGGGAGCUUCCAUUGGGCAUGUCUGCCAAUGACUUAGACAUGACGGAGGAAUUUGGCCUUACAACGCCAAGAGUUCAAAAUUUGCUAGCGAUUCCAACUUAUCGCUUAGUAAAUGAAGGUAAUUGAAUGCAUCAAACCUCGUGACAAAGCAAGAAACUAUUUUAAUGUGUUUUUCAAUUUAUGUCUUUCUUUGUUUGUCUCUUAAUAAGAUCUUCAUGUGCGCACAGAGCUUCUUUGCAGCCCUUGGAUCGAUCAUACCUAAGAGAUUAUGCUGAUUUUUUUUAUUUUGGCACUGUAAUAAUUUGAUAAUCCUAUUACUCAUGAUGGGUUUCAAUACGUUAAGUCGGCGCAUAUCAUCAUGUAUUUGAACAUUGCAUGUUAUUUUCCUUUAGACAAAUCUCUCUAGCCCAACAACCAACAUAAAAAUUGGUUUCAAAACAAACAACCCAACACAAUUGGUAGCUAGAUAGCUGAGUUCGUUAAGCAUUUAUUUGAGAGUUUGAUUCUUGAGCAGUGUAUAUAGAGAAAGAUUUGUUGAAAAAGACUUACCCGCUCAAUCUAGAGCUGGGUACAAGGGUGGCCCACUCCGCACAAGCCUGCUUCGUGUUGCUUCGCCCCGCGUAGGCCCGCAUUUUAGCAGUCCUCUAUUUUCCGGGCUAUAACCCGCAGUAGUCCGCGGUUUUGCGGGCCGAUCCAUGGACUUUGGCAUCUCUUACCCCUUUUUUGCCUUUGUAGGCCUGCCCCGCAUUGACCCCCCCCCCCCCCCGCACUGGCCCGCUUCGCGUAGGCCCAUAUUUUAGCGGUCCUCUAUUUUCCGGGCUACAGCCCGCACUAGUCCACGGUCUCGCCGGCCGGCCCGCGUACUUCGACCCGCUUACCCAGCUCUAGCUUAAUCUAAUCUCAGAUCAUUGAAUAGAUUAGUCUUGGUGCUGCCAACUAUCAAAUACUUAAUAAAAAAUGGCUUAAAAGCACUUUUGGUCCCACAAAUUUCUAUUGUGUAAAUAGAGUCUUUAAUCUUUAAAAAUAUCACUCUUAAUCCCCAAUGUUACCCUCCAUCAACCUUCUUUGCAAUGGCUGAAGCUUGAAUUUUAUUUUUUUGAGGACCAUAGUAAAAUUUUAAUACGCAUAUAUACUUUCUUGGUUAUUUGGUGAGUUUCAGAUCAAAUUUCAGUAAAUAAACCAAAAUAUCUUUAUUAGAAAAACACAUAUGUAUACAACAAAAAUGAAAAAGAUUAACCUAACUUAUGUACAGGAACAAUAGAAAAUUACUAUAAGUUGUACUAAUAAUCUUUGAAAUUUUCUAUUUAGUUUUUUUUUCUUCAAGUUUUGGAUUAUUGGUAUAUAUAUUUUUUCCUUUAGAUAGCAUUUUUAUAUUUAUAAUCAAAAUUCUUUCUCUUAAUAAAAGAAUUUAUUCUUUAAUUUUUGGUUAUUAAUUUUUUGGGACAAGCUUCCAUAUGCCAUUUUUCUGAAGAGGCAGGGGUGCCCCCCUUUCCUAGCCAUUGAUUUAUAAUAUUUUAAUUGAACGAUCCGGAUCAGUUGAGGAAGAUAAUUAUGGCUUGGUCCUAUGCACUAGUCAAAAUAUAUCUCUGGUCCUAUUACAUUUUAUAUUCACGUAAAUGACUGUAAAGUUUAUGCAAUCCAUUAUAGACCCUAUGAGUUUUCAUAUCUAAAAAUUAGUCCUAACUAUAUAUACACAAAACCAUGAAUUAAAUUCAUUUUAUGCAUCCAAAAUCUGAAGGAUCCAUUGCUCUUCUCUCUUCUCCAAACUUACUUUCUCCUUCUCCUACAAGUGACAAUGGAUUAAAACAAAUGAGGAUGGAGAGUGGUGGAUCCAAAAGUGGGGAUUGUGCAUUGAUGAGUUGUGGAUCUAAAACUGGGGUUGUCCAUGUCAAAAAAUAUGUUUAUGGUUUUGUGAUAACAAUCUCAUAGAUAAGUAUAGUGAAAGAAUAGAAAAAUAAUUGCAUAAAACUAUUCUCACUUUCUGGGUUCCAUAAGUGGUAACUAGUUAGGAAAAAUAAUUUUAUGUUGUUGUUUGUUCAAUGUUUGGUGAGAAUUUGUGCAAAAUCUGUGUCUCCUUGAUGUUCCUCGUCAAGUCACAGUCCCAACAAGUCAUACUAGAGCUUUGAUGGUGACUCGAGGUGGUCGGAAUCAUCAUUUUCGAAAAUGACCCAUUUUUAAAAGUUCCUGAAAUGAAAAUCUGAGGUCAUAGAUGGAUUCAGAAGGUUGAGACGAGUCCGGAACAAGUUCCGGAAUCUCAAACGGAGCCUGGACGAAGCUACACUCUCCCGCACUUGCCGGCGAGGUGGCCGGAGAGUGAGCCCACUCUCGGCCACGCGCUCCACUCGCGCUAGAGGAAGAAGGAGAGUGGCGGCCACUCUCGGCUAUGAGACACACGCGCCUGAUGACGUCAGAGACGCUGAUACGGCUUGUUCUCAUGCUGACAUGUGACAGAAUGUGUUUUUUGGAAAUUUUGGGUCAUUUUUAUCCGUUUUGGGUUCAAGAGGAGUCGAUUCUAAGGUUUUCGACCGUUCCGGACGCAAUGGUGUGGUUCUUUUCUUGAAAAUCUUUCCAGAUUUGCAAAUAGGACCAGAUAUUGGCCUUUGAAUAAACUUAAGUAAUGUGUUUUUUUAAUAAAUUUGGUCAUUUUUAUCCGUUUUGGGUACAAGGGGAGCCGAUUCUAAGGUUUUCGACCAUUCCAGAAGCAACGGUGGUAUUCGUUUCAUGAAAAUCUUUCCAAAUUUGCGGAUAUGAUUAGAUCAAUUCUAAUAUUUAAAUGAAUACUAGUGAAUUGAUGGAUAAUGACACUUUUAACCUAAUUUAGUUAUUCUAAAGUCUACGUUAAACUAGGAUUAUCCAUUUUAAUGACCUCUUAACUUAACGUUAGUUAUUCCAUUGACCCUUUUAAACGAAUGUUAGUUAUACUAUUAUCUCGAUUAGACUAGGGUUAGUUAUUCUAAUGACCCUCCUAACUGAAGCUUAGUUAUACUAUAGUCUUAGUUAGACUAGAGUCUGUUAUUCUAUAGUCUCAGUUAAACUAGAGCUUGAAAUUCUAUAGUCUCAGUUAAACUAUAGCUUAAAUCAGGUUUAUCUAUUAUAGUGGUUUUCUUAACUUAAGAUUAGUCAACUUGUGUUAGCGCAAAAAAAAAAAAUCAAAGUAUGAAAAAAAGGGCCAUCAGCCAAACAAAAUUCCAACAGAAUUGGCUAAUGCAAAAAAGCCCAGAUAUGCGUUUUUUGCACCAAAAAAGGAGGGGUCAGCAGCAAAAAAAACUAGCCCAAGAAAAAAAACAAUCAAAUCCUUAUAGAAAAGUGAAGGGCCAUCAGCCAAACAAAAAAAACCAACAAAAUGGGCUAAUGCAAAAAGGCCUAGAUAUGUGUUUUUUACACAAAAAAGGAGGGGCCAGCAGAUGAAAAAAAAAAACCUAGCCCAUUUUUGUUUUUUUUCCGAGUUCUUUUUUCUUCUGAUUUCAUUUAUUCUGAUUUCAUUUAUGAGCUUUUUCUAAGGAUUUUUCAAUAUCAAAAACAUACUUUUGAGACUUUAAUUCACAGUUUUUGAAAUUAAUAAAAUCUCAUUUUGAUUGAUUAAUCUGAGUUAAAAUAAAUGAUUAACUAACUGUUGGUUGUUAUUAUAAAUACUCUUAAUUAUGUUGAUAAUCAUAAUAAGGAGGAGGGAUGAAAAAAUGAACUAAAGAAGAUGGAGAGGAAUCUUAUCCUUCUCGACCACUUUAAGCAUUAACUUCAUGAUGAUUAAACUCUUUGAUUUGGACCCUCGAGAGUUACGACACACCUCAGAGAACCCAAUGAUGAAGAGGAAACUAUAGAACAUUUACACUUGGACCUUGAACUAGGGUUAGUUAUUUCAUAGUCCUGAUUAAACUAUGAUUAUAUGUUCUACUAACUUUAAUAACCUAAGGUUAGUUAUUCAAUAGUCCCUAGCUAGGGUUAGUUAUUCUAGUUACACUCUUAACUUAAGGUUAGUUGUUUUAAUAGUUCCGAUUAAACUAGAGUAUCUAUUCUAAUGACCAUCUUGUUAGGACAGGCCACAAUUAUAGCAUCUAUAAAGAAUAUUCGAUCAAGAUGAACCAUAUGGAUGAUCAAGAUGAAACAUGUGGAUGAUCAGGAUGAACAUGAUGGAUGAUUGUGAUCUUGAUGAUGGAUGUCAUGAUGGGUGGUCAAUAUGAUCAUGAUAGAUGAUUAAGAUGAACCCGAUGGAUAGCCAGGAUGAAACUCAUGGAGGAUCAAAAUUGUCACGAUGGAUGGUCAAAAUGAAAUUGAUGUUAGAUUAUAUUUAUAUAAAAAGGUCAAGAGUGACUUGUCAGAAAGUCGACCAUGUUGAACAACACAUCGUUAGCUAAUCUCGAUCUUAAGUUCCUAAUAUUAGCUAGUUCAAGCAAGAUUAUUGACAUGUCAAAACAACAUAACCAGGCAUAUAAAGCUUUUAAGUUUUUAAGAUUAGAUAUUUCGGUUAAGAUCAACUUGUCGAAACAACCUGAUAAAGCUUUCAAGGUUGAUAAGUUACAAAGAUUAGCCAACUUGACGUGUUCAUACAAUCAAAAGAUUAAUUGGAUGUAUGUGUAAAGUGUAAACAAAGUUUACACUGUCGGUGCAUACACAUUUAAUCAUUCAAGUAAAUAACUGAUUUUAUUCUACUAAUAAUUAAAUAGAGAUUAAUUUUCAUGCACUGACAGUGUAAAUGAGUUUACACAGGUUCAAUCAUAUCUCAAUUUUUUGGCUCAUAUUUAAUUUUAAAUUUAAUAAUAUUUAAAAUAAGAAAUAGAAUGUUGUGAUUGAAUGAUUGGGUAAAACCUUUUAUACUGUGAGUACAUAAAAAUUAACAUGAACGAAAUAACCUGAUUUUAAUUUUUGGCGCUCAAAAUUUAAAUUUUCCCGCUCAUAUUUUGAUUUUUUUGAAAUUAAAACACUGAUUUUAGUCAAUUGAUUUUACGUGUGAGCUCCUCCUUUUUUGGCUUAUUUUAAUCUUUAUGCUCCUUUCAGAGUUCCCGCUCUUCCUUCUUUUAGUUUCCCUCUCUUUUUCAUCUGUCAAAGUAUUCAGGACUCAAUUGGAGAAGAAAAAUUAAAAAAUUCUAGAAAUCUUAUCUCUAUCCUACUUGAGAUUUCCUAUCUCACUAAUCUGUCCUUUUCAUCUUACUCUCUCACAUUUUCACUAUCUCUUUAUCUCCACCUCUUCUGCAUCUCCUUAUCACUUUACAGUCGGAUCCAGUUCCUCUCCUGCCAAUCUCUCUCCGGCGUCUCACCGCACACGGCCGUUGAAGCUCAUGACCGCCGUCUCCGCCAAGGACCCAAACAUCGUCGCGUCUCAUCGUUCUAUCACCGCUCUCGGCGCUGGCCUGAUCACGACCGCCUUAUCCCACCCAUUGUGCCUCUCGCUGACGAAGCAAACCCAACCGCGUCUCGCCGUCUCCGAUUCUCUCAUUCAAUUUGUCGCCGUCAAGCUCAAGCCCCAUAUCCUUCAGAACGACUACCCCUGGUUUCCAAUUUCAAAUUUAGGAACACGAAACCUGUAACAUUGUACAAGAGGAAUGCAUAUUGUCUUGGCAUUUUAGAUUUUUUGUGGUUGUACCAGAGGACAUGACUAGGUGAAGAGUAGUACCUCGGACGGUGAGUUCAAUUUCCUACCUUCCGCUCUUAUGUUCAAUUUUUAAUUUUACUUCCUCUGUUAUUCAUCUCUUUCUCAUUUGGCUUACCAUUUGUCAGGAAAACAAAAUUCUGUGCAUAUGCUAAACUAGCCAUUAAAAAAAUUGACUUUGAUAUGAGGGUGUUUUUUUGGAUGAUUGGUCUAUCUUGGCUUAGAAACUGAUUUUUGGUGAUUUGUUUUCUGCAGCAAAAAGGGUUUUCUGUGAUACUUUCAGACAUGCGUCCAUCGGUUUCUGGAAUCACAAUCGGUUGUUGGCAGUGCUGCUUCUUCUGUUCAAGCUUCAGCUGAUGAUGAUGAUGAUUAUAUUCGGGAGGAGCAAAGUGUUGAUGAUCCAUCCGGUUCAAAUGAUAAGGGAGUCUUGCAAGUUGGAGGGAACCUUAUUAUAAAGAUUUUGGAGAGUGAAGAUUCCAAAGGUGGUUCAUUUUUCUCAAGACUAGUUUUAUUCCAGCUGAUUUGGUUGCGUAAUGUGUUUAUUUAAUCUCUUUUGAAAUCUUCUGCUGCAGAAAUCAGUCAGAUUUGUAAACCAUUAUUUAGAAAGUCAUCGUAGCUGAGGCCUAAAGCCACAAGACCUUCCUCAAGAGAGAUCUAUUUGAUAUGUCAUGGUUUAAAGCCAGACGCAAAGACAUAGGUUGUUUUAUACGAUAUUCUUUGUCUGGGUGAACAUUAGGGAUGAACAACAUACAAAACUCACCUUCUCCUUUAUUUUUUUAUGUUCAUUUUCAUUACUAUAUUUGUGCUUGAUUUUGUUAAAAGGGUGUUCUACUUUUGGGCUCUACUAUGGUCAUGGGAUAUUUUCUAUUCUUAAUUUAAUUAUAAUAAACUACUUUUAAGAUCAGUCGGGGACCAUAUAAGAGACUAUCAAAUUUUUUACCUUGUGCUCAAACUGGAUUUUCUAAUAUUUUUGUUAUGAUCUUAUGUUCCUGAUUUAAUUUAUACCAUUUUAAACUUAAAUUAACAGGAUCUGUUGCAACAAUGGGUAAGAACCAUUUGUGAGUUUAGUGACAUAAUUUGAUUGUCACCUUGGUUUCAAUUGUGCAUGACACUCAUUUGUUUCUUGCCUUGUUUACUUUGUGUUUUCCUGAAUGAUUUUCUUGUUUGCUGUCUGACAAGUUUUUAGUUUCAGGCACACUAGUUGUUCAAUGAAAUAGGAUAAAUGUGCGAAAGCAAGAAUCAUGAAGGUGAAAGAGCAACCCGUUUUAGGCUGAGUAGCACCUUAUUGAAUCGCACCUCCAAUAUUUUGUUCAUUGUGAGAGGUCCAUUUGAAAAAUCUGGGAAUUUUUACAUUAUUCCUUCGAUUUGGGUGCCUCUCUCUAUCUCUCUCUGUCGAGUUCACCAAUUUCUUUGUCUAUCAUCACUAAUUCCUUUGUUUAUGUUCUGCAUAGUGAGAUUAAUUGAUUGCUUUAAAGAAGUCAAUUUAUGAGACUGGGCAUUCAAGGGAGUUCCAGUGAUUUGGUUACCGAGGUAUAUGGACUAUGUAGUGGAUUAUCUUUCACAAAUCGUACCGACUGUCUAGCGCAAGUUGAUCCAGGUUUCUCCUUCCUCGACCUUUCACAUUUUUUUAUGUGAAUUUAAUUUACAUUAUGAAUUCUUUAUUGAUUUGGGUUUGUGGAAAGUUCAGGACUUUCAUGUUUUAACCAUGUGAUGUGUCCAAUUGCAAUGAGUAAUGUUCAAAAUCACUCUUUGUCAUCAAAUGUUGGCACAUCAAAUUUGCGAUUGAAAUUUAAGAAACGUGAACUUUACUACGUAAUGCAUCCAAAUGGUAAAGCUCUUAAUUCAUUGUUGAUUUUUCUUUGGCCAUUCUCAUGAUUUGGUACUGUUAAAUUGUGCUAUUAACUUUUGAUUUUCUAUAGUGAUUGUGCAUGUUUUGUCUUUAUCUACUUUCUUCUUUCAUCUGUUUGUUGGCUACUUAGAUAUAUGACAUACUCCUAUUUUCUCAGAAUCAAUUAAUUUCCACACAUGCGCAUAGUGUGCUACUUGUUUCUAAUUUUGUUUCAUUGACUCCAUGUUCUGUGGUGCUAAAAUUAACUUGUGGCAGUUUGUAGGAGGAAAAAGGGUGGAUGGUUUCGUGUCUGAGAUCAUUUGGUCAUGCUAAUAUUGACUGUUUAAUAGGGAGGAUAAAGGAUAAAUUGUAAUGCUGUUUGGAAUGAAGGAGGAUAAAUUGUAAUGAAGGAGAUUGACAUCUGGUAUUGAUUGUAUUUGUUUAUAUAUGGUAAAGUGGCCAGAAAUUUCCUUUAGAUCAGAAAAGUAGAAAUGAAAGGUAGAGUGGAUCGUCUACAUUCACUGAGUGCAUGUUUGUAAAUUUAAUAGAUUUUCUCAUUUGGGGGUUAAAUGAUUCUGGAAGAAGCUAUCAGAAGUAAUUCUUACAUAGGGAAAAAUGAUCAUGAGAGAGUUAAAGUAGAUCCAAAAAUGGUGAAAAUUAGCUAUAUGUAUUACAGAGGAAAACAUUUUGAGGAUUGAUCGAUAAAAUUAAAUUAUCGCAUGAUAAUCCCAAUACAAGCAACCAGGAAACUCUAUAAAUGUCUAUACCAGCUUUUCCAUUUCUAAGUAUCUAGGAGAAUUAAAUUUAGUAGGUAUACGCAUAAUGUACAAUAUUGUUUUAAUUGCAUUAACAGUACAAAAAAGAAGAAAUUGUUUGUUAUGGAAUACUGGCUUAACUUUUCCUUCAAUGAAUUUCAUAAUAAAGUACAAAAAAAUGUGGAUUCCAUACAUUAAUUCAUUUGUGGGGCACUAUGAUCUAUUUGACUAUAGUAUAAGGAUCCAUCUCACACAUAACAUUACAUGUGCACAUUUCAUAUUAGAUGAUUUAGUUUCUAGCUUACUUUUUAAUAUUAUCAGUGUUACUUUUUAAUGGCUUACUUCAUUUUUGAGUCACUUGGUAUUCCAGUUCUACUGAGCUAGGUGUAUAUAACUUUGCUGUUUUUCACUGUUUCUUGGUGCAGAAAUUAGACCUAACACAACUAAGCCUUUGGAUUCUGAGUGUUUUUCCUCAAAAACUUGUGCUUCCUAGGCAAUUCUAUUUGCUUCAUUUUUUUUAUUCUCAACUAAUUGGAUCAAUUGCAUGAUUUAGUGAAGUUCCAACCCUGAUUAUUUGUUCCAGCCUUGGAACCACCUUGAAAAAUGAAUUUUGUCACUGACAUUCCUCCAGUCAGUGUUGAGAAAAAUAUUUUUUUUCUUCUCUUUUGAUGCCAAUCCUAUAAGAUAGCAAGAACAUGAACAUUUUUGGCAGAGAAUCAAAUAGCUUAUGGAGGAAUGUUGUGGUUGAAAGAUAUUCGCAAGACCCUUUGUCACUGCUCUGGCACUUAGAAUUAUCAAACCCUUCGGUUGGAUCCAUUGUAAUCCGGGACACUUAGAAUUAUCAAACCCUUCGGUUGGAUCCAUUGUAAUCCGGGACAUAUGGAAGGUGCUUAUAAAUGAUGAUUUGAUUUCUGCCGGUUUCAUGGAAAACCUUCUGGUUGUUGUGGGAGAUGGCAAGAAAACGAAGUUCUGGAAGGACCCAUGGGUAACUGAUUCUGCCCUUUGCAAUGUAUUCCCUAGACUGUAUGCUUUGAGUGAAAACAAAGAAGCCAGAAUUGCAGAUGUGGGCUCUUUCUCCAGAGGGUCAUGGGAUUGGUCAUUAAUAUUUCGCAGAUCGUUUUUUACAUGGGAGGAGGAACUUUACUCUUAGCUCCUGGUCUCGAUCAACUCCAUUAUUCCAGCUUCCUUGGGGGGGAGAUUACCUGAUAUGGUGUCUUAAUCAAAAGGGCUUCUUCUCGGUUAAGGAGCUUUGCAAUUAGGCUGAAGAUCAAACCUUCAUUAACCGUACUUGGCAAGUUCCUAAAAAUGUAGCAAAACUUAUUCCUCCCAAAGUUGCUCUCUUUUUCUGGCAGGCACAGAAGAACAAAAUUGCAACUAGAGCCAAUUUAAUUUCUAGAGGUAUUGAUCUAGCUGACUCAUCUUCUUGCCCUCUUUGCAUGACCAUUACAGAAACUUGCUCUCAUCUAUUUCUACACUGUAAUUACACUUGGUCUCUGUGGUGCUCGAUUGUAAAUCGUGAAGGUUUUUAUUGGGUUGUUCCUUCGUCUCUAGAAGGACUCAUCUCUGAAUGGGACCAUUUACCCAAACUUUCUGACAAGCUGCUUUGGAGUUUAAUACCAUAUGCGCUAUCAUGGUCAAUUUGGAUUGAAAGGAAUAAUGUGUGCUUUAAUCAGAAGACUUUCAAUUGUACAGAAGUAUGGGAUCUUCAUCUCUCACGAAUUGGGUGGUGGACGCAUGAUUUGCUCCUUCAAAAUGCUUACAGUAUUGAACAAUUGGCCAGGAAUUUUGAGCUAAUCAGAUUUGGGUCCAAAUUGCCUACUGCAAGACAUGCUGGCUGGACUCCUCCUGAAGUGGGUUUAAUUAAAAUUAACGUAGAUGGUGUUGCCAGAGGAUCACCGGGAAGAUGUGGUAUCGGUGGUAUAUUUCGAAAUAGUGAUAAUGAGAUUCUGGGUUUUUUCUCUAAACAUGUUGGGGAAGGCUUUGCUUUUGAAGCUGAGGUGUGGGCGAUCUUUGAGGCACUUACAAUCUGUGUUAACCGACAAUUGAGAAAUCUAACAAUUGAAAGUGAUUCUUCUCUAGCUGUCGGUUGGGUCAAUAAUCGAAGCAACAGACCAUGGAAAUUGUUGAACAAGCUUAACCAGAUUGACCUGUGGGUUGCGGAGGUAAAUUGUUUAUCGGUGAAACACAUUUUUAGAGAGGCAAACGGCGAAGUUGAUAAAUUGGCUAAGCGAGGAGCUGAUCAUCCGAGGGACUUAUAUUACUUCAAGACUUCCAGCCAUCAUCAAUAGUACUGGAUUUUUUUCUCCGAGGGUCGAGUAGUAGUGUAAACCGUGUGGGAAUUGUAUUCUAUAUUGGCUAGCUUUCCUUAUCUUUCUAGUAGGUUGUUUUAAGCUUGCGGUUUCAUGUACUUCACUUUGCCUAAGUUAUAUCUCCUCUGCUUGUUAUCUCUGUUUUGUGGUUGGUUGCCUUGGUUAGAGUACUCUUUUUCCUCUCCUUGGGUUUUUCCCACUGGGUUUUCCCUUGGAGAGGUUUUGAUGAGGCUUUCUCCUUGGCCGGGUUUCCUAACCACAUCUCUUUAGCAGUUUUGUGAGACUUUUUGUCCACAUGAGAGGAUUGUUCUCAUGGCUUUAUUCUUCAUUUUCUAUAUAUAUAUAUAUAUAUAUAUAUAUAUAUAUAUAUAUAUAUAUAUAUAUAUAUAUAUAUAUAUCAGUUGUUUCUCAAAAAAAAAAAAAACAAUAAAAUUAUUUUGUCCAAUUCCUUGUGACAGGAUUUAUUCUUAACUAGGUAAUAUGGGAUAAUUAUAUCUUCACACCUCAAAAAUGAGGUGUGGAGAAGUGGAGGAAGAGAGAGAUAGGAAGAAAGGAGAGAGAAAGUAAAGAUGUGAUAAAUGAUUUGAUUGAUAGAAAAAAGAGAAAUAAAUAGAAAUAAAGGUGGAAAAUAAGUGGAAAUGUGUGUAUAUAUCAUAAUUCGGUAAUAUGUGAUAUGUAGGGGGCGAUAAGUAACAAGAUCAAAUUUAUAAUAAAUUCUUAAACUAGUUUUCUUUGCACAAGACAUUGUUAGGAAUUGGAUGAUACUUGACCGAACUGCAAAUAGCAUAUUCAGGCUCUCAAUAUAGUAUAGCUUAAAAUCUAGUGUUUCACAAAGUCACCAACAAAUUUUGAAAAAAAAAGAAGAGGUGAUGAUUCAAGUGCUACACAAAGUCAAGAAACUACUAUGUUAACUCAAGAUGCGCUUACAGAAGUAAUGACACUUUAAGCCAAUUUGGCAUCAAUAAUUCCACUAGUUUAUUUGUUGUACAAAUUUUAUGAUCAUAGGGUUCUUUAAUCACAUACAGCUAGUGAAAAACCAAAUCUCAGCAAUCAGAGAUGGCGUAUGAAUAUAGAAGAGUUGAGAUAAGGUCCAACGAAAUAUGUGAGAGGAUGUGUUUAAGUGCAUUGUUAAGUGUGUGGAUAUGAAGUGAUGGAGCACAAUGACAUAAAGUUAAAGUGCAUCAGGAAGCGUGUCGACAUAAAGCUGACAUAAAGAUGAUGACAUCGUGUAACGUGUUGACAUAAAUGGUAAAUGGUGUAACCUAAUUAAUUGAGUUAGGAUUUAUUUACACCUUAAUUUCACUUUUACUUCACUUUUUUAUUUAUUUGUCUCUUAUCUUUCAAUCAUAUUAUCACAUAUCACAUCUCUUUUUUUUUUCUCUCUCUCUCUUUCUUCCUAUAACUCUAUUCUUUCCACCUCUUUCACACUUUUGAUGUUUCUGCAAGGUGGCUUAGACCACAGGCAUAUCAAUGUGACGUAUUGGUAGCCAAGGAAAUCCUAUAAUGCACCCUAAACACACACGUGGUUUCACUUGCACCAUUCAUGAAUGUACUUCAAUGCAAGAAAUUCUAUUUUAUUUAGUCUGUCCAGUUUUUAGACUUGGAGUGUCUAUUGCACAAGGACUGUCAGAUUGAUUUGAGGUGCAUUUCAUUAAAGCGCCACUUUACUUUGUAACUUAUGUCCCUUUAUGCAAUUUGGUAAAAGAAAUAUUUAUUUACUAUUAUGAGUAUUCUCCUCUUUCUCUUUUAUAGCAACGAAUAAUAGCAUUAGGUACAGAUUGUAAUGUACAAUCUUAAUGCGCAUAUGGAGCUCACUUUUACAAAAUUUGGUGCAAUAUUGGGCAUAUUCACAAAACUAUGGUAUACAGGAAAAUUGAAAAAAGAGAUGGCUUCUGAUUUACGUUGUUAGCAUAAUAAUUAAAUCUAGUCUAAGAUCAGGAAGCAUAUGAAUUUCGAGGUAGCCUUGCAAUUAAGAAUGGUGGUCUCUUAAAUUUGCACCCAGGAAUAAUUACAUAGACAGUUCUUGUUGGUCUUUAAUGGUCCUAUUGGCCUAGCUUACUACCUCUGAUAAAGUAGUUUCAACAGAUCUGUAAUACAAACUUCAGCCCCUUUGACUUUAAAUUUAAAUUUACAUCUUCCUAAACCUUUGUUUUUCCCCGUUUCAAAUUUAUCCCUUUUUUUUGGGAAAAAAAAACCUGGCUUUGUUGUUAAAAAUAAAAGGGUUAAUGGUCAAAUUGGUCCCUGUGUUUGUAGUGAAUUUUGAUUUUAGUCCCUCCCCGGAAAAAACUAGCCGAUAUCUCCCUGUAGUUGCAAGCAUUUUGGUUCUAGUCCUCACAGGAGGUCGGAGCUCCGGUGAGAGUACUGAGUGGCAGGCCAGAGAUGACAUGGCAUUAUCCACGUCAUUUUCAAUUUAUUUAUAUUUCCACGUAAAUAAUUAAUAACUAAAUUAAAUAAAAUUAUUAAUUCAUUCAAAAAUAAAAUCUAGAAAAUAUUGGGAAAAAUUAAAAUCAAAAUUUUAUAAACCCUAAUCCCCCUGCAUCUUCUCAAUCAAGCCUCUCUUUCUCUUCCCCACCCGGUUCCCAAUCUGAGCAGCAAAAAUCACCACCAUUCCAUUCCAGGAAUCAAAACCAACUCAAACCUCAAAACGGUGGUUUGACCUUCUCGCCUCACAACUCUCUUUCUCACCUUUGACCUUCCAUAAUCUUUUACGCGCUGGUGGUUUCAAUGGAGGUGCCACCUAGAACGGUGGUCGUGGCUUGGUGCGGUGGGUCGUUCAUCGUUGGAAUGAGAGCUUAGGUCGACGGAAAUAAAGGUUGUGGCAGACUAGCGGUGAAGGAGCAGAACCAGAUCGAGACCCCACUCACCCAGAUCGCGAAUCCGGUUUCUUGCGAACUCAAAAAGCGAAUCGCCCCUGGAUCCGCCUUCACCACCCCAUGUCGCCGCCGUUGUCGUCCUAAACAACCGAAGAGCCUUGAUGGGGAUACGUUCCAGUUGCUCAGUCAUGUCGGUUUUCUGGGUUUUGAUAUGUGUGGGUUAUGAAUCUGGAUUUUGUGGAUUACAUGGAUCUGGGUUAUGUGGGUUUUGAAUUUGGGUUUUGAAAACGAUUCAAUUGAUCUGGGUUAUGUGGAUUCUACGGAUUUGGCCAUUGAGUUUCUAACUAGAAUUUGUGUUGUUUUCUGGGUUUUCAAUGUUUGGCCAUUUUGGACUUUUUUCGUUUUCUGGGUUUGAUGAUGAGUUUGAAGAUGGAGAUGAUUAAAGAAGGAUGAAGGGGAAGAAGAUGAAGAUGAUUAAGACAUUUGAGCUUUUGUAUUUUUCACUUUAGUCAGGUCUGAAGUGUGGGCGUGGAUGGUAUUAUGUCAUGAAAUAUAUGAUGAGGAAAUAACUGAUAUGUUGGGUGCUGCAGAAAUUUUGUUAGGCGCACAUAAGGUGGUCAUGGUUGCUGAAAUCGUGGAUAUGGUUCUAAAUCUACCUUGUUAGGCGUGGAUAUGGUUCUUAGUACUUUGAACAAUUUUUGAAUUAAUUAAUAAUUUUAUUUCAUUUAGUUAUUAAUUAUUUACGUGGAAAUAUAAAUAAAUUAAAAAUGACGUGGAUAAUGCCAUGUCAUCUCUGGCCUGCCACUCAGCACUCUCACUGGAGCUCCGACCUCCGGUGAGGACUAGAACCAAAAUGCUUGCAACUACAGGGAGAUAUCGGCUAGUUUUUUUCGGGGAGGGACUAAAAUCAAAAUUCACUACAAACACAGGGACCAAUUUGACCAUUAUCCCAAAAUAAAAUUAUACAAAAAGAAAGUAGUACUUAGGGAACUAAUUCUUUGGAAAUUAAAUGGACGCAAGACUUGUUUAACUAAGGUGAGAAAAGAAAGUUGAACAGCCACAAUAACCGUUAAAAACUGGCCACUAUAAUGCUAGUCAUUCCACUAAAAAAAAAGACAAUCUAGAGAGCUGAAUCUAAAAGUUAAAGUUACAUUAAAAAUGUAGGAGCUUAAUACAGUGACACACAAUAAUUACCAUUCUGACAAAGUAAUGCUACUAAAUUAAGGGUAAAUAGCUCCCAACUUGCACAAAUUUUCUUCAAUUUGAGGCGAAGAAGAGGAAGAACUAUAGAACUCUCCUACUAAAAAUAAUAGACAAAUUAUAUGAGUCACUUACAAAGAACACAUUUGAAAAGUAAAAGCAACGUAAACAAAAUUUAGAUAAGAGGCUAACUUUGCCGGUUAAUAGUGGAGGCAUAAAAUCAAAGUGUAUGGAGCAUAAAAUUUCAACAGCAAUAAAAAGAUAAACAUAACAUUAUGAUGAAAUGUAACUCAUGGAAACUCAAAAACUUACUCAAUGACUCUUACUCCAUGCCACCAAGAACCAUUUUUUUCAACGAAUAAAAAUAUUCACAUCCCAAAGAUGAAUUUCCGAGGAUGAAUCUCACUUCAAACACAAACACAAAUUCAAUUCAUAAGACAAAGCAAUCACUGAGCCCAUACUUUGUUAGCUUCCAGCACUGGUCUUGCAUCAAGCUUAUCAAGGGUGAAAUCACAACCACCACUUUCCCAAUUAACAAUGAGGAAUCUGAAAGCACAGGGACUUACCUGCAUAGAAAAAACCUUCCUGUAAAUAAAUACACAAUUACUAAGAAGCACACAAGAUUAAUCAGAGAGAAAUAACAAAACCAGAUCCUGUUGCAGCAAGAACAAGACAAUCUUCAUUUGCAACCCAAGCAGCUAGGGCUUCCUUCUGAAAACUUUUCAAUGCUGAAAACCAAAAAUGCUUUUGCAACAACUUGCUAACUCUGUGCUCCCAAUCAGAUGCUACAUCCAAAUCUCCAUUCACAUCAGAGUCGCUGACGACAAAGGGAAACUCCGGGACGGUCUCGAUGCGGUGGCCGCGGGCGGGCGAGGAUGAAUGACGGAACAACGGAGGUUGCGAUGGCGGAGACCAGGGCGUGGCGCUUCUGGUUCACGUUGAUCUUGCGGUGCCAGCGACGCCAGAUCUUUGUGGGAGCGAACAUGUGACCACCACGACACAUGUUUCCGAAAGCUCCCUGGCCAGCAUGGUGGGUACAACCACCGGGGACACGGGGGAUACGGGAGAAAGCACGACCAGUUCCUCAAGACUCGGCGAAGCACUGGUGGCCGGCGCGACGGGAGACGGCGAAAGGCUGGCGGCUAUUUUUGGAGAUGUUGAAAUGGGCGAAAUUUUCGAUGUCAGGACGGAUUGAAGCUCUCAUGACAUUAGGGAUGGAAUGGUGGUGGCAGCAUCGGAGGACGCAUCGUCUCUUUUUCUGGUGGUGUGGCCGUGGCUGUUGUGGCUCGCCUGGAAUAGAGGAGGAUGUUGUGGCUCGCUUGGAACAGAGGAGGAGACGAUGGUGCACAACUCUGUCGAGGAAGGAGGAGCCAUAGAAGAAGAGUGGAACAUGGUGAUGUUUCAGCAGAAAGAAAACGAGAGAGAAGGAGAGUGAUGAGAGAGUGAGAGCAUGAAUCAGUUAGAUGAGGGAGAGAGUAAGCGGAUCUGAUUUGAUGAGAGAGGAGAGAUAUGUGCUUGAGAUGAGAGUAUUGAGAUAAGGAGGAGAGAGAGUACAUAGGUGCCUACAUCUCAUUGGUUGAAGGGGAAAGUUGAGAGGGAAAGUUAAGAGAGAAAAUUGGGAGGGAAAGUUGAAAGGGAAAGUUAAGAGGGAAAGUUGGGGGGAAAGUCAAGAGGGAAAGUUGAGAGGGAAAGUUGAAAAUUUGAGCACCUAAAAUCAGGUUGUUUCAGCUAUUUCGUUUGUUAAAUGAUUAAAGAUAUAUGCAAUGAUGGUGUAAACUUUGUUUACACAAACAUCUAAUUAAAUUUGGUUUGGUCAAAAAAUGUGUUUUUAUUUUAAUUGAACUUAAAAAUGAAUGUAAUUCUCUUUUCUAUGUUGUAUACAUUGAUUAGAUUGUUUCAACAAGUCGAGUUGGCUAAUCUUAGUAACUUAUCAACCUUAAAAGCUUAAUUAGGUUGUUUCGACAGGUCAAUCUUAACCAAAAUAUCUAAUCUUAAGAACUUAAAAGCCUCAUAUGCUUAUGUAAUUUUGGCAUAUCGAUCUUGCAUGAACUAGUUAAUAUUAUGAACUUAAGAUCAAGGUUAGCUAACUAUGUGUUGGUUCAAUAUCGGGUUCGUCCUUAUUAUCUAUCGGGUUCAUUCUAAUCAUCCAUCAGGAUCAUAUUGAGAUGGUGAACGAUCUCCUCAUCAUUAAUCACAUGCCACGGCAAUGUCUAUAGCUUAUGAGAUGGUGAAGAUUAAACUAAUACUAAUUGAUAUAUGAAAAGGAAAAUUCAAAUGCAUUGCACCAACAAUAUCUAUAGCAUAACUAAUUAGAUAGAUAUAGCUUAUCUUCUUAAGUAUCUAAUUUAAAGUUUGAUCUUUGAACGGAAUGUAUGAAUAAUUAUUUGUUGAGAGAUAUAUACUUAAUGCGAUCUCAGAAUCUCGAGAGAUUAAUAAUAUCAUUACCAGUUGUGGAUAUACCUUGUGAAAAAAAUACAUUACGUCAAAUAAUUAAAUGAGUAUCUUCAAGUAAUUAAUUAAUUAAUAUUGGAUUAAACUUAAGUAGUUUGAAAAGACAAUUAGUCUGCACCACUUGGCUAAAAUUAAAUAUGGUAAACAUCACACGUUAGGUGCCCAAUCAAAUAGUUAACAACCACUAAUAUAUGAUGUGAUCUGUGUUAUGGGGUGGUAGAUCAUAGGUCUUAUUCAAGCUCAAAACUGACAUGGGCUUCAACUUCACCUUUUUAAUGUACAUGCUAGAAUCCAAAAUUAAGAGUUAAAACUAGGAUAAGUUCAUUGUGAUCAAUGGUCGAUCCCUUCAUUACAGUACAACUAUAUAGAGCUUACAUUGAUAUAUUUACAUAUCUAUGAAAACAUAUGUAUAUAUGAACAUCAAUUUAAUCAGGGAAAUGCGUGUUGGUUAUAAUUUUUUCUUUGUUUUAAAUCAAUAUAUACUCAUCGGAGUGAAUUUUGAUCAUUUAGAUUUUCGCCAAACAACUUGUUCUAUGUUCCUUUUCUCAUGCCUUGAAUAAUGCUUAUUAGAGCAUUGUUCUUUCAUAUUAUCAAUGAAUAACUUGUGUUUACAUUGUUAGAAGUUCGUUUGACAAAAUACCAUUUUGCACUACUUUGAUCCAAUUGGAACACUAAACGAUGAAAUAUGAUGUUUAUAGGUUUUAAAAAGUAAAAACACAUAUAACUAGAAUUUACAAACCACUUGCCUUGAAGAGUUUAAAAGUAUCUAUCUUUACCUAAAUCUUUAAGUAUAUUUUUAUUUAUUUCACAUGUAAGAAAUAUGCAUUUUAAAAUACAUAUGUAUCUGUUAAUCUAAAUAGCAAAAAGUUGAAUUACAUUUUUGUGGUCAUUUGGCCACCAGUCUCCACCGGGAAAAGGAGAAAGUUCAAUUUCAUUAAACAUAUAGUCUUCAAUUUAAGUUAUAUGAAUAAGAAACACUAAAAAUGGUAGGGAAGAAUUAACUCCAUCUAAACGUUACUUAGAUUAAUUAGGAUUAGGAAGUCGCUUUGGCGCUUUGCCAACGCAAUUCAAAUUAGCAAAAAAAACACAUAUCUGGGCCUUUUUGCAUUAGCCCAUUCUGUUGGUUUUUUUUGUUUGGCUGAUGGACCUUCACUUUUCUAUAAGGAUUUGAUUGUUUUUUUUCUUGGGCUAGUUUUUUUUGCUGCUGACCCCUCCUUUUUUGGUGCCAAAAACGCAUAUCUGGGCUUUUUUGCAUUAGCCAAUUCUGUUGGUAUUUUGUUUGGCUGAUGACCUUUUUUUUUAUACUUUGACUCUUUUUUUUGCGCUAACACAAGUUGAUUAAUCUUAAGUUAAGAAAAUCACUAUAAUAGAUAAACCUGAUUUAAGCUCUAGUUUAACUAAGACUAUAGAAUAACAAGCUCUAGUUUAACUGAGACUAUAGAAUAACAAACUCUAGUCUAACUAAGACUAUAGUAUAACUAAGCUUCAGUUAGGAGGGUCAUUAGAAUAACUAACCAUAGUCUAAUCGAGAUAAUAGUAUAACUAACAUUCGUUUAAAAGGGUCAAUGGAAUAACUAACGUUAAGUUAAGAGGUCAAUAAAAUGGAUAAUCCUAGUUUAACGUAGACUUUAGAAUAACUAAAUUAGGUUAAAAGUGUCAUUAUCCAUCAAUUCACUAGUAUUCAUUUAAAUAUUAGAAUUGAUCUAAUUAUAUCCGCAAAUUUGGAAAGAUUUUCAUGAAACGAAUAUCACCGUUGCUUCUGGAAUGGUCGAAACCCUUAGAAUCGGCUCCUCUUGGACCCAAAACGGAUAAAAAUGACCAAAAUUAUUAAAAAAACACAUUACUUAAGUUUAUUCAAAGGCCAAUAUCUGGUCCUAUUUGCAAAUCUGGAAAGAUUUUUAAGAAAUGAACCACACCAUUGCGUCCGGAACGAUCGAAAACCUUAGAAUCGACUCCUCUUGGACCCAAAACGGAUAAAAAUGACCCAAAAUUUCCAAAAAACACAUUCUGCCACAUGCCAGCACGAGAACAAGCUACGUCAGCGUCUCUGACGUCAUCAGGCGCGUGUGUCUCAUAGCUGAGAGUGGCCGCCACUCUCCUUCUUCCUCUAGCGCGAGUGGGGCGCGUGGCCGAGAGUGGGCUCACUCUCCGGCCACCUCGCCGACAAGUGCGGGAGAGUGUGGCUUCGUCCGGGCUCCGUUUGAGAUUCCGGAACUUGUUGCGGACUCGUCUCAGCCUUCUGAAUCCAUCUAUGACCUCAGAUUUUCAUUUUGGGAACUUUUAAAAAUGGGUCAUUUUCGAAAAUGAUGAUUCCGGCCACCUCGAGUCACCAUCAAAGCUCUAGUAUGACUUGUUGGGACCGUGACUUGACGAGGAACAUCGAGGAGACAGAUUUUGCACAAAUUCUCACCAAACAUUGAACAAACAACAACAUAAAAUUAUUUUUCCUAGCUAGUUACCACUUAUGGAACCCAGAAAGUGAGAAUAAUUUUAUGCAGUUAUUUUUCUAUUCUUUCACUAUGAGGGACUGAAUAUGAAUCAAACAGAAAUAAGGGACUGAAUAUAAAUCAAACAAAAAUAAGGGGCUAAAAGUGGGAAGCAGAAUUUAAUUUUUAAAUAGGCCCCUGACGCAUUUACAUUAAUGGCGCCGAAAAAAUAAUAAUUUGACUUUCAGUCCUUUUUUUUUGGGGCACCUGUGCCUCUCCAGAAAAAUGGCAUAUGUAAGCUUUCCCCUAAUUUUUUAAGAAAAAUUUAUCACUAAUAGUCUAAAAUUGUUAUGUUCCAAACUCUCAUUUAUCUAUAGGAAAAAGAAAUGUCAUUAAAUUAAAGUGCAUUUAAUUUAAGCUUGUGUAGUAUACUUCUUUUUGUGUGGUAGACAAACUAAAAAUUUAUAAUUAUAGUACAAAGGUCACCAUUAAGAUGAAGGAUAAGUUAAAUUAAAAAAAGAAGUCAAUGAUAAAUCCUAUAAAAAUUAUGGAUGAUAAGUCUUAUUAUAAGUGCCAAAUUGCUAAUUAAUGAAAAAUGGAAAAAAGUGGGAGUUACGGUAAAAACCCAAGAUGGAAAUCUCGAACCUAUCCUUGGUGAUAUGCAAACUACUAUCCACCAGUACAACAUAGAAACAUACAAAACGAGCAAUUAAUUUUGUUGAUUUUUGAAAAAGUUGAGAAAAUAUGUGGGGUUGGAGUUCCCCGGCAGUGAGGAAGAGGUCAUUCAUGAAUUGACGGAAUUCCUUAGAGAAAAUGAUCUUGUUUGCUCGUAGUGGUCUUUUGUUGAUCUGUGGCUUUUGAGGCGCUUGGGGCUCUUGUUGUUGGGUUUGGGUUGUCUUGGCUUUGAGCCUUUUAGGGCUUUUGGAGUUCUCAUUGUGGUUUAGUUGUUGGUUGCUUUUCCAUGGCUGGGUUCUGUAAUUCUUUCGCGUCUCCUCUUUGAGAGAUUGUACUUUUCUUUUAAUUUUUAAUAAGCUCGCUCUUUUGCUCUCUGAAAAAAGAAAAAGAAAAAGCUCUUUGAGAGAUUGCACUUUUCUUUAAGUAUUAUUUUCUCUCAUCAUUUAAACUCUCACAUUAUUUAUGUUUUCCUUUAUUUCUCAAAAUUUAUUGCAAGAGGGUAUUAUUGGAAAAAAUAUAUUUAAUACAAUCUUAAAUGUGUAAGUCGUCAGUUAAAUAAAAACAAUUUUUUUCAUCAAUUGACAGCUAAAUAGUAACGGAGACAUGGUAGAUUCUAACAUGUUGCUGCAAUGCAAGCAAGCAAGCAAAUUAAUCAUGUAUUCUCCACUAUAAAUACCUAUAUGCAUCAAGCAAUGCAAUCACACCCAAAACCUUGUCUCCAGUUAUUCCCCAUUCAAGCAAGCAAAUUAAUCAUGUUACCUCCAGCAUUAGCUAUACCUGCGUUGCUCCUUCUGAUAUUACUUUUCAUUCUAUCAGUUGCCCUGCUUCUUAAUCCAAAAGAACAUAAAAAUGGUAGGAAAUAUCCACCAGGUCCCAAACCUCUGCCAAUUAUUGGCAACCUCCACCAGCUGGGUAAACUCCCUCACCGAUCCAUGCACGAACUUUCAAAAAAAUAUGGACCCGUCAUGUCCUUAAAGCUAGGAAAGGUCCCAACCAUUGUGAUUUCAUCCCUUGAAACAGCAGAGCUAGUCCUCAAGACCCAUGACAUUGUUUUUGCUAGCAGGCCUAUAACUCAAGCAUCCAAAUACAUUUGUUAUGACAGUAAAGGCAUAAUUUUCACUGAGUAUAAUUCCACUCACUACACCAGAAAAGGGCUUUUACAGCGCCCCUUUUACAGCGGUUUAGGUGGCAGCCGCUGUAACAACACAAACACGGAGCGGUUGAUGGGCUAUUACAGCGUUUUAUUAAACUAACCGCUGUAAAAGCAUUACCUUUUAACAGCGGUUCUCUUAGAAGGCGCUGUAAACACAAAAACACGGAGCGGUAAUAGGCUUUUAUAGCGGUUUAUAUACUGACCGCUGUAAAAAAUAGGUUCCAAUAUUUACAGCGUUUAUUAAACUAACCGCUGUAAAAGUAACGUAAAUAAUAAAAAUCAAGAAUUCAGGUUCCGUGGAUCGAACCCAGGUUCCCUUAAUAAAACGCAGGCUUAAUUGCAGUUUUGCUCCUUUAUCUUUCACCUAUGUGUGAUUUGACUCCUUCAUGUUUAAAACGAGCACAUUUACUCCCUUGUCUUUCAAUUUGUGAAAAUUAACUCCUUCCAUUAGUGAGUUUUUUUAAAAUUGACGGAAUUGACUGACGUGAUGUUCAUUAAAGGACAUGAUUCUGUUAAAAUUGAGCAUUUGGAUGUCAUUUCACUAAAUAAAUAAAAAAAUAAUUAAAUAAGUAAAAAAAUAAUUAAAUAAAACUGAAAUAUUAAUCCCUAAUUAAAUAUGAGUGAAUUUAGUUUUUUUAAUUUAUUUGUGUCAUUUUUAUUUUGUUUAUUUACUUAUGUGUCAUUUUGGGAGGUAAGUUACGUCAUCCUUGAUCGUGGAACAAGCAAAUUCCGCCUGAAAUUAGACGGCAAAUUGACAAAGGGAGCCAAUUUUCACAAAUUAGAAUUUUAGGGACCAAAAUCGCUCAUUUUAAAUAUGAGGGAGCAAAAUCACACAUAGGUGAAAGAUAAGGGAGCAAAACUGCAAUUAAGCCUAAAACGCAAUAGUCUUUCCACUAGGCUAGAUUCACUUUAUGGUAGAUAUGUACAAUUUAUAGUAUUAAUAUAAGAUUUAGUUGAUUUCUUUAAUAAUUGGUUCAAAAAAUGUUCUGUGUGGGAUUCGAACCCGAGGCACCACAGAAAAUAUAAUGAGUCCUUUCCACUGGGCUGUUACACGUUUUUUAUUAGUUUGUUCGUUUUGUAUAUAUAAGUAUUAUUUUCUUUAUUGAUUUUGUAAAAUUACAUCUGUAACUGCAAACCCUUAUUUUUUACCAGUUACAUCUUUCACCAAUCUGCUACCUCACGACGUAAUCUCGACCUGCUACUUCUCUCAAAGCCCUCGCCACCUCCUGCCUCCGCCGUCCUUGCCGUCGCCGCCUCCAUCCCUUCCGCCGCCGCCGCCGCCUCUGCCUCCGUCCCUGCUGCGCCGCUGCCUCUCUUGUUUUGGGUCGCUUCCUGCACGGUUGUUGCCCUGUUCUCAUUAUCAUCCUUUCGAGACUGUAGCUUUGAAGAGCGUUGCUUCCACCGUGUAAAUCAUGAUGUGGAGACUCCAGGUAGCUUCCAUUGCUCAAUGUUCAUUAUUGUUCUAACUCUUGAUCUUGCUCUUUGUUCAUCAUCGCUCCUAUUCUCGAUCGUGCUCUCUUUGCUGUUUGAUCUUGGAUUUAAUGCUCUAACUCAAUGGAUCUCAUAGGCUCUAACUCAAUGGCUCUAUUCGCUAUCAAAAAUCCCUCUUAUGCAGUAUUUCUCGCUCAAUUUCAUCAAUCUAGGUCUUCUCAAGAUCUGAUGCCUUAGUUCAAUAGAUAGUUUAGUCGAAGCUUGUUGUGUUUUAGAUUAAUGUUAGGGUUGUUUUUUUUUUUUUUUGCUAGAUUGACAUUUCAAUUAACAUUGCUUUGUUACUUUCAUCGAGGUGAACAAUGUAUGGUUAGAGGGAACACCCAUCAGUUCCCCUUUCAGCGCUCUGGAAGAGCGAAUUGGCGAAUGAGAAAACUAAGAACCGGAGAUGGUAGAGGCUAGCGAGAACAAGAAAGGAGAGGAUCUCAUGCUACUAAAAAUCGAAUGCCAAAGGGUGGUGGGAGAUGGAGUGUGUACAUACUCUGUUUUUUUAGUAUGUUUCUUUCUUGCGCCAUCACCUCCUGCUUUUCUUUUACUCAGAUUUGAUAGAUUGUGAUUUUGAUGCAUCAAAAAGUCAAUUUUUGUGUGAUGUCUUAUUUUCUAAUACUAGCAUGGCAAGAUGAUAAAGAAAAGUAAAUGAUUGAGUGAAAAUGUUAUGCUAUGCUGCUUGAUGCUGAGUUGCUUUAUAUUUGUCUCACCUUUGUUAUUCAGUUUGAAUUUUUAAAUAUUCUGAACUGUUGAUGCUACACAUGUAUGCAGAGGAUCAGGAGGUAUUCGCCGACUGAAAUUGAAGGCAUACACAAGUAUUUUUAUAACUUCGUAUAUUAAGAGAACAUAUUGAGUACCCUCUCUGGAAGCUAAAUAUUUGCAUGUGCUUGACAAUUUUUUCAGGAAUAUAUACGAGAUGGCAUUGACUGGGCUAAAGUUGAAUUAUACCUGUACCCUUCCUUGGAUGCUGUCAUUUCGGUUCAAACUGAUUUACGGAAGGCACACUUCCAUUAGCAAUGGAUUCACUCUUCUCCUUAUCUCUCUAUGUGGAUAAUGAUGUCUUAUGCUUGAUUGUGUUGUGUUUAUUAGGGUUUCAUUUCGAUUACAUUUCAAAUUUGUUGUUUUGUAUUUGAUUUAGGUUUGAAAUUGAUAUCGUUAACUUAUAAUUUUUAUUUCAGAUCUUUCUCUCUUUGAAUGCUGCAAUUUAAGAUUUGGAUUUGUGGGAGAUGGUGAUUCCGGUGUUGUGUUGCAGGUUUUGGAUGCAUGUGUCGAUCAUAAGAUGCGUUCAGUCUCUCAUACAAUACUUUCUUGAUUCUUCACUCUACUCCACCCUCACAACAUCGAUUCUCAGAAUUGAAGGGAAUAUGAAGAACACCUCUGUCCAAGCAUAGUUGACUAUGCUACAGUCCCCGGAAAAGAAGCAGGUACCACCAGUAUAAAUAAUAAUGCUAGGAAAUCAUCUUGCUCCUGUUCAGGUUUCUAUUUGUCUAUUUGUGUAUUAUUCCUAAUCUAAAGAAAUUAAAGCUAGGAAAUUCCAGAUAAAUUUUGUUAUAGAUGCAUGUGUCUCUUAGUUGGAUAGUGAGUCUAAAUUUUAGAUGUUAAUGUCCUAUAAUGAUAAUUCCUAUGAUUUCCAUCUCAGCUUACAUCGUCUUGUGACUUAAAUCAUAAACAGGUAUUGAUUUUGCAGCAAUAUAUUUUGCAGCAAUCAUAAAUCUGCAGUUGAUGUCUCAUGUUUAAGGUUUGCAUUGUUAUAAUCCAAACUCCACUGAGAAAAACUUUGAGAAAGUUGUUGUAUAACUGAUUUUGUUCUGAGGGAAAUUCCCUCAUCCGGUGGCAAACUGAGGAGAUGUUUUAGAAUAUCUUUCAUCUUUCCAGAACGUCCCGGGUGCAAUAAAAGAGAGAAUUUUUUCGAGACAAAGUCUCGGAGAGUCUGCAAUGCUUUCUGGGUUUCUUCAAUUUUGUAAAUGCAACCUAUGGGUAGCAACUAAAAAUAGAGAUUCAAAUGUGAGAGCACAGGAGCAUAUAAGCCUAUUAAGUGGUUGUAUUGUUGUUAAAACUCUGGAAUGAAACUUGAAUAAGAGUUAUUGUAUGUUUAAUGAAGCUGUGAAUGGAUUUGCAGAUGAUGGCUGGUCCAUGUUAGAGAGUGAUGGCAUUGAUGAUGUCACCCUUCUUGUGAAUUCAUCACCGAGCAAGAUGAUGGGUGCAAAUCUUGGAUAUAACAAUGGAUUCCCAUCCAUGACCAGUUCUGUGCUAUGUGCCAAAGCAUCCAUGUUGUUACAGGUAUAAUUCUUUAAUACUCCAUAAUGUGGACUAAUGCUAUUGCUUAUUGCUCAGCUCUUAGGAAUUGCUUUUACUUUCUAUUGUUUUCAAGCAAUUGAUUUCCAUGUAUUUAGUUGUCUCAUGCUCUUUUUCUGUCUUUGUAGAAUGUCCCUCCAGCUAUUCUUCUUAGAUUCUUGCGGGAGCACCGAUCAGAAUGGGCAGAUAGCAGUAUUGAUGCUUACUCAGCUGCUGCCAUUAAAGCUGGCCCCUGUAGCUUGCCAGGGGCCAGAGGAAGUUUUGGGGGUCAGGUUAUUCUUCCACUAGCUCACACAAUUGAGAAUGAAGAGGCAAGUUGUUUUCUCCUAAUUUUAUAAUCUAGUACAUAUUUACUAUUUAGAAAUUACCAUUUAAUCUUCCAACAUAAAAUUGAAUACAUGUUAACUUGGCUUGUGGAUUAUAUUAACUUUUUUGUGUUUCUCUUCCGGCAUAUUACAUACUAACUGACACUUUAUCUCUAAAAUAGUUCAUGGAGGUUAUUAAGCUUGAAAACAUGGGCUACUAUCGGGACGACAUGACUAUGCCUGGUGAUGUUUUCCUCUUGCAAGUAAGUACUGCUCCAUGAUGCCAUUCUUUUCAACAUAUCUAUGUCCAUACCUUACAGCAUCAUGGAAAAAUUCAUAAAAUUUUAAUUGAGGGAAUGCCUUCAAUUAAAAUCCAUUAAUAUUCUGUUGGUUAAUUUUUCUCAUUCGCUAACUAAUCGUCCCUGGCUUCUAGAGUUUGCAAAGGAUAAGAUGCAUCAAAUAUCAUGAAUGGAUUUGCAUGUAGUUAUAGGAAUAGUCAGGAAUUAAGGAUCUAUAUGAAGUUUGAUUUUAAUUGAAUAGCUAUAACACUUGCGCCUGCAUAUAGUUCAGAAGGUUUAAUCCAAUAUCAAGUUUAUAGCUAACAGUGUUUGUUGCUGCACCUGUCAUCAGCUUUGCAGUGGAGUGGAUGAGCAUGCAGUUGGCACCAGUGCAGAACUAGUUUUUGCUCCAAUAGAUGCGUCUUUCUCUGAUGAUGCACCCAUUUUACCUUCCGGUUUUCGUAUUGUACCUCUUGAUUCUGGCACGGCAAGUCUUUAGCUUGACACAUGAUUUGAUUGUGUUGUUUUUGAAAUUUGCUUGCUUGCUUUAAUUUUCCCUUUUUCUUUAAGUUAGGAUUCUGAUUUCUGUCUUAUAUAAGAUGCAGGAUGCUGCUAGUCCAAACCGGACACUUGAUCUUGCCUCAUCACUUGAGGUUGGAACCACAGCAAACAAAGCUGCUGGUGCCAAAUACAGACAAAAAAAAAAAAAACAAAUUACAGCGGUUCCGUGGUGGAACCGCUGUAAUAUAUAUUAUCAAAUACAGCGGUUACCGGCUGAAACCGCUGUAAAAGAAGACUCAAUUACAGCGGUUAUUCUAGAGAACAGCUGUUGUAGGUCUGUAUUUACAGCGGUUUUAUUAAAUCAACCGCUGUAAAUAAUGCAUCUUUUACAGCGGUUAGAACCGCUGUUAAGGCUUUUACAGCGGCGAGAUCUACAGCGGUUCUGGACCGCUGAAAACCGCUGUAAAAGGCAAAAAAAAAACCGCUGUAAAAGCCAUUUUUUGGUGUAGUGACUACAAAAAAACCUGUUUUUAGUGGCACUAUAUUUGUGGCAUUUAUAAAAGAAUGCCCCAAAGUGAUAUUAAUCUGGCAUUUAAGUAGAAUGCCACAAAUUUGAGAACGCAACCCUAGCUAAUUAGUAGCUAUUUGGCAGCAAAUUACUUGUGGCAUUUAUUUAGAAUGCCACUAAUUUAGGAUCAGAUUCGCAGCUAAUUAGUAGCUAUUUGGAAGCAAUUUUUUAAAGUGAUGAUAUCAAUCUUUUUUUUGAACGUGAUGAUAUCAAUCUAUUAUUUAUAAAAUUGAUAUUGUUAGAAUAUAUAUAACAAACCUCACUGUUAGAAUAUAUAUAUUUUUGAAAGACCGUUAGAAUAUAUAUAUAUAUAUAUAGAUAAUUUAACAUUCAAGGUUUCUUUUUUUUCAUUUUAAAAAAAUGGUUUCUUUUUUUAAUUUCAAAAAAAAGGUUACUCUUUCUUAAAAAAUAUCUUGCUCGAAAAUCACUCAUUCAACAAAAGUGAACAAUAUAUCUAUAGCUAAGUUGAAAAUCACCCACUGAACAAUCAUCGAACACACGCAUUCAUCUCUCACUCGCACAAACUCUGCAACUCUGCACCGAUCGAAAUUUCAGCGUCGCGCAUCAUCGCCGCGCAUCACCGCCGCGCAUCGGUUGUCUUCACCACCGUGACAGAGCUUCCGGAACACCACAACCCUCGCCUCACUCUCUUACUGGUUAUCUUUCUCACUCAUCUAUAUCUCUAGGGUUUUUCUGUUUGCUUAGAUUCCAAUGUGUGUGCGUCUUCUCCUCUAUAAUUUUCCGAUUCUGAAUUCCGAGUAUUCCAAUUUUGAAUUUUGAGUUUUCCAUUGUGCGAAAAUGCAGAAUCGAAGAACGACAAGGAAGAAGAAGGGAAUGGAAUUGAGUUGAUUGUGUGUGAGAACCGAACAUGACAUCGUUUGUUGCUCACUGAAGUAGGUAAAAUCAAACCAAACCAAACCUUCUUGACCUUAAUUUCAUGCUUUAAUCUCUCACUCGAUGUGUUUGCUUUCAUUUCUAUGCAUCGCUACUUGAUUGUUGAGGAAAUCGUGUAAAACAAGUGAGUCUAUGUGCGUUUGCGUUUGCGUUUGUGCCAGCGCAUGCAUGCCAGGUGUUUGAUGAAAUUAUUGCUUCAUAUGUAUCCCUGUUUUUUAUUGUUGAGAGUGUCAGAGAUCUGUUUCAUGAGUCUAAUUCUUGUAUCAUGAGAUCAUGUUCUGUUUUAAGGUGAUUUUGGUACUAUCUUGUAUAUACUUUUCAUUACAUUGCUGAAUUAUGCUACUGAGGAUUGGCCUGCUGAAACAUGUACUCUUAAUCCUAAUCCUACUCUAACCAUCAGAUUGGUCCAAGUAGGAUUAGGCCAUUAGUUUCCCUGGUGAAAACAUUUACAAGUUUGAGUAAUUUUAUGUUACAACUUCCCCUAUUUGUUUUUUCUUUCUAGAAUUGAGUCACUAAACCCUGCACAUUAGAACGAAUGCUGAUGGUUAGUACUGUCAAUUUAUUAAAAGGCAAUGGCUAUUACAAUUUGCUGAACAGGGCAAUUAAAUUGCUCACUUCAAUUUGUUGAAAAACAGAAAAAAGUUGUUCUAUAUCCAUUUAGACUUAGUUACAAUUUUAAUCCUUUCUUGCCCUGAUUUUCUUGUCUCAUUGUCUAUAUCCAUGUAAUCUGUAGCUAUUGUUAGUUUGGGUCUGUAUCUUGCCUCUGUAUCAUGCAUAAAAUCAAGUGAUCUAAAGCUAAAUUGAACUGCUCUCUCUUCUCGCUCCAGCAUGUUUUUUUUUAAUUACUUUUGCUGGAUAUAGUAAGUAAUUCUCUCUCUUCAUUGCUCUCAUUUCCUAUGCAGAUUCUGGUCUGGAACGAACUGCUUUCUUUCUUUCUCCUUCGUAAGGAUCUCUCUCGGGUUCACAAGGUACCCUCUCUCCCCUACUUGCUUUCGGUUUCAACUUAGUUACACGAUCACCAAAAUGGAUAAAUCAUGGAUUGAUAUGCCGCGAAACACAGUUGAAUAUCUUGAGGGGUUAGAUAAGUUUCUAAACUUUGCGUUUGAGAAGCGGUCAGUUGAUGGUGUAAUAAGAUGUCCAUGUCCUAUAUGUUGCUGUAAUAAAUGGGAAAGUAGAGAUGUAGUGCGUGACCAUUUGAUUUGCAAGCAGUUUCCAAAAAAUUAUAAGGUUUGGAUAUGGCAUGGUGAAACAUAUGAAAGUAUGACAUCAAGGGACACUGAAGUAAUAUCGGAGCCACUGCAAAAUGAAAAUCCAGUACUAGACAUGAUUAAUGAUUAAGUGCGGAGGGCCAGUACAUUAUCGUUGGAUGUAUCCAAUUGAGAGGUUAUUUCUUUUUAAUGCAUUAAACUCAUUUAUUAUUUUAUAUAAUUAUUAAAUAUGUAAUAUAUUAUUUUAAUACCUUUUUGUGAUCAUAGGUUUUUAGGACAUUUGAAGUCCUUUGUACGAAAUAAGGCGCAACCGGAAGGUUCCAUAAGUGAAGUUUACUUAGCUGAAGAGACACUCAAUGUGUAUUCACGAUAUGAAGGUGUUGAAUCGAGGAUGAAUAGGAGUCGCCGUGUUGAUGAUAAUCCAAAUAAUAAUGAAACUUCUCAAAUGUCCUCCAUUUAUCCUCAAUUAGGUAGACCAGUGGGGAGUUCAUCAACUUUCACUUUGGGGCCUUUAGAAAAAAUACAAGCGCAUCGAUUUUUGCUGCUGAAUUGUCCAAGAGUCAAGCCAUAUGUUGAGUAAGUAUUCUGAGGCAGUUCAUGUGAUUAUGAGAGUAAGAAUAUAUUCGUGCAUUAUUAACAUAAAACUUUUUUUUGUAGUGAAUUUAGAGCAUUCAUUAGGAAGAGGAGUAGAAAUCGAAGACCUUCAGCUACAGACAUAGAGAAGAUAGUUGCUAAAGAUUUUGCAAAUUGGUUUCCUCAACGGGUGAUGAAUCCAGACACUACAAACUCAAUUCCAGAUGAAAUCAAGUUUCUAGCCAGAGGUCCAAUGUCGUGUGCAAAAAGAUAUAGUGCAUAUAACAUCAAUGGGUUCAAGUUUAGAACGGUAGAUAGAGAAGAGGGUCUACAAACUCAAAACAGUGGAGUUUUUUUGACUUCAAACACACCAUGUGUUGCAAGUAGUGCUGAUGCAAAUUUAAGGCGAGCGGAUUUGCCAUACUAUGGUAAACUUGAAGAUAUAAUUGAGCUCAACUAUUAUGGUUAUUUCCAAGUUGUCCUUUUCAAGUGUAAAUGGGCAGAUACCACACGCGAUAGAGGGUUUAGAAAGGAUGCUUGGAAAUUCUCUUCAGUGAACUUUUCUCGAUGUAUUCACACUGGUGAUAGGGAAGAGCAUGAUCCAUAUAUCGAAGCUUCACAAGCACAAUUAGUGUAUUAUGUGGAUGAUGAGGUCAAUAAAGGUUGGAGUGUUGUGGUGCAUAUGAUGCCAAGGGAUUUGUAUGACAUGGGAGAAAUUAUGGAUGAUAUUGAAAGUGAGGCAUACCAAGAGCAAGACUUAAGCAAUUUAUUGUCAAAUGAAGAUGACACAAUAACAUUGGCUAGAGAUGAUGUAGAUGGUGAAUUCAUAUAUGGAAAUGCAGAGAUGAAUGAGUAGAAAAAAAUAAAAAGGGAAUAUCUUUGGGUAGUAUGACACAUGUUUUUAAGUUCAUUUAACUUAUGAUUAUUAUUUUAUACAUGUUGCCAUAUGGGCAAGCAGCAGUACUUCUUUCUAAAGCUUGUGGAUGCAUUGCUAGAGACCCUGAUCAUGUUCCUAUCAAUUUUGAAAGUUGGAAAGCAGUACUUGAUGAUUACAAAAAGGAGUGCUUUAAAAUUUUGAAGGUACGCAAAUUAUAUUGUCAAAUGUGUACUUUUAUGUUCUAUUUUUCUGGUUUCUGUUCUGUUUCUGUUUCCUGUCUAUGUACUGCUGGGAUGUUGCAUUUUACACUUGGUAUCAGAGCCUGAUGGGGAAGUAGGAACAUGCUAAAUAUGUUAGAUAUAAGUUAUUUCUCUGUUCUGUUCUUAUAUAAUUAAGCACUAUGGUCGGGAACUGGACUGGUAGUACACUUUGAACUAAACUAAAAUGAAAGCUCUUCUGAAAACCUUCUAGGAUUAUUACUAUUCAGACUUAUGAUCAUCUCUGCAGCGGAGGCGUUGAAGGCAGUAAGUCCCUGUGUGGCAGUAAGUCUAUAUUGGCCAUACUACAGACAUGUUAUUAAGUUCUGAAUAUUUUUAAUGUCCUUGUUUAGUUUCUUUUUGUGGUGGCUUAAGUCUGAUCCAGAUCUAUACUGCUCAACUAUUAAGAACAACGCAGAACCUAACUUAUAUUUCUAAUUUAUUUAUCUGUUUCUAUAGAACCAGGUGAUGGCGAUGAUACUUACGGGUAAGGAAGGUCUGUCUUCUAUGAUGCUUCGCUCUUUCUCUUCUAAGCUUUCUUUCAGAUCUUCCCAACCCUCUUCUUCUUCUAUCGAUCAUCCUCAUCAAUCCAAUCAAUUAUCCAAAUCUGUCUUCAAAGAAGAAAUUCAUUUUGAAGAUAUCAAUCAAGAUCUCGACAACUGGGAAAUCCCUAAAAUCUCUCAUGCUGAGAUCUACAAACCAAACGGAUCCUUUUUCAAACGAUCAGACUUCAUCAUCAAAACCGUUGAGCAAACCUACAAGCUCAGAUCUGAUAAUGAAGAAAUCCAUCUGCUUUCUGAGAAAAGCGUCAAAGAUCAUAUCAGCAAGAACUUCAACUAUCUUCACAUAGAUCUAACUGUCAGUCUGGAAGACAAAAACAUCCUUGACGUUCUCUUCCUAAAUAUCAAGCUUCACGGCCUUGAUAUGAAAGAAGAUUCCAUACCAAUCUCUUUGAUCUACAGGGUUCAAUACAAGGUAAUGAACUCUAUCAAAUCUUAUUUCUUGCGAACCAAUUGUGAGAAAUCCGGAGAAACAACUCUUUUCCUUACAGAUUAUGAUAAGGCAAACGUUAUUGUUCCCAAAACCAUCCAAUGGAGUGAUAUCACCCUUCCAGAGAAAUGGUCUUUGGAAAAGAAACCCUUUCUAACCUGCCACCUAAAACUCCUUUCCUUCUUAAAGGAGCUCAAUCUACACCUGUCCUAGCUUCUCCCUUCAAGACUAGAAAAGAAGAAGGGGAUGUCACUGGAAAAGACAUCAAAGACCUCAUGGAACAAUCCAAUUACACCAAUAAAUAUCUUCAAAUUCUUGGAGAAUCCCAAGUACAGGAUUCCUCUUCCAAGAAAGGAAAAGAAAAGGUCAAGAUUGAACCUUCCUCUUCUAAUCUUGAUAUCCCUAAAGGAUGUCAACUUGAGAAACCCCUUUUCAAACCUUUUCAAAUCAGUAGCCGUUCCAAACACUCGGCUCAAACUCUUCGAGCAAAAAAGGAAUCUGACAAUGAGCUCCUCCAAAAAGUGGUAGAGCAACUUCAGCUUCUCAAACAAGUUAUUCCUGAGACUCCGGAACCUCCUGAGACUCCGGAACCUACUCCGGAAGAAGUUUCUAAUCCCACUAUUACUGCUCUUCCUCCUCCAAAAACUCGUACUUCUACUCGUAAUACCUCUACUUCUUUAAAUAAUAUUGAAGAUGGUAAGGUUGAGUCUGAUUCUGAUAUUCAAUCUGACGUUCAAUCUAUCAAAAGUAUUCCUGUCAAUACUGUCAUUCACAAUUCUAAGAAUCAGUGGAGGAAAGAAACCAAGCUCUACUAUCCUAGAGCUACUGCUCCUGAUCUUCUUUUAGAAGAAUCUUCAAACUUCAAAAGCUUCAGUGCCAACAAUGUCUAUGAAUGGAACAUUGAUGGUGAAAAUGAGUAUGGUAUCACCAAAAUCCUCCAAAAUAUGACUAUGGUAGCCACUGCCUAUGUUACCGCCAACAAUUGUCCUGAAUCUCUUAUCGUUGAAGUCUUGGUUGCUGGUUUCUGUGGCCAGCUCAAAGGUUGGUGGGAUAAUUAUCUCACUCAAGACGAGAAGGAUCAGAUCUUGACUGCUGUCAAGACUGAUGAAGAAGGUAAUCCUAUCAUGGAAGAUGGAAAAUUCAUCUCUGAUGCCGUCAACUCCUUAAUCUUCACCAUAGCCCAACAUUUUGUUGGAGAUCCUUCCCUCAUCAAGGACAGAUCUGGUGAUCUUUUGUCCAAUCUUAAGUGCAAAUCUUUGGGUGAUUUCAGGUGGUAUAAAGAUACCUUCCUAACCAGAGUUUACACCCGUGAAGACAGCCAACAAGCCUUCUGGAAAGAGAAAUUCCUGGCUGGUCUUCCUAAAUCUUUUGGCGACAAAGUUCGUGAGAAACUUAGAAGCCAAAAUCCGGGGGGAGAAAUCCCAUAUCACACCCUUAGUUAUGGACAGCUCAUAGCUAUCAUUCAAAGAGUUGCUCUCAAAAUCUGUCAGGAUGACAAAAUCCAACAGCAACUCACUAAGGAGAAGUCUCAAAAUCGCAGGGAUUUGGGUACUUUCUGCGAACAAUUUGGAAUUCAAGGUUGUCCCAAGAAACCUAAACCCAGAAAGCAAGAUCCUCCUCCCAAACAACAAUGGAGAAAGAGAUCUAGCAGGAAUGAUCAUAGGAAACCCAAGCCUAGAUCAAAACCCCAAUCUUCGCAAAUUCCAAAGAAUCCUCCUGAGACUAGACCUUCUCAAGGAAAAGAUGUUACCUGCUACAACUGCGGCAAGCCGGGCCAUAUUAGCAGGUAUUGCAGACUCAAAAAGAGAAUCUCUGAGCUUCAUCUUGAACCUGAAAUUGAAGACAAGAUCAACAAUCUUCUCAUUCAAACUUCUGAUGAAGAAGAAUCUAAUCCUUCGGAUUCUGAGGUCUCUGAAGACCUAAAUCAAAUUCAGAAUGAUGAUUCUCAAUCAUCAUCUUCCGUCAAUACCUUGUCUAUCAAUACUUUGACCAAUGAACAAGAUCUUCUCUUCAGAGCUAUUAAUUCUAUCCCUGAUCCUGAGGAAAAGAAAAUCUAUUUGGAACGCCUCAGAUCUACUCUUGAAGAUAGGCCUCCCAAAAGUCCUAUAACCACCAAUAAAUUCAAUCUUAAAGAUACUUUCAAGCGUCUUGAGAAAUCUACGGUCAAGCACGUUACUAUUCAAGACCUUCAAUUUGAAGUCAAUUCCCUCAAGACUGAGGUCAAAAGUCUCAAGCAAAUCCAAAAAAGUCAGCAACUUAUUUUGGAGAAAUUGACUAAAAAUUAUGAAGAAGAUGAUUCUUCUAUACCUGAUUCCAAUCCUGCUCCUAACAACAAUUGCGAAGACUUUCUGGAGAAUAUUAACCAGGUCACCAUUCAGAAAUUCUUUAUCCAUGUUAAAAUCCUCAUUGGAGAUUUUGUUCUCGAAAUCCCUGCCCUCUUUGACACAGGGGCAGAUUCCAGUUGUAUCUCGGAGGGACUCAUUCCCACCAGAUAUUUUGAGAAAACAACUGAGAAGCUCAGCGCUGCUGAAGGAUCUAGACUAAAGAUCAAGUAUAAAAUCCCCUCAGCUAUCAUCAAAAAUGGUAGUCUUGAAAUCGAAACUCCAUUUCUGUUAGUCAGAAAUUUGAGUCAAAAAAUCAUUAUAGGGACCCCUUUCAUUAAGAAACUCUUCCCCUAUAAUACUGACGAAAACGGCAUCACUGUUCAGCAUCUUGGACAACCUAUCUUGUUCAAAUUCUCUGAACCUCCCAUAGAUAAGACUUUGAACGUCAUAUCCUACAAGGAGAAGCAGAUCAACUUCCUCAAGGAAGAAAUCUCUUACAGAACCAUUGAGGAACAAUUGCAACAACCUUCUGUUAAAUCAAGGAUUGAGGAUAUUUUGGAAAAUAUUCAAUCCAGCAUCUGUUCUGAUCUACCCAACGCUUUUUGGGAAAGGAAGAGCCAUAUGGUGGAACUUCCUUAUGAAAAAGAAUUUUCAGACAAACAGAUCCCAACCAAGGCUAGACCUAUUCAAAUGAAUGAAGAACUUCUUCAUUUCUGCCAAAAGGAAAUCAAUGAUCUCCUUGAAAAGAAACUUAUUCGCAGGAGUAAGAGCCCUUGGUCCUGUGCAGCCUUCUAUGUCAACAAACAAGCUGAGAUAGAACGAGGAACCCCUAGGCUGGUUAUUAACUACAAACCUCUCAAUCAAGCCCUUUGUUGGAUCAGAUAUCCUAUCCCCAACAAGAAAGAUCUCUUAGCCAGACUGCAUGAUGCUAAGGUCUUUUCAAAAUUCGACAUGAAAUCUGGCUUUUGGCAAAUCCAAUUGCAAGAGAAGGAUAGGUAUAAAACUGCUUUUACUGUUCCUUUUGGGCAGUAUGAGUGGAACGUUAUGCCUUUUGGGCUAAAGAACGCCCCUUCUGAAUUCCAAAGGAUUAUGAACGAAAUCUUCAAUCCUUAUUCCAAAUUCACUAUUGUCUACAUUGACGAUGUUCUAAUCUUUUCCCAAACUCUUGAUCAACAUUUCAAACAUCUCAAUACGUUCAUCUCUGUAAUCAAAAGGAAUGGCUUGGCUGUUUCCAAGACAAAAGUCAGUUUGUUCCAAACCAAAAUCCGAUUCCUUGGUCACAAUAUCCACCAAGGAACCAUCAUUCCGAUCAAUAGAGCCAUCGAGUUCACUGAUAAAUUCCCUGAUCAAAUCAUUGACAAAACCCAAUUACAGAGAUUCUUGGGUUGUCUCAAUUAUGUUGCGGAUUUCUGUCCUCAACUCAGUACCAUAAUCAAACCCCUUCAUGAAAGACUCAAGAAGGAUCCUCCACCUUGGUCCGAUAUUCAUACCAAUGUGGUCAAACAAAUCAAACUUCGUGUCAAGAAUCUCCCUUGUCUUUAUCUCCCUAAUCCUCAAGCUUUCAAAAUUAUUGAAAAUGAUGCCUCUGAUAUUGGUUUUGGUGGCAUUUUGAAACAAAAGGUUUCUGACAAAGAACAAAUUAUUGCUUUUACUUCAAAGCAUUGGAACCCUGCUCAGCAGAAUUAUUCUACUGUCAAAAAAGAAGUUUUAGCAAUCGUUUUGUCUAUUUCAAAAUUUCAAUCUGAUUUGAUCAAUCAAAAAUUCUUGGUUCGAGUGGACUGCAAAUCUGCCAAAGAGAUUUUACAAAAAGAUGUCAAAAACUUAGCUUCAAAACAUAUCUUCGCCAGAUGGCAAGCUAUUUUAAGUGUUUUUGACUUUGAAAUUGAAUAUAUAAAAGGAUCUUCAAAUUCUCUCCCUGAUUUCCUCACUCGUGAAUAUUUGCAGGGCAGAUCAUAAGAUGGCCUCCAAAGGCUCUUCCUCAUCCAGAGGAAGAGGCAGAGGUUCUCACAAGAACAAAGGUAUUACAAUUUAUGACUUAAUCCUCUCUGGGCCCACUGCCCAUCAAUCUGGACCCACUGUCCAAAAUCAAAAAUCUGAGCCCACUGCUCAAAAUCAAUCUCCCCAACCAAAACAAACCAAAGCAGAUUAUGCUUUAUCAAUUCCAACUCUCCUUGCCCUCAAACAAGCAGGCCUGGAUAAUGUUCCUCAGGGACUCAUCAAUUUACCCAAAAAAUCCUGGGCUAGCAUGACAGAAGAAGAUGAUGACCUUCAAUCUCUCCAAGCCAUCAUUGAUAAAACCAAAACCUUAGCAACUCAUUGCGGGAAAAAACCCGUUGUUGCUCAACCCAGUCAACCCAACCAAAAUACCGGUUAUCUAGCCAAAAUAAACUCCAAAUUCCAAACUUUUAUUGAACCAGAAUGGUGGGAUAGCUCUGGAGGAGUCGACCUUGCCAACAAAAUUGGCAUUAAACUCUUCCCAAAUCACCUUGAUCCCAUUCACCCAAACAAAUCCCAAAUUUUCUAUGAGUUUAUCCUUAUAGAUACAAACAGUGUAGAAAUCAAACACUUUAGGGAUAAAUCUGAUAACUCCCUUAUCACUCAUUCUACACUCCAAAUUCUCCGUGUCCUUCGUCCCACUGACUUUGGACCUAAUCCAAAUGGUUACAAAAAAUUCUCUCAGAACUUUGACCCUGUAGGUUUCAACUAUUGGGACUAUAUGAAAGCUUGGGAGAAUACAAUCCUUGGUCUACAAAAUCAGAAUUUCAAACACUCUUGGCUCAUUUAUUUUAAAUGGUCCAACAAAUAUUCUUUUCCAAAUUGGUUUCACUCUUGGUGGGAUUUCUUUGGACCUACUACGGAAAUCUUUCCCUCUGAAGUUCUUGAGGGUUACAAUCAUUUUUUAAAGCAUUGGAAUAAAGAUUUAAACAAUUAUCCUGAUUGUUUGAAUUUUUACACAAUCUUUUCCCUUUCUUGGGUAUUUGCCUGGCGUUAUGGUCUCAAGACAAAAGCCCAACCAAUUCUCCACAAACAACCCUUAAUCAAAUGGUGGAAGGUCUUUGAUGCUUCCAAAGCUCAUAAGGAGAAUGUCAAUCAGUGGUUUAAGUCUAACCAAAGGUGCCUUAAGCAUGCCAAUCCGCAAUCUAGUCUCUUGCUCAAUCAAAAGGCCCACAUCACAGCGGCCCUUGCAGGAGCUUCAACAGAAGAAGACUUGCUGAAGAAUCUCCAAACAGCUCUGCAAUUAUUGAAAGAAAAGGAGCCAAAGGAGCAGGCCUCAUCCUCAAAGGCCCCUCAGCAGAAAACUUCCUCACAAUCUUCUUUCGGGUCAGAUCUUGUCCCGGAAACACUGGAAUCAAGUGAAGAUGACCUCUGCUAAAGCUUUGUCGUCUUUUUUCAUUAUGUUUUGUAAUAAUUCAAUCUCAAUUAUUGUAUUCCACUGUAGCAACAGUAGAACUUUUUACUGUAGCAAAUAGUGCCCGUCAAAUAGUACCGUCUACCGGAACUAUUCAACCGGAACUAUUCAAACAGUGACCAAAUUUUUCUUUAAAUAGGCAUCUUCUGAGCUUUGUUAGGCAGAGUUUGGCAUAGCCUAGAUAGAGAGUUAUAGAGAGAGAAAACACUGAGAGUCCUUCUGUAAGUUCUCUUUCAGUUUUCCUUUCUUCAAUCUUUUCAGUUGUUCAGUUUUUAUAUUUCAGUUUUUGUAACCUAUGUUUAUGUAAUAUAUUUCCUCCAGUUUUAUUUUUUUGUUUAUGGAAGGCUGAGCCUCCUGUUUUAAUUCCUGUCUUUUAAUUUCUGCAAUUUAAAUUUCUGCUACUAGAAGCCCCUCCGUGGUGGCGUCCUACUUCUCUUCUUAAUCCUCAUCUCAUCCCCCUCCUUCUGUAUAUAUAUAUAUAUAUAUAUAUAUAUAUAUAUAUAUAUAUAUAUAUAUAUAUAUUUGGUAUUUCUAAAAACAAAUUAUUGAGUAUUGAAUUGUCUUUUAACCUUAACACUAACAAUUAUCUUUUUUGUUGAAGAAUCUUUUUCAUUUUCAGGCACCGGAGUUAAUUGCUAAGCGUUAUUGCUUUCUUACCAUGGGGAAAAAGUAUAGUGUAAAUUCAGGUUCCCUCUGACACGAUUGUCCUGCACGAUGCUGGGACAAGAGGUUCGACAACUGCUUAACAGUGAAACAAAACUUAACAACAGAAACAAUAACACACAGUAAUUGUUAACCCAGUUCAGUGAAAACUUUCACCUACGUCUGGAGGGUUUGCACCCAAAGAAAGGAAAUCCACUAUCUCAAGAUUCAGGAAUUACAGACACUCAUGAACACCUCAGUUCAUAGUUCACUUCCUAAUCUACCCAGUGUAUUUCUACUUAGAAUCUCAACCUAAGUAUGAGAGCCCCUCUCACUUCCUCUCAAUCACUGCCACAGUGAUUGGUAAACACAAUGAACAAUCAGAGUUUGAAUGUAAUCAAACAACACAGAACCCUUCUUUGCUUUAUAGAAUCAGUGAGCAAAGAGGAUUCACAAAUAACAAGAACGAAGCACAAUAACAAAUCCUAAAACACUCGAUCUCUCUCUAUCAGCUUCGGUCAUCUUCACGUUUUAGGUCUUCAUCCUUUUAUAGACUUCAGCAGCGGUAGCAUGGGCUUUAGGGUUGGCACGGGCUGAAGAAACAGAUAUCAGUAACAGCAAUUCAAAAACACAAUCUUGAUAGAUUCGGUUUCUUAUUGCACAAGUAACGAUAGAAACCAAUCUUUUAGCAAAGAUUGUUUCAACAAAUAACAACCCCACAAUUAAAACCCUUCUGGAUAGCUACUUGCUCCUCAAGUAACUCAAAAACAUAUCUUCAGUAAAUCUUCAGAGGGCCCACAAUAUAAACACAAGCUGAGGACUGAUGUCCUAGCCUCACGAGGUCAGAUGCCACGGCAUCUGCUUCGACAAUUAGUUGUUUUGACAAAAUGCAAGGCAACAUGUUCCAACAAUCUCCCCCUUUGUCAAAUUUUGUCUAAAACAACUCACAAUCAGAGAGGAUAAAAACAAGAGAAAUAACUCUCCCCCUUAGUCAGAGCUCCCCCUCAAACAGAUGCAUCUACACAACCAACUACCAUACUUCAGAAGGCAUAGUCGGAACAAACACAUUUUAACAUCGCAAACACACAACCAGAGGUACAAUCAACCUUAGCACAUGAUGUCUUCAAAAUGGGUCAGCUUGGACAUCAUCAUAUCAAAAAUACUACCAUCAGAAGCUGGCAGCACAUACCCAGAAGUACAGCUAACAGAAAUACUGCUCAUCAGAAGCACCGUCAGAAAUACAACUCAUCAGAAGUAACAUUUCAGAAAACAAACAUAGCCAUCGUCUUGAACUUGUCUUCAGACCAGAGCUAACACUAUCAGAACACACGUAGCACAGUAGAAACAGAAGCAACUUCACCUAACUUCUGAGAACAUGAACAUCUGAACCACAACAAACUUCUGAUCUGCGAACAUCUGAACAAAAACAACUUCUGAACCACUAACUUCUGAACAGAAACAUCUGAAAAAAAACUCUUCACUAACUUCUGAAACCUCAAAACAGCUGAAACAUAGAUCUUCACUUAAACAUCUGAUCAUAAAACACAUGCAUACUACUCCCCCUUUUUAGCACAAAUUUGCAAAGGGUGCACGAAUACAGCAGAAACAAAACACACUAGUCUUCAGAACUGGAGUCCUUUCCAGAUCCUUCUGCAUUUUCCUCUGCACACUCUUCAGAUCCUUCCUCCUCUUCAUUACUCACAUUCGGAGCAGCAGCACGUUGCUCACCAUCUUGACGUUCUUCUUCUUGUAGCUUGAGUAGCAACGCAUCAACUUUGAGCUUCCUGGCAGUGCUCACCCUGAUUGUCUCCUGCAAAGCCUUGGAAACUUCCAGUAAUUCAGCUAUGAUGGCCUUAGCGUCAGAUUCAGUCACAGGAGGAGCAGAUGUUCUGCUGGUUGGUAAGGCAAUGUCUAGAACAUGUGGCUCCAUAAACAAACGGUGAUCCAAAGUGAUUGGAACUCCACGAGACAUAGCCACAUCAUCUGCCCUCAGAAUCUGAGGAUGUUGCUUUAAGAUUAUCUCAGUAAGAAGUGAAGGAAAUGAAACAGGCAGCUUCACAGCACAAGUAUCAGCAUGCUUCAAUGUCUGCUCAAACACAAAAGUUCCAAAGUCAAAAGCCAUAGACUUGCCAAUCCUAUAGAUCAAUUUGGCAAGCGUUGCAGAAACACCAGAAGUAUGUUGAGUAGGAACCCAAUUCACAGCACCAAUCCGGUUAAGAAUAGCAUACUUCACACUCAGAUUUCCAGGAGACAACAACUUCUUGCUGGGCCACUUCUUCACAUGACCGGCAGUAAGCUCCUUGGCAACAUCAUCCAUGGACACUUCUUCAUCAACAAAUUCAAUAGCACUUCUUCCAUGUGCUUGAUUGAUCACAGCAGGUGAAAACAAUACACAUUCAGCCCGUACAUAGACUUUUCUGAACUCUGCACUAUCAGGAAGUCCCACAUCAACAGAGAGAUUCACCAGGAACUCUCUCACAAGCUUCUCAUAGCACCUUCCAACAUUCUGAAUAGUCUUCAUCAGACCUGCUUUCUCAAUAAGUGCAAUAACAUCUCUGCAUUCAAGAACAUCAGAACCAACAUCCCUUUCCUUGGCCAUUCUCCUCUUGCAAACAAACUUCCACUUCUGAACAUUCUCUUCUAAGUGGAAAGACACUCUAUCAAUAGGGACAGCAGGAACAUUCUGAGGAACACGCUUACCAGAAAACUUCUUUGUAUCAGAAGAUCGAAUGUCCUGAACACCGACUUCAACAUCUGACUCAGAGUCUUCAACUUCAACUGGAAUCUUCCUCUGCUUGUUCUCAGUGGGAGCCUUUGCGUCCUUUUGCUUCCCCUUACUCUUCACACUGACAUGUCUAGAUUUCUUUGAUGGAGUAGGUGUGAUUUCAGGAGAAGAAAUCCUUCUUUUCUUCUUCAUUCUCGCAGCAACACUAUCAGCAAAAGUCUCAGUCAGAGGAACAUCAUCAGAAGCAUCAUCAGAGAUGUUCUGAACAGAGGCUGGAUCAGCAUCCUUCGAAGAGGAUGAAACAGAGAUAUUAGGCGUGGUAGCAUCGCCUGAAUUUUCAUGAGAAGUGGAAUCCUUUCCAGGAGUUUCUUGAGCAGAACUUUCCUUAGACCCAGUUGCCUCAACAUCAGCCACAACAUCAGGCACAACUUCAGGAGGCGAUUUCACUGGAGAAUCUUCAUCAUUGAUUUCUUCUUCGUCAGGAACAUCCUCAAGGAUAGAAACAUUUGGGGCUUUGCUGUUCUUGACCUGUGAUUUGUAGACCUUACAUGUUGGGUUUCUUGAUCGCAUCUUCUUGGAGGCUUUCUUGGACACAAAAGACGGUUGAGAAGGAUCACUCUUCAAACCCAUACACUUGACUCCUUUAGCAGUUCCUUCAAUCUUGGCCUUGACAGAUUCCUUCUUUCCUGAACUUUGAGACAUGACGAAUCGAGAGGAAAUACAAACAAAGUUCAGAACAAUGAAACAAAUUUGCAAAUGAGAGAUGAUGAGUCUUGAAGAAGAUAGAUGCACAAGCGGUUGAGAGAACACAAUAUGCCCGUUGGAGGUAGUUAUAGGAUAUGUGAACCAUGAAGUAACUUUCUCUCUGCUGAUGUCACAACGGCUGUUAAUGAUGACCAAGAAUAAACUAGCCGUUGACACACUAGGGCACGCUAAUUGCUAUGCAUCAGAAAGACAAAUCCCUAUACUUCCUCUUAAUUUUUCAAAAGUGAUAGCAUCAAGGGGUUUUGUGAAAAUAUCAGCCAACUGCUUGUCAGUUGUCACAUGAUCCAAAUUAACAAUUUUCUCCUCCACCAAGUCUCUAAUAAAAUGAUGUCUAAUGUCAAUAUGCUUGGUCCUGCUAUGCUGUAUAGGAUUCCUUGAAAUAUUAAUUGCACUGAGAUUGUCACAGUACAAUGUCAUGACAUCCUGUUCAACAUCAUAUUCCUUCAGCAUUUGCUUCAUCCACAUGAGUUGAGUACAACUACUUCCUGCUGCAAUAUAUUCCGCUUCAGCUGUAGACAAUGAGACACAAUUCUGCUUCUUGCUAAACCAUGAAAUCAAAUUAUUCCCUAGGAAGAAACAACCACCAGAUGUGCUUUUUCGAUCAUCUGCACUACCUGCCCAAUCUGCAUCACAGAAACCAACUAACGAAGAAUUUGUAUCAUGAGUAUAGAGAAUACCAUAGUCACUCGUGCCAUUGAUGUACUUGAUAAUUCUCUUGACUUGUAGCAGAUGACUAGCCUUAGGAGCUGCUUGAUAUCUUGCACAUACACCAACUGCAAAGGUGAUAUCUGGUCUGCUAGCAGUGAGAUACAACAAGCUUCCAAUCAUGCUUCUAUAGAGACUUUGAUCUACAUCUUCCCCCUGUUCAUCCUUGGAGAGUUUGAUGUGUGUAGCAGCAGGAGUUCUCUUGUGACCAGCCUUUUCAAGCCCAAACUUCUUGACUAACCCUUUAGCAUACUUGCUCUGUGAUAUGAACAUAGAAUCCUCCAUUUGUGUGACUUGUAGUCCUAGAAAAUAAUUCAAUUCACCAACUAGGCUCAUCUCAAAUUCAGAUUUCAUUUGUCGGACAAAAUGCUCCACCAUUGAGUUCGACAUUCCUCCAAAGACAAUGUCAUCCACAUAAAUCUGUGCUAUCAUGAGCUUACCUUUGUCAUUCUUCACAAACAGAGUUUUAUCAAUUCCACCCUUGCUGUAACCAUUGCUUACAAGAAAGUCAGUUAACCUUUCAUACCAAGCCCUAGGUGCUUGCUUCAAACCAUACAAGGCCUUCCUCAACUUGUACACAUGAUCUGGAUGAUGCGGAUCUGUAAAUCCUUUAGGUUGUUCAACAUAGACUUCUUCAUUCAAAUAGCCAUUCAGAAAAGCACUCUUCACAUCCAUCUGAUAAAGUCUGAACUUCAAGAGACAAGCAACACCUAACAAGAGUCUUAUAGAUUCCAGUCUAGCUACUAGAGCAAAGGUCUCAUCAAAAUCAACUCCUUCAAUCUGAGUAUAUCCUUGAGCAACAAGCCUUGCUUUAUUCCUUGUGACUGUUCCAGUUUCAUCUGACUUGUUCUUGAAGAUCCACUUAGUGCCAAUGAUGUUUACUCCUUCAGGUCUAGGCACUAACUCCCACACUUCAUUUCUCCUGAACUGUUCUAGCUCCUCUUGCAUAACAUUUAUCCAGUAUUCAUCAGUGAGAGCUUCAUUGACAUUCUUGGGUUCUGUCUUAGAGAUGAAACAACUGUGAGCAAUCAUACUCCUGGAUCUGGUAGUCACCCCUUCUUGAAGAUUACCAAUAAUGUUUUCUUGAGGAUGAUUCUUCUGAACCCUAAUUGAUGGAGCUUUGGUUGAUGUGAUAUCUUUGUCUUCCUUUUCAUCAGCACUUGUUUCUGACUCGUUGUCGAGGGCGGUUGCUGGAGCAUCGGCUGGAACAUCUGCAUCAUCAUCAUCUUCAUUCAAAACUGCUUCUUCCUUCUUGCUUGGUUCAUCAUCCACAGUCACAUUCACAGAUUCCAUCAUGGUCCUUGUGCGAGAGUUAAAAACUCUAUAGGCUUUGCUGUUCAUAGAAUACCCCAUGAAAAUUCCUUCAUCACUUCUAGGAUCAAGCUUCCUCUUAGGAUCACGAUCUGCAAGGAUAUAACAUUUACUUCCAAAUAUGUGAAAGUAUUUUACAGACGGUUUUCUACCUUUCCAUAGCUCAUACUGUGUGGAGGAUGUCCCUGCCCUGAUGGUGACUCUAUUAUGUAUGUAACAGGCAGUACUCAUAGCUUCAGCCCAGAACUGGUGUGGAAUCUUCUUAGCAUGUAACAUUACUCUAGCUGAUUCCUGGAGAGUUCUAUUUUUCCUCUCAACUAUUCCAUUCUGCUGUGGAGUGAUAGGGGCAGAAAAUUCAUGGCUAAUACCUUCUGUUCCACAGAACUCCAAGAAUUUUGAAUUUUCAAACUCCCUUCCAUGAUCACUUCUGAUUCUCACAAUCACACAGUCCUUCUCAUUCUGAAGUCUCAUACAUAGAUUCUUGAAUAUUUCAAAAGUCUCUGAUUUUUCUCUCAUAAACUCAACCCAUGUAUACCUUGAAAAGUCAUCUACACAGACAAACACAUACCUUUUUCCUCCCAAGCUUUCAACCUGCAUGGGACCCAUGAGAUCCAUGUGAAGCAAUUCCAGAACCUUUGUCGUGGUCUGAUGCUGGAGCAUCUUGUGUGGCACCUUGGUUUGCUUACCAAUCUGACAUUCUCCACAUAGCUUUCCUUCUCCCAAGCUCAAAUUGGGCAAUCCCCUUAUUGCUUCAUCUGCAAGAAUCUUUUGCAUGCUCCUGUAGUUGAGAUGUCCUAGUCUUUGAUGCCAUACAUUCACCUCAUCUUCUUUAGUUAACAAACAUCUGGAAACAUGAGCUUUAUCUUCUGAUGUCCACAUAUAACAGUUGUCUUUUGAUCUGACUCCUCUCAUCACAACUCUCUCAUCAUCAGUGGUCACAACACAUUCUAUCUUAUUGAACUUCACAUCAUAUCCUUGAUCACACAGUUGACUUAUGCUGAUUAAGUUGGCUGUUAAACCAUUUACAAGUAACACAUUGUUCAAGUUAGGAGAUUCUGUGCUAACAAGAUUUCCUACUCCCUUGAUCUUUCCUUUAGCUCCAUCUCCAAAAGUAACAUAGUUGGUGGAGUGACUUCUGAUGUCUUGCAAGAAGCUCUUGUUUCCUGUCAUGUGCUUUGAACAACCACUAUCAAAAUACCAAUCUUCCUUUGAUGAUGCUCUGAAAGACGUGUAGGCUACCUGACAUCUGACUUCACCCUUGGGCUUCCAUUGCUUCCUCAUCUGAACAGGCUUUUUAUCGUGCAUCUGAGGAUAACCAUAUAACCUGUAACAGUAGGGCUUUAUAUGACCAUUCUUACCACAGUAGUGACACUUCCAAGGUACAGUUUUAUCAAGCUUAAGCCGGGGUUUCACAUGCAGAGGUACAUGUCUGGGCAAUGAAUCUGACAACUGAUAAUUUCUAGGCUUCUUGAAUUCAGUUUGUUUCGCAGCAGACACAAAUUUCUUUGAACCUUUCUGAUUUUCUUUGUUUGCAGUUCUAUAGUCAAAGCCAAUUCCCUUCAAACUCCCUCCUUGCUUGCUAGUUUCCUUCAGAAUUUCAUCAAGCAUAUCAGAACCACUGUUCAACAUUCUAACAGAUUUGUGAGUAGCUUCAAGCUUUCUUGUCAGAGUUGCCACUUCCUCUUGAAGUCCUGCAUUAAUCAACACUAGAUUAGCCUUUUCCAUAACAUCAGCAUUAUUAAACUUACUUUGCCAUUCCUCCAGAUCUUCCUUCAGCUUUGUGCUGAGCUCUUUCAGCCUUUCAUUCUGAGAGACAAGUUGUUCUAUCUCACUUUGCUUUUCUCUCACAAGUUUACAUGCUUCUUCCCACUUGAUGUGUAGCAGCUUGUAAGUCUCAGCCAGUUCCUCAUCUGUAAUGUCCUCAUCACUUGUAUCAGACUCAUAGACGGUUCCAGAGAAAGCAUUGACUUUGUUUGCAGAUAUCUCCUCCUCAUCUUCAGUGUCUUCAUCUGACCAAGUUACCAUCAUACCUUUCUUCUGCUUCUUUAGAUAAGUGGCGCAUUCAGAUCUGAUGUGACCAUAUCCUUCACAUUCAUGACACUGCACUCCUUUAUUCUGACCAGAUUUUUCUUCUUCUUUGGUCUUCCUCUGUGAAUUAGUAAAUUUGGGUUUGUUAUCGAACUUCAUGUCCUGGACAUUAGGCCUGGUUCUUUUAUCAAUCUUUCUCAAUGCUCUGUUGAAUUUUCUUGCUAGCAUGGCUAGAGCCUCAGUCAGAUUUUCACCCUCACAAUCUUCAUCAUCACCUUCAUCAGUGUUUGACACAAAAGCAAUACUCUUAUUCUUCUUCUCAGAUUUUCCACUCAGUUUCAACUCAAAUGUCUGCAAAGAGCCAAUAAGUUCAUCAACCUUCAUGUUCUCAAUGUCUUGAGCCUCCUCAAUUGUAGUGACUUUCAUAGCAAACUUAUGAGGAAGAGAUCUCAAGAUCUUCCUUACAAGCUUCUCAUCUGACAUAGGCUCUCCCAAAGCAAAUGAAGCAUUAGACAAGUCACGGACACGCAUGUGGAAUUCUGAAAUAGUCUCUUCUUCAGUCAUCAUAAAAUUUUCAAACUGAGUAGUAAGCAUCUGAAGCCUUGACAUCCUUACUCGAGUAGUUCCUUCAUGUGCAGUUUUCAGAAUUUCCCAAGCAUCCUUUGCCACAGUACACGUAUUGAUCAGCCUAAACAUAUUUUUGUCAACUCCAUUAAAGAUAGCAUUUAGAGCCUUUGAAUUUCCAAGAGCAGCUUCAUCUUCAACACUGGUCCAUUCUUCUUCAGGUUUUUCCACAACAGUAGUAGAGGUGCCUUCAACCUCAGCCUUAGUGGGGUGCUUCCAACCCUUGACAAUAGCUUUCCAAGUCUUAUUGUCAAUUGACUUGAGAAAGGCUGUCAUGCGAACCUUCCAAUAGUCAUAGUUAGUACCAUCCAGAAUGGGUGGCCUAUUAACUGAUCCUCCCUCCUUGUUAUCCAUGAGAACUUGAAUAAAAACUCCCUGGAGCUCACCCAACCAGAACAGGGUGCCUGCUCUGAUACCAAUUGUAAAUUCAGGUUCCCUCUGACACGAUUGUCCUGCACGAUGCUGGGACAAGAGGUUCGACAACUGCUUAACAGUGAAACAAAACUUAACAACAGAAACAAUAACACACAGUAAUUGUUAACCCAGUUCAGUGAAAACUUUCACCUACGUCUGGAGGGUUUGCACCCAAAGAAAGGAAAUCCACUAUCUCAAGAUUCAGGAAUUACAGACACUCAUGAACACCUCAGUUCAUAGUUCACUUCCUAAUCUACCCAGUGUAUUUCUACUUAGAAUCUCAACCUAAGUAUGAGAGCCCCUCUCACUUCCUCUCAAUCACUGCCACAGUGAUUGGUAAACACAAUGAACAAUCAGAGUUUGAAUGUAAUCAAACAACACAGAACCCUUCUUUGCUUUAUAGAAUCAGUGAGCAAAGAGGAUUCACAAAUAACAAGAACGAAGCACAAUAACAAAUCCUAAAACACUCGAUCUCUCUCUAUCAGCUUCGGUCAUCUUCACGUUUUAGGUCUUCAUCCUUUUAUAGACUUCAGCAGCGGUAGCAUGGGCUUUAGGGUUGGCACGGGCUGAAGAAACAGAUAUCAGUAACAGCAAUUCAAAAACACAAUCUUGAUAGAUUCGGUUUCUUAUUGCACAAGUAACGAUAGAAACCAAUCUUUUAGCAAAGAUUGUUUCAACAAAUAACAACCCCACAAUUAAAACCCUUCUGGAUAGCUACUUGCUCCUCAAGUAACUCAAAAACAUAUCUUCAGUAAAUCUUCAGAGGGCCCACAAUAUAAACACAAGCUGAGGACUGAUGUCCUAGCCUCACGAGGUCAGAUGCCACGGCAUCUGCUUCGACAAUUAGUUGUUUUGACAAAAUGCAAGGCAACAUGUUCCAACAUAUAGGAAUGGAAAGUUGAAAUUAUGGAAUUCUAAAGAUAACCCUUGUUAUUCUAGAGAACAACUUAUUGGUAAUGUCCCUAAAGGAGUUCCUAAAGAUCAAUGGUCAUCAUUUGUUGAUUAUCACUUGAAGCCAAAAUAUAAGGUAUAAUUUCCUAGUUGUUUGUUAUCUAUAAUUAUCUUUUUCAGAUUAUAUUUUAGUUAACGUGUUGUUCAUAUAAUAGGAGUUAUGUCAAAAGAAUGUGGAGGCGCGUAAAAAGCAAACAAUUCCACAUACCGGCGGAUCUAAACUUUUAUCAAGGAGACAACAUGAAAUGGUAUAUAACUCAUGUUAUGCCUUGUUAGGUCUUAAUAGAUUGAUCUAAUUAUUUUUAUUUGAUAUUUGGACUUAUAUGAGUCACACACAUAUGUAUAGGAAAUAGAGGUUGGACAUGCUAUAAGUCGAGGAGAAUUAUAUAUUGCAACUCACAAGAGAAAAGAUGGGUCUUAUGUCAAUGAGGAGGCAAGGUUUGUAGGGGUAAGUUACAAAAUUAAAUGUUUAUUCCCCUGCUACUGAAAUUGGAAUUUAAAACCAGAAUCUUGCUGUGCUUUUUUUUCAAGAAAUAGAAUCUUUGCGCUGCUGAUUUAGAAUAAGUUAAAGUUAAUGACAUGCUAUCAUUUUACCCAAAUGACAUGUAGGAGCAGGUUGAGCAAGAACUAAGUCAAACCAACAAUUUUGUAGAAGUUUCAAAAAAUGAUGCUCUUUCCAAAAUUUUGGGUCCAGAUAGAGCUGGAUGUGUGCGUGGAUUAGGCUUAGGUGCUCUUCAUAGUGUUGCAUUUGGAUCGACUAGUGGUAUAGCCUAUAAUAGCUCAGCUGAAGUAUCUCAAUUGAAAGAAGAACUUAAUUUUGUAAAGAGCAAGUUAGCAACUUCUGAAGAGAAUAUUUCAACAUUGCAAACUAUAAUGUUUGCAUUUAUGCAAAUGAAAGAAUUAAAUAUCUCAGCAAACUUGGGUGCUUUGUUCGCGACUUUUACUCAAAUGGUAAUGUUGCUUAUUGAUUUAACUAAGGUAAUAUGUUGCAGUUUUUAAUGAGUACAAAUGUUGAUUUGGUGUGGUUUUAAUUUUUAAGGACAAUGCCAAUGCUAAUGAUGAACCAGUUCAAACUGCUGAUCAUGCAAAGGGUUUUCACUAAUGUUAGUGAGGUUAGUCAUGUUUGCUACUCUACUUUGGAAAUUUAGUUUUGAAUGCUGAAUGUUUUCAUUUCUGUUUCUCCAUUGAAGUGAUUACUUGAUUGGGUAAUAAAUAAUAUGGUAAAGUCAUCCUUGAUUUGCCUUAAUAUUUUAUGUACAAGAUUACAGCCAUAUUGAUUAAGCUACAUAUCUAUGUCUAUCCCCCUGCUUGACUAAUCAGAAUUAGAUCCCAUUAUCUAGAAAUGUUUCUAGUCAUAUCUUAAACGAUGCUGUGACAUCCAAAGCUGCAUCUAAAUCAUAUUUUAUCAGUUUUCCUGAUUUUAGUUUCAGCUACUGAUUAGAAAUUUGACAAAUGUCUACCCUUUUCAUUGCAGGGUCAAUUGAUGACAAUAUAGAUAUAAUGAAGAAAUGUCUAAAAAUAAUCGAGUCUUUAAAUCCUUAUGUACUCAAAUUCAAAUGUUGGAACCAUAUAUUUCCUUUCAUGUUCAUGCCCAUUUGUGAGUUAGAUUGAACCUUGUGACAUCUUGAGGCAUACUCUGAAUUUAGUAAAGAUGUUGCAUAUUUGAGAUAUGUAAGUGAAUUGUAAUUUUUUUUUUGAGUGACUGAACCACCUUUGUAGAGUGGUCUUGCAAUUACUUGUAGCAUUAUCAUGCUCAUGCUCAUGCUUUUUAAAAUUCAUUAUGUUCUUUUUUAUCCUAUUCUCUCUUUGCUUAAUUUGGUGUUAGUUUAAUCCCUAAUCACCAACAUAUUAGAGAUUUUAAUAAUUCAUUUAAAUUGAUUCACAAAUAAAAAAAUAAAAAAUAAAAAAUUCACUUGGAUGGGUCAAAACCUGAAUUAUGCAUUUUGUGGCACUUAAAGGAUGCCAGUACUGUUUGAGCCUAAUUCAAUGGUUGGUGUAUUUCGUGGCAUUUAAAAGAUGCCAAUACCAGUUGUGGCAUACAAAACCGGCAUUUAAGCAAAAAAUGCCACAAAACAGUUGUGGCACCUGUAAUAGAGGCACUUAAAGGUGAAUGCCACUAAUAACACUUGUGGCAUUUAAUAAAUGCCACAACUUAACAAUAUCAAUGCCACUAAAAAUGCAUUUUUUUGUAGUGUUCCUACUGGCGCAACAUGAUGAAACUGUGCAUGUUUGAGCUCUUAAACAUGCCGAAAGUUCAAAGCUUUGCUCCUUUAAGGAGAGAUGAAGUAGGACUGUUUGUGGAAUCACUUAAGAAAUCAGCAGCCUCACGUGAGGUUGUGAAUGUCAGUGAGAAAAUUGGGGAUGUUGUAGAGAAUACUGUCCAUAGAAUGAUUUGGGGUAAAUUUGAUGAUAAAUUUAAUUUGGUGUAAAACAGCUUGCUCGUGACGUUUUUCUCCUCAUGGGAGUUCUUGAUCUGGGAGAUUAUAUACCUUGGGUUGGGGCCUUUGAUCUUCAGGUACUUCAACUACAACUACUACUAGAUGUUUGAAUCUACUUAUUUCCCUUCAUAAUCAUUUCUGAUACGCAAUAAACUUUUUUUCCUAGAAUCAAUUUUGCCUUUAAAUGUGAUUGAAGAACGAUUUGCAUACAUGUACUAUUGUUACUUUUGAUUGUUAAAAACCUUAAUUUAUGUGGCUAACCAAGGAGGACGAAUCAUCAGUUAGUCCCUAGUGGCAUCAUCAGUUAUGAGACUAUAUGACACACCAUGUUAUCUGCUGACGUGACAAUAUUGACAAUGAUAAAAAUCUCAAAUGUUAAUUACAAAAUGAUGAUUCGAACAUGAGAUCUUAUAGUGGUAGAUUUCUCGUGUUUGAAUCCUCACUUUGAAAGUUUUGGAAUUUUAAGUAGAAUGUUACUAUUAAAGACUAACUAAUUAUUUGUCAACCGGCUACAUGUCAUCGGUUAGCCACGUUUAUUUGCAAACACCAAUAAUACUUUGUUCACAUACCUUUUUCCAAUUUCACUUUAAUGAUAUAAGAAAAAAAGAUUGAGAAAUGAGUGAUAUAAUAAGUUUUUGUUUAUUAGUGAUAUAAUAAGUGAUGUGAAAAUAUAGAGGGAGAUAGAAAUAAGAAAAUGCUAUUGUACACGAUUAUAUUUUUUACGACAAGGCACGACUUAAUUCCCACCGUGUGAUCUUAAUCAGAUUGGGGUUUUUAUCAUCAGCCCACAAUCCUUGUUUUCCAUCAAAACGUGCAAACUACAAUCAUCUCCCGUCGUGCAUUGAAUUUGUCAUGUGAUAUAGAAAUUCUCUAGAAAUAAAUGAGUGAAAACGAGAUGAAGAAAAAAUGGAGUGUGAGUGAAUCAUUAAUCUCUAUUGCCUUUUUUUUUACAUUUAAAGACUUAUAUUAAAGAAAUUGAAAUGUCGGGAGUAAAACCAAAUAAGCAUUCCUAUUUUUAAAAACUCCUAUUUUUAAGACUUUGACCAUAUUUAAUCCUUAUUCUUAUCCUAAAAGAUUUUACAUUGUCCACUAAAUUUUACUCAAAUUUAAUCCAUAUCUCAGGGACUUGUACGAAGGUUCAAGAAAGCGCACAAGAAAUUUGACGAAGUGUUAGAGAUAAUCAUCAAAGAUCACGAGGCUUCUGCUCGCCUUACCGACCAGAAAAGCGUGCAAUCUAUUGACUUCAUUGACAUAUUGCUAUCACAUAUGCACCAAUCAAAGGAUAAACAUGCUAUUACCAAAACAAACAUCAAGGCUAUUUUGUUGGAUAUAAUUAUCGGAGCAGUUGACACAACUAUCAUGUCGGUUGAUUGGAAUAUGGCAGAACUAAUAAGGCACCCAAGGGUUAUGAAGAAACUUCAAGAUGAGUUAAAGAAUAUUGUAGUGGGUAUGGGGAGGAUGGUAGAAGAAGCUGACUUACCAAAGUUGCCAUACCUCGAUAUGGUGAUGAAAGAGACCUUUAGGUUACAUCCACCUACUCCACUCCUCCCACCUCGUGAGUGUACGGAAGAUUUUACAAUCAAUGGUUAUUUCAUUGCGAAAAAGUCACGAGUUUUAGUCAACUCUUGGACAUUAGGACGAGAUCCUAAGAUGUGGUCAGAUAAUUUUAAGGAUUUUUAUCCAGAAAGAUUUCAUAACACCGACAUAGAUUCUCAUGGGCACAAUUAUCAAUUUUCACCAUUUGGUUCCGGUCGUAGACGCUGUCCCGGGAUGCUAUUGGAUUUAACUACGGUUCCGUUUCUUCUAGCUCAGCUAGUGCAUUGCUUCAACUGGGAGCUUCCACCGGGCGUGUCUACUGAUGACAUGGACAUGACUGAGGAAUUUGGC